AGAUAUGCAUUUAGGUUCAUCUUGAAUUCAGCAGAAUGUACUAUUCCUUGAGAAACAACAAGAGCAUCUCGGACCAAGUCGAUGUUAGGUAUUUCGAGGUUGUCAACUAAUACUGCUCCUUUUUUCCUUCAAAUAUUUCCAAGAAAAAAAGAUGCAUCUCUUAUAGUAUUAACAUAAUAAAAUCAAAAUCAAACAUGAUAGGUACCAUUUGAGCCAUUAUGCAGAUUGAUCAAAGACUAGGUCUUCCUCUCUAUUACCUUUUGUUUAAUAUUGCCCUGUCAAUGAGAUUGCAACCACACACCAAAGGUUAUGAAUAACUCUGACAAUGUGUCUGUAUAAGGCAUAAUACAUGUGUGGCAUGCACUCAAACUUGGCCUCAACUGACAAAUAAACACUCAAAACUUCUCAAGUGUGCAUCUAGACAUCUGAACUUGGUCUCAACUGGCAACUAAACAUUCCAACUUGUCCGCACUGUGUUUUGUGGACACUAGACACUGACAUGACACAUAAAUUUUGGAGGUGUCUAUCAUUUUGUAAGUUAAGAGUGUUCAACUGACACAAUGGAGAGACGAGUUGAGGUCAAGUUAAAGUGUCAAUAUAUAUAUUAUGCCUUCAUAUAAGGUCUAGAGAGAGGACCUAGCUGCAACUAGUGAAAUCAUGAUGGCCCUCCCAUUACGCCUAUCAAGUUGAGCCUACAUGCACCGCUAUACUGGACCACCAAGCACAUAAAGUGCACGACCUAAUAAUGACUAAAAUUAAACUAUAGAAAUGUAAGUACACAUGAAAAGGAUUACCUUAAGGUGUUAACAUGCUGUCGAGAAGUCUUGAUUUCGUUGGAACCAAAAAGGUCCUUUGAAAUACCUAGUCUUUUAUCUUUAAGCCCAUCAGCCUUAAGAAAUUGCCGGUAUCCACCAUGAGGAAUGUAAGUGGAAGCCUUUUUAGUUGCUAGAAAAUCAUCUUGAUCGAAGCCAACGAUGGCAUCAAGAACCUCAACAGCAUCAGAUACUGUCCUGCAAAUUGGCCUGUUCUAUGACAAAAAAGCAUCGUAUGAAAACAUUUUCAAUGUCUUCUAUUUUCAUGUUUGGUACCAAGUACUUUACAUUUUUGCUUCUCUAAUGCAGCCUACAACGUCUAAAUUCUGGAUCUAAUACUAAACACAAGUAGUCCUAUUUUGCACCAUCAAAUUUUCGCAGCUGUCCAAAACUCUGGCAUUAAAUAGUUCAACAAAGAGAAAAAAGAAUACUCCAUCCAUCCAAAAAGAAUGAUACAUUUCAUUACACUUCCGAUAUGCUAGUUUCAACGACUCACUUUCGUUACACUUAUUCCUUGUGGCUUGGGAUAUAGUAGGUAUCUGGUUUACUGCUUUAGGUAUCAACACUAUGGCUUUCAAUCUAAAUAGUUUCAAUUUCAACCAAUCUACAGUUGAUAGUCAAGGGCUUUCCUUUCUUUCUUAAAGUACGUGCCGAGUCAAACUAUGUCACAUAAAUUGAGACGAUUAAUUUUUACUUACCCAACAGUGUCUUGCCUAUGUGAAAUUGGGAUAACACCUGCCCUGCUAGUGAGGCCAACAGUUGGUUUGAUUCCAACAACUGAAUUAGCAUAUGCUGGAUAUAGAAUGGAGCCUGCUGUUUCUGUCCCCAAUGCUACCGCUGCAAGGUUUGCUGCUACUGAUGUUGCAGAACCAGUGCUUGAUCCUGAUGGAUUAGCACUUGCUACAUAAGGAUUCUGUAAUAACAUGAGUAAAAACACUAAAUUAUUACUCUUUUUAGUCAAAUUGUCCUAAAAAAAAGGCAAUCUGGUGAACGAAGCAUAUUUUGCAUUCAGGUAGAAUCCGUCAAUGCCAGCAACAACCUAAGAGGGUACGAUGUAGGUAGUCUACCCUGACACAAGCAUCAGUGACUCAUUCGCCGUCUCGAAAAUGUGAGGUCACACGAAGAAAGCUUUACCAUUGCUCCAACUUAAAGUAUUAUAUACUACUUACUUCGUUUCAAUUUGUGGCACAGUGUCUAAGAAAGUAAAAAAGAUUCUCGAAUCUUGUGAUCUCAAAUAAUGUACCAAAAUGUCCUUUAAUCUUAUGGCCAUAAACAUGUCAUGGGAAAAGUUGAAAUUAAAGAGUUAGCAGAAAAAGGAGACAUCUUAUUGUAACGGACGAAAAACAAAAGUAAGACAAAUAAACUAAAAGAGAGGGAGUAGUUUUUUUCCAGAUCAUAUACUACUUUAAAUCUUUGUUUCUCUUUCAUUCCUAUCUUUUGCAUCUUAACUAAUCACAAAUUUUGCAAAAUAAAUCUAUUUUUACUAACCUGCUCAACUAUCCGAGUUAAACGACUUGAGUUAUGACCCCUUUUUUUGACUUGACCAAAGGGGUUAUGUUAGAGUUUGUGACCCGAAUUUUGUUGAUCCGGCCCUGAAAAGUUCACGGUGCAACCCAUGUUUGUGAUUUUUUGUGGGGUCUGUGGUGAUAGCGGAGGGAUAUUUUGUGAUUUGUUCUUCACUACCAGUGGCGCCACAAUAUUCUAUUGCUAAAGACAGGCCUAGGAGAGAUAUUAGACCUCCUUAGAAGUAUGGUGAAGCUGAAUUGGUUGCUUAUGCAUUGAAUGUAGCAGAAGGUAUUGAUUCCGGUGAAGAACCUUCUUUUUACUCAAAGGCAGUUAGUUGUGAUGAUUCUGGCCGAUGGAUGAUUGCUAUGCAGGAGGAGAUGGAAUCACUUCAUAAGAAUGACACAAGGGAUCUGGUUAGAUUGCCUAAAGAUAAGAAAGUUGUCCAUUGCAAGUGGGUAUUUAAAAAGAAAGAAGGAACAUCGGGAGUUGAAAAUGCUAGGUACAAAGCAAGACUAGUUGCUAAAGGUUACAGUCAGGUUCCAAGUGUUGACUUCACAGAUGUGUUUUCUCCAGUUGUAAAUCAUAGUUCGAUUUGAGCCUUAGUUGGUAUUGUGGCCAUGCACAAUCUUGAGCUUGAGCAGUUGGAUGUUAAAACUGCAUUCUUACAUGGAGAACUUGAGGAGGACAUCUAUAUGCAACAACCAGAGGGUUUUGUAGUCUCAGUCUAGGAAGACUAUGUAUGCUUGCUGAAAAAGUCUCUUUAUGGCUUAAAACAGUCGCCCAGAUAGUGGUAUAAGAGAUUUGACUCUUUUAUGACAGUAGUUAUGAUAGUUGUGUCUAUUUCAAGGAGGUAAAUGAUGGUUCAUUCGUGUAUCUUCUCUUGUAUGUUGAUGAUAUAUUGAUAGCAACAAAGGAUAUGAGAGAGAUAAUAGAAGUCAAAGUCCAGCUCAGCAAGGAGUUUGAGAAGAAGGAUCUAGGAGUAGCAAAGAAGAUCCUUGGCAUGGAAAUUCUGAGGGAUGGAGAGAAGUGUAAGUUAUACCUGAAUAAGACAAGGUAUAUUGAGAAAGUGCUUCACAGGUUCAAUAUGCAAAAUGCCAAACCUGUCAGUACUCUAUUGACAGCUCAUUUCAAACUCUCGGCUACAUUAUCCUCAAAGACAGAUGAUGAGUGUGACUAUAUGUCUUGAGUUCCAUACUCUAGUGCCGUUGGAUCUCUUAUGUACGCGAUGGUGUGUUCCCGAUCAGGUGUAUCAUCUACCGUUAGUACAGUUAGCAGAUACAUGGCAAAUUCUGGUAAAGAACAUUGGAAAGAAGUUCAGUGGAUUUUCAAAUACUUGCAUGAAUCUGCCGAUAUUUGUUUGUAGUAUGGGCGAUAUAGAGAUGGAGUGAUCGGGUAUGUUGAUUCUGAUUUUGCAAGAGACCUUGAUAAAAGGAGAUCCCUUAUAGGCUAUGUUUUCACCAUUUGUGGUUGUACUAUUAGUUGGAAAGCUACUUUACAGACUACAGUUGCCUUGUCAACUACUGAUGCAGAGUACAUAUUACAAAGGCUUGCAAAGAAGCUAUUUGGUUGAAAGGUCUGUUUAGUGAACUUAGCAAAGACUAACAAAUUAUUACGAUCUUUUGCGACAACCAGAGUGCUAUCUUCCUUAUAAAAGAUCAGAUGUUUCAUAAGAGGACAAAGCACAUCGAUGUUCGGUACCAUUUUGCGUGUGAGAUUAUUGCUCGUGGUGAUAUUGUGGUAAGCAAGAUUAGUAUCUAUGAUAACCCCGUUGAUAUGAUGACCAAGACACUACCAAGUGCCAAGUUUGAGCAUUGCUUGGACUUGGUUGGUGUCAGCAGUUAAGAUGUGCCCUGUUAGAUCAAUGAUGUUCUGAUGAUUGAUAUAUAAAUAAAUCAUGUUACUUUAGUUGGUCCAAUCACACGAAGACAGUCACUAAGGGAAGUAGAUGAGGUUCGUCAAAGCUUGAAUGGAUAAGUUCUAUUGAGUAAUCACGUGUGAUAAAGAAGAAGUUGUAGUUGAAUACAACAAUUUAUUGAUAAGCUGAAGAGAAAAAAGAGAAAGAGUUUUAAUCAAACAAGGAGAUCAAGUUGAAGAAGGAGUUUUACCAAUACAAGGAGUUGUACUAGAAGACGGACUUUGAGUUGACAACAAACUCUGUUAAAUUAAAGAGUCCAAAGCAAGGUAGAAAACCAAUGACUUUGAAGGACUCUUUGAAGAGUUGUUAUAUAUCAAGGGAGUAACUAAUUUCGUCACUCACGCACUUACAAAGAUAGCAGCACAUCAACGAAUUAGCAGUGAAGUUCCAAAUCUUGAAGCAGCCUGAGUUGAACCUGUUCCUAGUAUUUAGAGUUCGUGAGUCUUAGACAUUAUGUAUUAGAAUGGCUCUUAAGUUGUAUUGUUUUCUAGUCUCAGAGAAGUAUAAACUGAGUUAGGAGCAUUGUCUUCAAGUUGGGAACUCGAAGACUUGGGAACACUCACCUUGAGGAAGGGUUGUGUUUUUGUAGAAAUAUGAGUUAGAGUUUAAUUCCUAGAUUACAAGAGUCUUGUAAUUUAUUGAUUGUUGAGGCUCAACUGUUUUAGUGGAGUUGGGAUUAAAUCCUGUAGAGAGGUACAGGUCGUGGUUUUUUAUACCUCUUUGAGCCGGGCGUUUUCCACGUAAAUAUCAUUGGUUUUAACCUGUUCCAUUAAUAGGCAACUGCUAGGCUAGAAUAAGUAAUCAGUAGGGCACGAACUCUAAUAUGACCUUAGGGGCUUUUGUGGAAGAGGUAAAGAGUUUUCUCGAAACGGAUUUGAGUUCUGAAUUAGAAUUCGUGUCAAGGUGGAGAUUGUUAGAGUUUGUGACCGGAAUUUUGUUUAUCUGAAAAGUUCGCAGUGCGACCCAUAUUUGUGAUUUUUAGUGGGGUUGUUUUUGGUGGUUUUUUACGUCAUUGAGACUUUCGUCUCCUCCUUAUACUCCCCUCCAUUAUAGUGAAUUUGGUUAGACCAUGUGAGGCGGCUUAGCUUAUGAUCCAUUAUGUGGCUCAUCAUGACCUGUUUGAGUGGAUCAAAUUCGACCCAACCCGCACAUUUACCACCCAUGAUGAAUCAAAACUAUAUAUAUUAGUAUUAACAUAUGACUCACCAGAGCUUGUCCAAGUCUUCCAUUCCAACCAUCAGGCAUCUUUGAAGAUCUAGAACCAGCCCACUCAGUCAUAGUUGCCUUGCCAAGUAUGAUAGCACCAGCAUUUCUCAACUUCUUGACCACACCAGCAUCUUGUGGCACAAUGGAUCCAACAAGUGCUAAUGAUCCUGCUGUUGUGUUAAGCUUAUCUUUUGUUGCAAUGUUGUCCUUGACAAGAAUUGGUAUACCAUGUAGCCUGCUGGACAGUAGCGCCCCCGAUUUUCGUUCUUGAUCAGCUUUAUCUGCAAGAAAGAGUGCAUCUGGAUUCACUUCUAUGAUCCCUUUUAUAAUUGGAUUAGCUUUCUGGAUUUCACUUAGAUAGAGCUCAACAAGUCGUCUUGAGGUAAGUUUGUUUUGCUUGAAAGCUAUUUGAAUAUCAUCUAUUGUUGUUUCCUUAAAUGAGAAUGUUUUUGCCUCAGUAAUGUUACUGUAGUUGGAUAAUAUCAUGCACUGAGAAAUGAAGGGAGUGGAAAGAACAGACAUUUUUGGUUGUCAAAGUGAUUGAAGAUACUUACGUCAACAUUAGCCACAAAAAAGUGGAUAAGGAAUAAAGAGUCAUGAUAGAGUUGUUUUUGUAUGACUUAUACGUCAUGAGCUGCGGAAACAAUUGUACGAGGGUAGACUACCUACAUACACACUUUUGGGUGUUGCCCUUCUCUAAAUUCUGUUGAUUAUAUAGGUCACGUGUUGAAGCAGGGAAUCAGUCACUAAUGCUUGUGUGAGGGUAGACUACCUACCUUACAUCUCUAAAUUCUGUUGAUACCGAGAUGUUUCAUGCAUCGAGCUGCAUAUUUUUGUAAUAGUGGAGAUGCAUAAUUAGAGCUGACCAUAAAGGUCUACUCCUUCCGAUCCCAAAUAUUAGUUGUUUUGACAAAGUAAAUUUGUUCCAAGAAAAUAAGAAAUUUACUUUCGAUUUUCAUCUUCCAAGUUUACCAUCAACACUUCAAUUCAAUUAUUGGAGUAUUAAUCAAGUGAGACGUUUAAGAGAGACAAAGGUUAGCCUAACAAAUACUUUUAUGAGUAAGGUUAUUAAAUAUAUACUUCUUCAGUCUCAUUUUAUGUGUUUUUUUUUUUAGUUCGUCUUAAAAAGAAUAUCACUUUUUCUUAUUUGGUAAUUAUUUAAUGACAUCAUUGUCAUUUUAUCCUUAGUGGAUCCUACUUAUUAAGAAAAAACAACUAAAAAUUAAACAAUAAAAGAGACAAUUUUGUAAACUUUACAAAAUUAUUACUCCAUCUGUUUCAUAAUAAAUGAAUUGUUGAAUUUUGACACACAGAUUAAGGAAAAAACAUUAAAGACAUAAAUUUAACAUAACUUUUCAUUUUUAUCCCAAAAAAAAGAAAAAGUUGACCUUGUAAUACCUUUUCAAAAAUUAAUUGAUUGUUCAAUGAUUCACUUAUUUUGAAACACUAAUAAAUAGCUCAACAAUUCACGUAAGUAAUUAUUUUUUUAAAUUCCAUGCUCGAUCAAAUAACAACAGAUAAAAUGAGACGAAGAUAGUAUUUUUUAAAUAGCGUGCCAAAAUUGUUAAAUACAGAUAAUAUGAAUCAAUAUUAUAAUAUAUGGAGAGGAUGGCCUGUUGAAAGAUAAGAUGCUUUUAAUGUGAUUUGACAGAUUUAUUUCCAAAAGAUCCAAAAUCCAAAUGCCUUUGUGGGUCCACUAAUCACUAUCAGACUAUUUUUUCUAUAAUACUCUUUCAGGGAAAGCAUAUGUUGCAAAUGACAAAUAAUUCAGAAAUUAUAAUUGUCAUGAUUGGUAAGUCUAUUCUCCUAGUUAAUUGAUCAUUACUACAUGCUAAUCAAUAUAUAUAUAAGUUGAAUGUAGAUCCGGUGAUGUGGCAUUCUUUAGAUUUUCCUUAUCUUCAGCUAUCUCAUUUAAGGAAUCAAUUAGUGCAGAGGCAAGAGAUCUUAGCUUGUUGAGGGAGUAAUCCUUCAUAUUCUCUUUAAUAUCUAAGAGAGAUGAAGGUCUACUUUCAUUUUUGUCUAUGUCUGCCAUCAACACAGGAAGUCCAUCAGAGGCUCGCACCAUUUUUUAUUGCCGUACAGGAAAUGUCUUUCUUUUGUUCAAACUCAUUUGAAUCACUUGAUGAAUCAUUCCACCAAGCUGCAAGCAUCUGACUGGCAAUUUUGUCAGCCUCAGUUUCCAGCUGCACUUCUCGGUGACCUUCUGCUUCCCCUUUUUGGACACCUCUUCAGAUCUAUACAAGUCUUCGAGAAACUUUUUUGCAAUCCGAGCUGUUUCACUAAUUUUUGAGGUGUAAGUAGCUUGUGAAGCCUUCAUUUCUCUGGAUCCUUUUAACGUGUUAGCCUGAUCACGGAAAAUCUGCUCUGAUAUCAAAUGAAAGGAUUGGGGGUGGGUUGGUUCUCGAUUCAGGGAAUUGUUCCCAGAAUCACACACGCAAUAAGAACCAAGAGGAAAAUGCAGUAAGUAAUGCAGGAGUACAAAAGGUAAAGACACUAGGAUUUUUAUAUGCAAACUCCUUGCCUGCCUCCAGGAUUUUUAUAUGCAAACUCAUUGGUUGAGUCAAAAAGAUUGCAACAACUUUUCACCUAACUUUUGUACUAUGUGUCAGCUGAAAAGUUGAUUGUCACAGUGAUAAGUGUGCCCAAUUUGUUCUAUAAUGCGUAGAGGCCUUUGUCGUCACAACAAAAACUUCAAGGAACAUAUUACAAACUAUGAAUUUGUCAAUCAUCAAAACUAAUAACACUUAACCUAUUUAAUUAUUUUUUUAAAAAAUAGAAUUUACAUAUGUGAAAUUUCCAUUUAAAAAUAAAAUUCUGAAAAGUAAAAAAUAUCUCUUUAAUAACCGUUUUAUAAUUCCCUUAAAAUUAUUAUCUCUUCCUCCCCUUUCUCAUCUUUCUUCUUCUUUUCACUUUAUUUCCAUAAUUUUUUUCAUAAAUCACACAUUAUAAUUUAGGACUUGACAAUCAAAAUUGUAUGAAAUGGAAUUACUAUUGUAUUUUAUAUUCACAUUUUAUUUUUGUUUUGUCUUUAAAAAAGAAAAAAAAGGAAAAGCAAUAAAGAGGAACAAAAGAAAGAAAAAAUAAAAUAAACUAAAAUAUCCUGAUAUAACAAGAAACAGUAGGUAGAAACAAACAACAUAUGACUUAUACUAAGGUGUUCUGAUAUAUGUCUUAUUUGUGAUUAUUAUUAAUGAGAAGAGUUAAUGAUCAAAAACACAUCUGAACUAUUGAUAUUUCGCGAGUUUCACAUUGCAAUAACCAGUUGUUCCCUUUUCCGAUCCGAGCUAUCACCAUCGUCCAGGCAGGAAAAGGGAACAACUUACAGUUCAUGAGGUGUAUUUUAAUAUAUAUAGAUGGUGAUAAUUCGGGGUGGAAAAAGAGAACAACCGAUAGUUGGGUGUGAAACUCGCGAAAAUGAUAGUUCAGGUGUAUUUUUGACCAUCAAUAAGCAGAAUGCAUCUGUAAUUGACGACUAGCUAUGAUGCGAAGAUAGAGGCUAAACAUGAAAUUCCUCGGGCAUAACAUUUUCAGUAAAACAAGAAAUUAGGAGAAGUUACUAACUACAUGAGCAUCAGGAAGAUGUGUAAUGUGUUGCAGUUGAGGACAGUGAACAUGAAACAAGAAUCACAUUUCCAUAACAUAACAAUUCUCAAUAGUAUGAAUCUUGCUAGAUAUUAACUAGAGUGGCCAGAAGAUAUAAAAGUUCAUCGAUAUUACUAUAUGAUUAUUUGUCUGUCAACAUUUUGCUCUGGAAUGCUGUACUUGAUAACGAACACAUCAUUUCGGAUGUGCAUACAUUCUAGAUCGAGUCGAAUAUGUAAUUCUUAUCGAGGAUGUGAAGGAGGGGGCUUCCUGAUAUGAGUUGCUUGUUCAAAACCAUAUGCAAUCUCGAUGAGUGUUGGCUCUGAACCCUUCAGUCCUCCAAAGGAAAUUCCAACGGGAACUCCACUUUUAUCAUAACCAGCAGGUACAUUGAUCCCUGGAUAACCUUCGAUCGCGAGAAGACUAGCAAUGUCUGCACCAGGUGACAUCAACGCGUCUAGCUUAUUAACUUUUAUCAUCUUCUCAAACCCGUAUUUGCAUACUUUUGUUAUGUUCCUCAGUGCCUCCCUUUCCAAUUUCCCUAUUCCAUUCGUCUUCUCAGCUGCCAUCAUUAUGCCUUGACCAUAUUCUUUGAACUUUUCCUACAAUAAUAUAUAAGAAGAACCAAUCGCUUAAACUAAGAAGGGGAGCCUUGGAGUAACCGAUAAAGUUGCUACCAUGUGACCAGGAGGUCAUGGGUUCAAGCCUUGGAAACAACCUCUGGCAGAAAUGCAAGGUAAGGUUGCGUACGAUACGCCCUUGUAGUGGGGCCCUUCCCUGGACACCGCGCAUAGCGGUAGCUUUGGUGCACCGGGCUGCCCUUUUUUUUUUCAGUCGCUUAAACUAGAAAUAGCCCGUGGAUGUAUAAUAUAUGUAUGUAUAAUAUGUGAAUAACAGUGUGUAAUUUAUGUUUACCGGAAAAGAACAGUAAACAGUGCAUCCGUCCAGCUACUUUAAACAUCCCUAAAAAGAAUGAAAACAGAUAUAUCUCGAUUCUACUUCUAGUGACAUACAUAAGUUCAGCUAAUUUCAAUUUACAAGUGAAAGCUUUUAGUUCCUGCAAUAAUGUACUACAAACGAAUAUGAACAUACUGUUAACAAAUUAUUUAUGAACAAAGUAGUAAUGGAGUGGCUUUGGCGUGAAUACGACAGAAUGAUUACAUCGAUUCCUAUAACUAAUAUCAACUUUGUCUGAUAUCAAGGUGCAGUUAAUUGAGAUCGACUAGUACUUACCGAAGCUGAAAUCUUGUUAAAGGCUAUGACAUCUGCCAAGGAUCGGACUUGAGUAUGAACUAGCUUCUUAAGAUAUGCAUUUAGGUCCAUCUUGAAUUCAGCAAAAAGUGCUAUGUCUUGAGCAUUAACAAUAGCACUGUAGACCAAGUCGAUGUUAGGUACUUCGACGUUGUCAACUAAUACUACUCCUUUUUGCCUUUCCAGAAAAAAAGCUCAUCUCUAUUAGGAAAUUAAGUAAAACUAAACCAGAGAAAGGCAUAAAACAUAGAUAGACACCUUAACUUUCUGGCAACUGAACACUUUAACUUAGAGCAUGCACAUCAAUUAAUCUCCAUUGUGUUAGUUGAACACUUCAACUAACAAAAUGAUCAUCUAGAAGCCUCCAAAAUUUAUGUGACACAUCAGCAUCGGGAGUCCAUGAAACACAACGAGAACGAGUAGAGGUGUUUAGAUGUGCACUCCCUAAUAUGGAGUGUUUACUUUUCAGUUGAGACUAGUCUUUUAUCUUUGAGAAAUGCAGACGAAAACGGAAAGAUUACCUCAAGGUGUUGAAAUGGUGUUGGCAAGCUUUGAUAUCAUUGGAACCCAAAAGGUCCUUUAAAAUACCUAGUCUUUUAUCUUUGAGCCCAUCAGCCUUAAGAAAUUGCCGGUAUCCACCAUGUGGAAUGUAAGUAGAAGCCUUUUUAGUAGCUGGAAAAUCAUCUCAAUCGAUGCCAACAAUGACAUCAAGAACCUCAACAGCAUGAGAUACUGUCCUGCAGAUUGGUCUGUUCUAUGCAAAAAAACACAUUGUGUGAAGAGAUUUCGAAUGUCUUCUAUGUUCAUGUUUGUUACCAAGUUCGUUGCAUCUCUAACAAACCUACAAUGUCUAAAUUCAGGAUCUAAUAAGUAAUCCUAUUUUGCACCAUCAAUUUUCACUAUUGUUCAAAAAUCUAGCAUUAAACAGUUCUGCAAAGAGAAAAAAGAUCGAAAACUCCAUCCAUUCUAGUUCUAGUUUAUGUGAGCUAUUUUCUAUCAGCUAGUCUGUUCCAAAAUGAAUGACACAUUUCUAUAUCCGGAGUUUUACUCUAAAUUUCUCGUUUUACCCUUAAUAAGAGUUUCAAAAGCCAACACAAAAAAUGACUCUAAUGAAGGUUAAACAUUCUGUGUAGAGGAAGAAAGUCAUAAUAUUGUAGCUGCGCACGGUUAUUUUUGCCGAUUGAUCUUCCAAUAUGCUAAUUUAACGACUCUCGUUCAUUACACUUCUUCCUUGCUGCUUGACAUCUAGCUGAUAGUAGGUUUACCGCUUUAGGUGUCAACACUACAACUUUCAGUCUAAGUAGUUUCAGUUACAACCAAUCUAUAGUUGAUAUUCAAAGAUCGAGUAAUUAAUACAUGAACUUCCCCUUCUUUCUUAAAGUAUGCACCAAGUCAAACUAUGUUACAUACAUUGUGACGAGAGUACUACUAGAGGAGAAAAACAUUCAGAAGAUCUAAAGUCUGAACUUUUACGUACCCAACAGUGUCUUGCAAUUGUGAAAUUGGGAUAACACCUGCCCUGUUAGUGAGGUCAACAGUUGGUUUGACUCCAACAACUGAAUUAGCAUUGGCUGGAUAUAGAAUGGAUCCUGCUGUUUCUGUCCCCAAUGCUAGUGCUGCAAGGUUUGCUGCUACUGAUGUUGCAGAACCAGUGCUUGAACCUGAUGGAUCAGCACUUGCUACAUAAGGAUUCUGUAACAACAUGAUGAGUAAAAAACACCAGGUUAUUAAACUCUUUUUAGUCAAAUUAUCAAAAAAGGCAGCCACGAGGGGGUGUGCAUAGACAGUCUGCCCUGACGUAAGCCUAGUGGUUGAUUCCCCAGCUCAAACAUGUGACCUAUAAGUCACACAGAAACAACUUUACCAUUGCUCAAACUUAAAGUAGUAUAUAGUGUUUAAUACUAUUAUAGGCUUCUUCAAAUCUUUGUUUGUCUUUCAUUUUUAUAUUUUGCAUCUUAACUAAUAUCAUAGAGGCGGUAUCAUCAUUUUUUUUCACUAAUUUUCUCAAUCUAUAAGUUUAACGACUUGAGUUAUGACCUGUUUUGGGACUUGAAUUACUUCUUCAUUACUCUUACAUGCUUGACUUAGUUAAGCUGUAUUUAGGGGAAUCAUUUUUUCUCAAUCAAUAAAGAACGAGACUUUACCAAACAAGCACCGAUAUUGAUGAUAGUGACCUUGAUACGGAGCUGGAACUGCAGAGAGACUCUUCCUAUCUUAUUAGUCAAGCGCUAAUUUACUGACAAUCACAUGUUAUAAUUCACUAGUGGUAUAAAAUUCCUUAUACCGUCCGUCAGCAUAUAUAACUUAAAAUUUUUUUACCAAUGACUCACCAGAGCUUGACCAAGUCUGCCAUUCCAACCACUAGGGAUAUUCUCAGUUCUAAAAGCAGCCCAUUCAGUCAUAGUUGCCUUGCCAAGUAUGAUAGCACUAGCAUUCCUCAACUUCUUGAUCACACCAGCAUCUUGUGGCACAAUGGACCCAACAAGUGCUAGUGAUCCUGCUGUUGUGUUAAGUUUAUCUUUUGUUGCAAUGUUGUCCUUGACAAGAACUGGUAUACCAUGUAGCCUGCUGGACAGUGGUACCCCCGAUUUUCGUUCUUGAUCAGCUUUAUCUGCAAGAAAAAGUGCAUCUGGAUUCACUUCUAUGAUCCCUUUAAGAAUUGGAUUAGCUUUCUGGAUUUCACUUAGAUAGAACUCAACAAGUUGUGUUGAGGUAAGUCUGUUUUGCUUGAAAGCUAUGUGAAUAUCAUCUAUACUUGUUUCCUUAAAUGAGAAUGUUUUCGCCUCAGAUUUGUUCCUGAAGUUGGAUAAUAUCAUGCACAGAGAACUGAAGAGAAUGGAAAAAAGAGACAUUUUUUGUUGUCAAAGUGGUUGAAGCUAUCUACUUCAAUAUUAGUCACAUAAAAAUGGAUAGGGAAUAAAGAGUCUUGGAGAAAUGAUAAAGAGUUGUUUGUUUAUGACUUAUAGAUCACGUGUUCGAGCGGUGGAAUCAUUCAGUAAUGCUUGUGUGAGGGUAGACUACCUACAUUACACACUUUGGGGUGCGGCCCUUCUUUAACAAGAAAGCAAAAAAGAACUGAAUUCAUGUCCUCAACCAAAGAUCAACAGGCAGAAUACAUCUUUAUUUGACAACUAACUAUCACACCAUGAUAGAGGCUAAACAAGAAAUUCUUUAGGCAUAACAGUCAGUAAAAUAAGACACUGUGAGAGGUUACAAACUACAUGAGCAUCAACACAGCGAGCAGAUAGAAGUAUCACAUCUCAAUUGGACUACUAUUGUUUUUGUCGGAUUAAGAGAAAGAUGGAUAACAUAAUAAUUCUCGAAGGUAUGACUCUUGCUAGAUAUUAACUAGAAUGACUCGAAGAUAUAAAAGUUCAUCAACGUUAUUUUAUGAUUUUUUUUUUCCUUUUGUCAACAUUUUGCUCUGGAACGUUGUACUUGAUAAUUAACAAAUCAUUUCAGAUGUGCAUACAUUCUAGAUUGAAUCGGAUAUGUAAUCCCAAUGAGGAUGUGAAGGAGGGGGCUUUCUGAUACGAGUUGCUUGUUCAAAGCCAUAUGCAAUCUCAAUGAGUGUUGGCUCAGAUCCCUUUAGUCCUCCGAAGGAAGUUCCGAAUGGAACUCCACUUUUAUCAUAACCAGCAGGUACAUUGAUCCCUGGAUAACCUCCUAUCGCGAGAAGAUGAGCAAUGUCAGCACCAGGUGACAUCAAUGCGUCUAACGCCUUUUCCUUCAUCAUCUUCUCGAACCCGUAUUUACAUGCUUUUGUUAUGUUGCUCAGUGCCUCCCUUUCCAAUUUCCCUAUUCCAUUCGUCUUCUCAGCUGCCUCCAUUAUGUCUUGACCAUAUUCUUCGACUUUUUCCUACAAUGAUAUAUAAAAGGAAAGAAGAAAAAUCAACUUAGAUGGCCGCACAUCCAACCUCUUAAACUAAAUAUUGUUUGCGGAUGUAUAAUAUGUGUAUAAUCCACAUAUAACAUGUGUAUAACCGUGUAUAAUCUGUAUAUCGGCGAGGAACGAUAAGCAGUGAAUCCAGCCAACUAUUUAUGUAAAGUUCCCUAAAAAGAAUGAAAAACAGAUAUACUUCGAUUCUACUUCUACAGACAUGUAGUUCAGCUAAUUUCAAUUAACAAGUGAAAGCUUUUAAUUCCUGCAAUAAUGUACUGCAAACCAAUAUGAACAUAUUGUUAAAAAUUAUUUAUGAACAAAGUAGUACUGGAAUGACUUCAGCCCAAAUAUGACAGGAAUGGUUACAACAUUGUAUAACUGAUCUCAACUUAAUUUUCUAAUAUCGAGGUGCAGUUAAUUGAUUGACUAAUACUUACCGAAGCUGAAACCUUGUUGAAGGCAAUAACAUCUGCCAAGGAUCGGACUCGAGUGUAGACUAACUUUUUAAGAUAUGCAUUUAGGUUCAUCUUGGAUUCAGCAGAAAGUGCUAUGCGUUGAGCAACAACAAGAGCAUCUUGGACCAAGUCGAUGUUAGGUAUUUCCAGGUUGUCAACUAAUACUGCUCCUUUUUGCCUUCAAAUAUUUCCAAGAAAAAAAGAUGCAUCUCUUAUAGGAUUAACAUAAUAAAUCAAAAUCAAACAUGAUAUUUGGACACAAAAUAAUUACCAUUGACAACAAUCACGCACCAGAGGUUAUGAGAUAACUCUGACAAUGUGCUUGUAUAAGGCAUAAUACAUAAGCAUACACUCAAACUUGGUCUCAACUGGCAAGUAGGCACUCAAGCUUUGAGAGUGCACAUCUAGACACCGGAACUUGGUCUCAACUGGGAACUAAACACUCCAACUUGUCCCCACUGUGUUUCGUGGACACUAGACACUGACGUGACACAUAAAUUUUGGAGUUGUCUAUCAUUUUGUAAGUUAAAGUGUUCAGAAGUGACACAUAAAUUUUGGAGGUGUCUAUCAUUUUGAAAGUUAGAGUGUUUAAUUGACGCAAUGAAGAAACUAGUUGAGGUGUCUGGAUGUGCAUAUUAAAAGUUGGAGUGUUUAGUUGCCACUUGAGGUCAAGUUAAAGUGUCGAUCUAUGUACUAUGCCUUUAUAUAAGGUCUAGAGAGAGAACCUAGCUGAAACUAGUGAAAUCGUGAGGGCCCUCCCAUACGCCUAUCAAGUUGAGCCUACACUCACCGCCGGCUAUACAGGACCGGCCAAGCACAUAAAGUGCACGGUCUAAUAAUGAGUAAAACUAAACUAUAGAAAUAUAAGUACAAGUGAAAAGGAUUACCUAAAGGUGUUAAAAUGCUGUUGGUACGUCUUGAUAUCAUUGGAACCAAAAAGGUCCUUUGAAAUACCUAGUCUUUUAUCUUUGAGCCCAUCAGCCUUAAGAAAUUGCCGGUAUCCACCAUGUGGAAUGUAAGUGGAAGCCUUUUUAGUUGCUGGAAAAUCAUCUCGAUCGAAGCCAACAAUGGCAUCAAGAACCUCAACAGCAUCAGAUACUGUCCUGCAGAUUGGCCUGUUCUACGACAAAAAAGCAUUGUAUGAAAACAUUUUCGAUGUCUUCCAUGAUCAUGUUUGUUACCAAGUACUUGCAUUUUUGCUACUCUAAUGCAGCCUACAACGUCUAAAUUGUGGAUCUAAUACUAAAAACAAGUAGUCCUAUUUUGCAUCAUCAAAUUUUUCGCAGCUGUUCAAAACUCUGGCAUUAUAUAGUUCCACAAAGAGAAAAAAGAAUACUCCAUCCAUCCAAAAAGAAUGACACGUUUCCAUAUCUGAAAUUUUACUCUAAAUUUCUCGUUUAACCCUUAAUAAAAUGUUUCUAUAGCCACAUCAAUUCUAUAACAACCACAAUUUUCAACUUUCAAAAGCCAACACAAAAAAUGAGUCUUUUAGCGAAGUUAGCAUAUUUUGUCAAGAGGAAGAAACUUAUUACAUUGUAGCCGCUCAUGGUUAUUUUUGCUGAUUGGUCUUCCAAUGUGCUAGUUUCAAUGACUCUCUUUCGUUACAUUUCUUCCUUGCUGCUUGGCAUAUAGUGUCAAAUUUGUGCCGAAUGUCUCUCAAUGUUGAGAGUCUUGCCAUUAAAUAGAAAGUAUUCAAAGAUUACAUCCCAAAAAAUCCGCCUUUCCUGUCGCUACUAUCCCUUUGAAUCCGCUAUUGUAUCCCUUAUAAUCUGCUAUUCUAUAUCUUUGAUUACUACAUCAUAUCUCUAUAAUUACGAAUAUACUACAAUAUAUAAUUACAUUAAUAUAUACAAUAUUCACUAUUAAUUCAUGAUCUUUGAGUUGUCCAUCAUGCUAACAUAUAGUAGGUAUCUGGUUUACCGCCAGUGGCGGAGCCACAGCCAACGAAGGAUGGUCAGAUGAACACCCUUCGUCGAAAUUUUUUCUGACCAUCCUUCGUCGGAAUUUUUUUUCGAGUAUAUAGGUUAAAUAUAAUAUAGAAAUGUUGUUGCACGCCCUUGACAAGCUAGAGAAGCAUAGUCUAUGUGAAGAAAUGGACCUUGGGCCUAACUCAAUCUCAAAAGCUAGCUCAAGAGGUGAGGAUUACCCAAGUCCAUAUAAGCAAACCACUAGUCCAUUCCCCAACCAAUGUGGGACUUUUACCCACUCUAACAUUCUAGUGGUUAAGAGUGUGCAUUUCCGCAUCAACAACCCGGGUUUAAAUCUUGACAGGUGCAGCAGUGCUUUAUUUUCUUUGUUUUUUAAACAGUUCUUUGCCCAAGGAAAAAUAUAAACACCCUUAACCAAAAGUCUGGCUCCGCCACUGUUUACGGCUUUCGAUAUCAACACUAUGGUUUUCAAUCUAAAUAGUUUUAAUUUCAACCAAUCUACAGUUGAUAAUCAAGGGCUUUCCUUUCUUUCUUAAAAUACAUGCCAAAUCAAACUUUCUUAAAAUACAUGCCAAAUCAAACUAUGUCACAUAAAUUGUGACGAUUAAUUUUUACUUACCCAACAGUGUCUUGCCUAUGUGAAAUUGGGAUAACACCUGCCCUGCUAGUGAGGCCAACAGUUGGUUUGAUUCCAACAACUGAAUUAGCAUUGGCUGGAUAUAGAAUGGAUCCUGCUGUUUCUGUCCCCAAUGCUAGUGCUGCAAGGUUUGCUGCUACUGAUGUUGCAGAACCAGUGCUUGACCCUGAUGGAUCAGCACUUGCUACAUAAGGAUUCUGUAAUAACAUGAGUAAAAACACCAAAUACAUUUUUAGUCAAAUUGUUCUUAAAAAAAAAGGCAAUCUGGUGCACGAAACAUUCUGCAUUCAGGCAAAAUCCGUCAAUGCCAGCAACAUCCCAAGAGGGUACAAUGUAGGUAAUCUACCCCGACACAAGCAACGGCUCGCAAAUGUGAGGUCACACGAAGGUAGCUUUACCUUUGCUCCAACUUAAAGUAGUAUAUACACUAAAUUUGUUUGUGGCACGGUGUUUAAGAAAGUAAAGAAGAUUCUCCAAUCUUGUGAUCUCAAAUAAGGGGAAAGGACAUAAAUGUCACCUCGCCUAAAAUAUUUCCACUGAUAUAGGCAUUGAUUUGGCAAUUCCAAUAGAUAGCCAUUUAGGCUUUUCUGUCGCUGCGACUAUCCUUCUUUUUUUUUUUUUUUUCCUUAUUUAUUGUUUAAUUUUUAAUGUCAAUUAUUUUAUAGGUUACAUUCUCUUCCUUCCUAUUUUUUUUGUUUGUUUUUCACUAUUUUUUUUCUUCUCUCUUUUAAUGUUGUUAAUUUUUUUUUUUGAGAAAAGUCCACUCUGUCCACCUAUUUAUUUUUGUAGAUGCGAUCACGAAAAUAAAAAUAUGAAAUACAAGUCCACCCAUAAUGUUCUAUCUCUUUUCAUACGAGUUAACACUAUAGCGGCACUUUGAUUUUUUUUCUUUCUGCUCUCUCUCUUUUUAAUUAAAAAAAUUAUGGAAUGUUUGGAUAGUAAGGGUACAAGGUUUAAUAAAUUUUGUAUAUGCUUGCACAAAUUUUCACAAAAUUUUAGGUGAAGUUAAAAAAUUCACGAAUAACGAAUUACUAUAGAUGCUUGCACAAAUUUUCUCUGUAAAAGGUGUAUUUAUGUAGUAUAUAUACUGUAUCAACGUGGUAUAAAAGUGUAUCAAUCUAGUAUAAAAGUAUAUCAAUGCGGUAUCAAAGUGUAUCAAUAUGUAUAAAAGAGUAUCAAUUGGUAUAUGGACUGCAUGUACUUGCAUAAAUUUUUUUUUUUUAAAAGUGUCUCAACAUAAUAUAAAAGUGUAUCAAUGUGGUAUAAAAGUGUAUCAAUUGAGUAUAGAGACUGCAUGUUCCCAAUUGGGCCAAAUGGCUAAAAAGAGGAAUUAAAUUGGGCCGACUGGCUAAGGUUGUCCACCUUUUCAAUUAUGGGCCAUUUUUUUUUAAAAAAGUCAGCUCAUGUCCUUUUCCCCUCAAAUAAUAUACCAAAAUGUCCUUUAAUCUCAUGAUCAUAAACAUGUCAUGAAAAAGUUGAAAUUAAAGAUUUAUAAAAAAAGGAGAUCUUAUUGAAACAGACCAAAAAGAAAAGUAAUACAAACAAACUAAAACAGAGGGAGUAGUUUUUUUCCAGAUCAUAUACUACUUUAAAUCUUUGUUUCUCUUUCAUCCCUGUCUUUUGCAUCUUAACUAAUCACAAAGGUUGCAAAAUAAAUCUAUUUUUACUAACUAAACGACUUAAGUUAUGACUAUUUUUUGACUUGACCCAACCCGCACAUUUAUCACCCAUGGCGAAUCAAACUAUAUAUAUUAUUAAAUAUGACUCACCAGAGCUUGGCCAAGUCUUCCAUUCCAACCAUUAGGCAUCGUUGAAGAUCUAGAAGCAGCCCACUCAGUCAUAGUUACCUUGCCAAGUAUGAUAGCACCAGCAUUCCUCAACUUCUUGACCACACCAGCAUCUAGUGGCACAAUGGAUCCAACAAGUGCUAAUGAUCCUGCUGUUGUGUUAAGCUUAUCUUUUGUUGCAAUGUUGUCUUUGACAAGAACUGGUAUACCAUGUAGCCUGCUGGACAGUAGCGCCCCCGAUUUUCGUUCUUGAUCAGCUUUAUCUGCAAGAAAGAAUGCAUCUGGGUUCACUUCUAAGAUCCCUUUAAGAAUUGGAUUAGCUUUCUGGAUUUCACUUAGAUAGAACUCAACAAGUUGUCUUGAGGUAAGUUUGUUUUGCUUGAAAGCUAUUUGAAUAUCAUCUAUAGUUGUUUCCUUAAAUGAGAAUGUUUUUGCCUCACUGAUGUUACUGAAGUUGGAUAAUAUCAUGCACAGAGAAAUGAAGAGAAUGGAAAGAAGAGACAUUUUUUGUUUUGAUUGAAGAUAUUUGCUUCAAUAUUAGUCACAUAAAAGUGGAUAAGGAAUAAAGAGUCUUGGAGAAAUGAUAGAGUUGACUUUGUAUGACCAAUAGGUCACUGUGUUCGAGCCGUGGAAUCAGUCAGUAAUGCUUGUGUGAGCAUAGGCUACCGACAUUACAGAUUGAUUUGGGGCGCGACCCUUCUCUAAAUUUUGUUGAUAUGUAGGUCAUGUGUUAGAGCGGUUGGAAUCAAUCACUAAUGCUUGUGUGAGAGUAGACUAACUACAUACCCCAAAUUACACCCUUUGGGUACGACCCUUCUGUGAAAACACUUGCUAAGACUCCACUGAUGGAGCUAAGAAGAGGAGAAAGAUAAAAAAUUAUAACUGCUUCAAAACUUAUGUGUUACAAUCAGAUUGUUGUGCCUUAUAUAGGCAACAAAAUAUCUAAUAACUACCUUUCUUCUAGAACACUCUAUUUGAUAGCUCAUUGCCACUCACUAAUCAUUUUCUAACACCCUCUAACAACUUAUAUAGCUGACCCAGCAGUAUGCUACUAACUAGUUGAAUGCCUACUCCUAUCAAUAUUACACAUAAGUGGAACAGGUAGUCGUGUAUGUUCCAAAACACUCCCCCUCAAGCUGUAGGGUGCAGAACAUUUAGCACACCAAGCUUGCUAAGUAAGUGGGCAUGUUGAGCAAGACUUAGUCCCUUGGUAAGCAAAUCAGCAAGUUGAUCAGUAGACUGAACAUGUAGAGCCUUAAUCAAUCCAUCUUUGAUUUUGUCCCUAAUGAAAUGACAGUUAAUCUCAAUAUGUUUGGUUCUCUCAUGGAACACAAGGUUGUUGGCCAGUUGAAUGGCUGAAUUACUGUCACUAUAAACUGAAAUGGGGAGGUUGAUAGGGACCUUAAGUUCCUAAAACAAUCCAACCAGCCAAGUGAGUUCUGCAACUGCUGUAGCCAUGCUUCUGUACUCAGCUUCAGUAGAACUCCUGGAAAUAGUGUGCUGCUUCUUGGACUUCCAUGAUAUAAGUGAUUAACUAAAGUGAAUAGCAUAACCAGUAACUGAUCUUCUGGUGUUUAGACAAGCAGCCCAAUCAGAGUCACACCAGGAAGUCAAAGUAUUAGCAGGUUCAGCCUUUAACCAGACACAUUAGCCAACAAAAUUUCUUAGGUACUUGACUACCCUGGUAGCUGCUUCUCAGUGAGACUUCUUGGGAUGCUGGAUGAAUUAGCUGAGAGUUUGGAAAGCAAAGUUAAUGUCUGGCCUUGUAAUAGUGGCAUAAAUAAGCUUCCCAACAAGUCUUUAGUAAGAGGAAAUGUUAGACAACAGUUCAUCACCUUGUGCACCUAUUGCUUGGUCAUACUCAAUAGAGGUGGGAAUGGCAUUAGAAUCUAAGGGAGUAGUAACAGGCUUAGCACCACUAAGACCUGUUUCAGCAAUCAACUCUAGAAUAUACUUUCUUUGGUUCAGAAUAAUCCCUGAUGUUGAUCUUAAAACUUCAAUACCCAAAAAAUACUUGAGAUCCCCCAAGUCUUUCAUCUUAAACUACUGAUGCAACUUGAUUUUGGUAGAAUUGAUCAAGGAGGCACUACUUCCAGUGAUUAGUAAAUCAUCAACAUAAACAAGAACUAUAACAGUAUCAUUAGCUUGAUGCAGGGUGAAUAGGGAAUAAUCAUGUGCACUUUGAGUAAAACUAGCAUCAAGUAAGGCAUGCGUAAGCUUAACAUUCCACUGCCUGGAGGCUUUCUUAAGACCAUACAAGGAUUUGAUCAACUUACACACCUUGUGCUCUCCCUGUCUUAUAAAUUCUUCAGGCAUUUCCAUGUAAAAUUCCUCCUCAAGAUCCCCCUGGAGGAAUGCAUUAUGCACAUCCAUUUGAUGAAGAUUCCAACCUUUAGAUGCAGCUUGUGCAAUCACACAUCUGACUGUAACCAUCUUAGCCACUGGUGAGAAGGUUUCAUGAUAGUCCAACCCUUUUUGUUGGCUAUAUCCUUUGGCCACUAACCUUGCUUUGAACCUCUCCAUUUCACCAUUGGCAAGAUAUUUGAUUUUGUAUAUCCACUUGGAACCAACAGUAUUCUUCCCUUUAGGUAGAUCAAUAAUGACCCAUGUGUUGUUAGCUUCCAAGGCUUGAACCUCUGAUUUCAUAGCUUCCACCCACCUUUCAUCUUUUACAACCUAUUUAUAAUGCUGAGGCUCAGUUAAAGUGGAGAAUUUAGAUAAAUAGCACUGAUAAGUAGGACUCAGAUUUUUAUAAGACAAGCUGUUGGCUAAUGGAUAUUUGCAUCUCUAAUUUCUAGAAGUAUCAACAUAAUCAUGCAUCCACACUGGUGGUUUGCUUGUUCUUGCAGGUCUACUGGAAGAGGGUUGAGGCAGGGAACAGUUAUCUUGACAUGUUUCUUCAUGAGUGGUGCCAGGUGAAGCUGCACCAGGAACUUCAGCAUCAGAAAUGUCAUCCUCCUCAAUUGGAGCUCCUUCAGUAACACUCUCAGUAUUUGUUUCAUGAAAUGUUUCUUCAUUUGUGGGAAUCAAAAAGUCAGUAAUAUUUUCUCCAGAUGUGGAAGCUUGUAUGUUUUGUGCUGGUGAGGAAGCAAAAGGAAAUGUAUCUUUAUAAAACACAACAUCUCUACUGACUAAUAGUUUCUUUGAGGUGAUAUCCAGCAGUAAAUACCCCUUCUGAGAUUUUGAAUAUCCCACCAAGACUGCAGGUUUGGCCCGUUCUGUGAACUUAUCACCUCUUGGAAGGAUAGUGACAUAACACAAGCAUCCAAAUACCCUGAGAUGUGACAACUUGGGAUCCUUGAAAAACAUUAACUGAAAUGGGCUCUUACCACUUAGAAUAAAAGAUGGUAACCUGUUCAUUAGAUACAUUAGAUAUACUGCAACCUUUACAUAUAGUCCCCAAUACUUAAUGGGCAAGUUAGACUGAAACUUGAGGGCUCUAGCUAUUUUUAAUAUGUGUCUAUGCUUCCUCUCCACAACUUCAUUCUAUUAAGGAGUGUGAGGAUAGCUGGUCUGAUGUAGUAUGCCCAGGGACUGGAACAAUGUCUUACAUUGAGAGUAGAUAAAUUUAGUGCCAUUAUCAGAUCUAAUGGUUUUUACCAUUAUGUCAAACUGAGUUUUAAUCAUGGAAACAAAUGUCUUAAUAGCCAUUAUGGCAUCAGACUUUAACUGCAACAGGUGCACCUAAGUGUAUCUAUUAUGGUCAUCUACAAUAGUCAAGAAGUAAUACUUAUUGUCAAAAGUAGAAGUUUUAUAUGGACCCCACAAAUUCAUGUGUACAAGCUCAAAACAUGUAGAGCAUCUAGUAGUACUUAAAGGAAAUAACAAUCUUGUCUGUUUAGCUAAUGGACACACAGAACAUUUAUUCAACAUGUUUGCAUCACUAGGAUUCUUCAUAAUGUCUAAACACUUUAGAACCUGAGCAACAGGGUGUCCAAGUCUUUGAUGCCAUAAGAUGCAACUGGAAGUGGAGACUUCUGCAAUAAAUCUGCUGGCUUCUGAUCUUAACUGACUAGCACCUUUAAGAACAUAUAGUCCACCAUCUUGUCUACCAAUCCCGUUUACCUUACCAUUGAAGAGGUCAUGAAAGAUACAAAAAUCAGGAUAAAAGAAUACAAAACAUAAAAGUUCCUUCGUUAUCUUGGCAACAGACAAUAAAUUGAGUUUGAAGUCUGGAACAUGUAGAACAUCUUUGAUCACAUCAUCUGCAAAGAUGUGAGCUUCUCCUGUGUGUGAGAUUGUAACUUCAUCACCUGUUGAAAGGUGCAACUUAUCCACAUGCUUGGAGUCUAAUCUGGUACCUCCUUUGAACAAGUGUCUAUGUGCAAACACAUGAUGUGUAGCACCUGAGUCUACAAUCUAACUGUCAGAACAUGCUUUAGACAAGAAAUGAGUAGUAAUACCUAUCGUAUUGACUUGUUUCAUAUCUGUUGUGUCUUUGUUCAACAUAGUUAUAAUCUGAGUGUACUCUUCCUCAGUGAAUGUGUAAGGCUUGGCCUUUGGUGUGGGAGUUACUUCAUGACUAGAACUAUCAGCAUCAACUUAACCAACUACCAUAGUUGAAGCCUGAGAAAUAGACCUUUGAUCAGUGUUUACAAAGUUGUUACUGCCAGUAUACUGUGAUCUGAAAUUAGAGUUCUAGCUUUGUUUCUUCCUGUUCUUCCAGUCAUUUCGAUACCCUACCAACUUAUAGCAAGUUUCCUUGGUAUGACCCAAUAGAUGGCAAUAAUCACACUUUCUGCCUCUAUAGUUAGAGUUGCUUUGUCCAAAAACAUAAUUUCGAUUCACUUGCAUAGCACGUGGUUUUGAUCUAUCAUUCACAGUCAUUAUACAUGCUGAAUGUUAGAUUUCAUCCUCUAUGAGCAUAGCAUAAACUUGAUUGAGAGUAGGAGUCAUUCCUUGGAGCAAUAUCUGUCUUCUAGCUUGGUCAUAGGACUCAUUCAGGCUGCUUAAAAACUAUAAAAGUCUAAGUUGACACAUAUGAUCUGAGUACUCUCUAGAUGUAGGACAAGCACAACUAGGAUUUGGCACUAGUACAUCAUACUCACUCCAUAAACUCUUCAAUUUGGUAAAAUAGGCUGAGAUUGAAUCUGUACCUUGAGAGUGCAUAUUAAUUUCGCGAUGCAACUGGUAUGUACGCAUACGAUUCACCUUGUCAUACCUCUCCUUCAAAUCCUCCCAAACUGCACAAGCAUUCGUGGCAUAAACAAUGCCAAAUAACAGACUCUCACUCACAGUGUUCAUAAUCCAGGAAAGCACAAUUGUAUUACAUGUUUCCCACUGCUCAUGAAGCUCCUCUCUAUAUGAUUCCUUGUUGCAGGCACCAGUGACAAAUCCAAACUUCCUCUUUCCUAAGAGAGCAAUACGCAUCGAUCGACUCCAUAAACUAUAAUUUUUUGAACCAGUUAACUUGAUUGAAACAAGUACAACACUGGAGCUCUCAGAUGUACCAAUGAAAAGUGGAUCACUUUGAUCGAUUUUAGGUGCCAUGAUUGAUAAAAUGCAACUGUAAUAUAGGUCGAAAUUGCGAAAAAGAGCUGAAGACAGAGAUCCAAAAUGCGCAGAAAACUAGUGAAAUGUGAUCGAAAACACACACUUAGUGUAGAACUCGUGGCUUUGAUACCAUGUGAAAACACUUGCUAAGACUCCAUUGAUGGAUCUAAGAAGAGGAGAAACAUAAAAAAUUAUAAUUGCUUCAAAACUUAUGUGUUACAAUCAGAUUGUUGUGCCUUAUAUAGGCAACAAAAUAUCUAAUAGCUAUUUUUCUUCUAGAACACUCUAUUUGACAGCUCAUUGUCACUCACUAAUCAUUGUCUAACAGUCUUUAACAACUUAUAUAGCUGACUCAGCAGUAUGCUACUAACUAGUUGAAUGUAUACUCCUAUUAGUAUUACACAUCAGUGGAACAGAUAGUCGUGUAUGUUCCAAAACACCUUCUCUAAAUCUUGUUGAUAUAGAGUUGCUUCAUCCACCAAGCUGUAUUUAUUUUAAUAGUGGAUGCAUGAUUAUAGCUGACCAUAAACUCCUUUCGGUCCCAAAUAUUAGUUGUUUUGACAAAGUAAAUUUGCUCCAAGAAAAUAAGAAGUCAUUUACUUUCGAUUAUCUUCCAAGUUUAUGAUCAACAUUUCAAUUUAAUUAUUGGAGUAUUAAUCAAGUGAGACGUUUAAGAGAGAUAAAGGUUAGUCUAACAACUAGUUUUAUGAGUAAGGUUAUUAUAGUAUUUAUUUUUAAAGAGACUGCCAAAAUUGUCAAAGGCAGAUAAUAUAAAUCAAAUAUAAAUGAAGAGCAUGGCCUGUUGUAAGAUAAGAUUCUUUUUAUGUGAUUUGACAUAUUCUCUUCCAAAAGAUCCAAAGUAUUUAAUUUUUAAAGAGCCUGCCAAAAUUGUCAAAGGCAGAUAAUAUGAAUCAAAUAUAAAUGAAGAGCAUGGCCUGUUGUAAGAUAAGAUUCUUUUUAUGUGAUUUGACAUAUUCUCUUCCAAAAGAUCCAAAUGCCUGUGUGGCCCACUAAUCACUAUCAAACUUUUUUCUAUAAUCCUCUUUUAGAAAGCAUUUGUUGCACAUGACAAAUAAUUCAAAAAUUAUAGUUGUCAUAUAUAAUUGGUAAAUUCAUUCUCCUAGUUAUUUGAUCAUAUUACAUGCUAAUUGCUUAUAUAAGAAAUUGAAUAUUCAACAAUCAAAUUUCCACUUUAAUGCAACAGAUGUUGGUUCUUACUUUUACCACCACAAAUCGUGGAUUCAGUCAAAAAUAAUAGUAGAAAAUUUUCAUAAAUACUUAUACUUUGGACCAUAAUUACCAUCACUAUAAAGAGUAUAUUAAAUGCCUGAAGUUUACUUUUCAACUAAUUAUUGCAUUUAAUUUCAUGUGACGUGCGAUGAGAUUCCUUCACUUUUAAUUAUCAUCAAACCUCUUCCACACAACCACAUAAUUCAUCUUACAAUUACCAUCAUCGAUCAUCACUUUGUUAACUACUGUUGCUAGUUGUUGUUGAGGAUUAUGUUUCAUUAUGCUAUUUUACUGCUCCAUUCAUUCAUUUUUUGUUUUAUUAAUUCACUGCAGCACUACUGAACUGACUAGCCAGAUAAGUUUGUCGCUUAGUUAGUUAGAUGAGUUGGCUGAUUGAUAAUUAGUAGGUUAUUAGUGAAGUUUGAGUGUGUAGUGAGCUGGCACACAAGAAUGUUCUAGAACAAGUUAGCUAUUCCUACAACUCAAUCUAUAAAAGGCUGAAUAUGCUCCUCAUUGUAAAGACUAGAAGCAGUUAUAAAAUUCUCUAUUGUUCUUCCUCUUCUUUCUUCUAAGCUCCAUUGAUAGAGUCCUAGCUGAUUGAGAUAGUUUUCACAUGGUAUCAGAGCUAUCGAUACUGGUUGCUUCUAGGCUGCAUUUUAAGUUGCAUAGAAGGUCUCUAGCUAGUUACUCGUAGCAAAAUUGCAGUAGCUAAUGGCACUCAAAAUUGAUCAAAAUGAUCCUCUAUUCAUUGGAUCCUUAGAUGUUACUAGUGCUGUAUUGAUCCUAAUAAAAUUGACUGGACGUGAGAAUUAUGGCGUAUGUAGAGAAGAUCUGCAUGAGCAAUGGGAGACAUCCAAUGCCAUUGUUCUAUCAUAGUUAAUGAACACAAUUAGUGAAGAACUUCUUAAUGGGAUAGUAUAUGCUAUGAAUGCCUCUGAAAUUUGGGCUGAUUUGAAAGAGCGAUUUAACAAGGUCAAUUGACUGAGAGUGUAUCAAUUGCAUAGGGAAAUUACCAUGCUUUCACAAGGUAUUGAUUUUGUAUAUCACUACUACACAAAAUUGAAAACCUUGUAGAAUGAAUAUGAUGCUGUCACACCCUCACCUAGCUGUGAUUGUCCUCGAUCGAGAGACUACGUGGAUCACUUGUCAUAAAUGAGACUGAUACAGUUCUUAAGUGGCUUGAAUGAUCUCUAUGAUCAAGCACGACGACAAAUUCUCCUAAAAGAAACUACUCCUGCACUCAACCAAGCAUAUGCAAUGCUAAUUGAGGAUGAGAUCCAACACUCCACAUGUAUAGCUACGAUGGUUGGGAAAUCAGAUCAACUUACUAUGAGUGUCAAUAGGAAUUAAGGAAAAGAGUAUUACAAAGGGAAAAAAUAUGAAUUUUUCAAUUUUACUGGCCAUACCAAAGAAAACUGCUAUUUGUUGAUAGGUUAUUCAGUGGAUUGGAAAUUGAGAAAGAAAUCUGGUGGUAAUGGUGCUUUUAGGAACUCUAAUUUUAGAAGCAAUACCUGGCAUAUGUAUGGUAAUCAUGGAAAUACUGGUCAAGAAGGAAACUCUGCAGCAAACAAUAUCUCUAGUGGAUCCUGUGAUCAAAUUCAAGUUGUAUCAACUAGCCAAUCAUCCACAAGCCAUGAAGGAAACAUUGCUGCUAUGGCAAAGGGAUAAGCCAUCUCUGAAGAAGAAUACAAACAAAUUCUUAAUAUGCUUUACAAGGAUAUUUCAGAGACUAAGAAGAUUAACAUGACAGGUAUUACCACUUGUUUAAUGUCACAUACGACAUUUCCAAAAGACUAGAUAAUAGAUUCUUGUGCUUCUCACCACAUAACAUCCAGUAAGUGCGGACAUUCAUUACCUGACUAAACCACAGAAGGAUCAAGUUCAUUUACCUACAGAAGAUAAAGUAAAAGUAACUCAUACUGUUACAAUAGAUAUUUUCUUAGAUUCAAUAGUGGAAAAUGUUCUAUUAGUCCCAAAUUUCAAAUUCAAUUUGUUAUAUGUUUCCAAAGUCACAAGAGAACUCACUUGUUUUAUUUCCUUUUACCCUGACUUUUGUGUCUUUUAAGACGUAUUGAGUGGCAAGGUGAAAGGGAUUGGUAAGAAACAUGGUGGAUUAUACAUCUUCAAAAUUGAGACUAUGCAAAGGCAUCUAGGCAAAGACAACAAUAACUCAAAAAGAUUAAUUACUCUAACCGUGAUAAUACCCGAUGUCAUGUUAUGGAAUUCCAUGCUGGGACAUCCUUCUUCUCAAGAUUUAAAACAUCUGAAGUUGAUGGAAUGCAACAAUGAUAGUGAGAUUCUAAAUAACUAUCUUGUUUGUCCAUUAGCUAAACAAACUAGACUCUCUUUCCUAUCUAGUAAUUCUAGAGCAUCUGCAUUGUUUGAGAUAGUUCACAUAGAUCUUCGGGGACCAUAUAAGACCCCUACUAUUGAUAAGAAAUAUUAUUUUAUUAUAAUUAUAGAUGAUCAUAGUAGGUUUGUAUGGGUUUAUUUAUUGUAGUUAAAGUCUGAAACUAUUGUUACCAAGAGUAGAAUGAUAUAGUAGAAAGGAAACAUAGUCACAUAUUAGAGAUUGCUAGAGCCAUUAGAUUUCAAUCAAAGCUGCCUAGUAACUUCUAGGGAUUUUGUGUUCAAGCUUCAAUAUACUUGAUGAAUUGACUACCAUCAUAUGCUUUAGCCAAUAAGACUCCAUAUGAACUAUUAUAUUGCAAGGGGCCCAUGCUGGCACAUUUAAGGGUCAUAGGAUGCCUUUGUCAUGCCUCAUGCUUACCAAAAGGUGAUAAAUUUUCAGCCAAAGCUGUUCCUGCUACGUUGUUAGGAUUCUUAGAGCUACAAAAAGGUUAUAUAGUGUGGGACAUUUCCAUAAGCAAGAUCUUUGUGUCCUGGGAUGUGUCCUUUAGAGAAGAUAUUUUUCCUUUUGCUGAUGCUCAUAUUGGAAGUUCUUUCUAACCAUUAGUUUCACCCAGUUCUCCUUUGGAAAUAGUGCAUGAUUCAUGUCUAGCUGAUGCCUUAAAUAAUAAAGGUGCAAUUGACUGCACACUUAAACCUUGCAUAUCUUUACCACCGGAUGAGACACCAUCAGAUUAAGCAUCUCAUACUAUUCUUCCAUCACAUGCUGCAGAGAUUUUUCCUCUUAGAAAAACUAGUAGAGUAACCAAACAACCAUCCUGGUUGAAAGGCUUCUCUACUAUCAUAAGGCCUCAGACUAGUACUAGAUAUCCUAUGUCAAACUACCUCUCAUAUGAUCAUGUCAACCCUUAUCAGUACUAUGUGGCUAAGUUUACUCAUCAUCUAGAGACUAGGACUUUUAAGACAGCUACAAAGGAUGAUAGAAGGAUUGCUGCUAUGAAGCAAGAGAUCCAUGCUCUUGAGGAUAAUCAAACCUAAAAGGUGAUUGAUUGGCCACUUGGAAAACAUAAAGCUGGAUCUAAAUGGGUGUAUAAGGUCAAAUACCAAGAAAAUAGUAUGGUAUAAAGAUACAAGACAAGGUUGGUAGCAAAAGGUUAUAGUUAGUUGAAAGGCUUGGAUUAUCAUGAUCCAUUUUCCCCGGUUGCCAAAAUGGUUAUAGUACGAUGUGUCAUUGCUUUAGCUGCCUCCUAAGGAUGGAACAUGUUUCAAAUGGCUAUAUACAAUGCUUUUCUUUAAUGUGAUAUAGAUGAAGAAGUAUAUAUGGAUUUACCUGAUGGUUUUAAGAAACUAGGGAAAACUGAGAAGACUAAAGUCUGCAAUUACACAAAUCCUUAUAUGAUCUUAAGCAAGCUUCCAUGCAAUGGAACAUUAAGCUGACUUCUGCCUUGUUAGAUACUGGUUUCUCUCAAAGUGCACAUGAUUAUUCUCUCUUUACUUUUAAGAAAGCUGAAGACAUAGUGGUUGUACUAGUGUAUGUUGAUGAUUUUCUCAUCACAGGGAGCAAUGGCCAGUUAAUUGACGAAUCUAAGAAAUCUCUACAUUAGAGGUUCAAACUGAAAGAUCUAAGCCAUCUCAAGUACUUCUUGGGAAUUGAGGUGUUGAUAUCAAGUUUAGGUGCUAUACUAAAUUAGAGAAAGUAUAUUCUAGAGUUGAUUCAUGGUACAGGCCUUAGUGGUACCAAGCCUAAUCCUACUCCUUUGGAAUCUAACUUGAGGUUGACCUCAGUAGAGUAUAACAAGGUAAAUGAUGUUAUUGGAGAUCGGUGACACACUAAACUUACUCCAUAAGUUAUGGAAAAGGCGAUCAUUGUCAAAUAUAAUAAUUCAAUAUGAGUUGGGGUCAAAUCCUCGAGGAGUGAAUCUAGUAUUCAAAUUCUAUGGGUGUUAAAAGCAUCUAAGUUUAUACCCAUCAUAUAAACUAAAUGAAAUACAUGAAUUAAAAUUUGGGGGGGGGGGGGGGGGGGGAUGUAUGGUUUGGAAAAAUUAUUUUAACAAAAACUACUCAAAUUACCAAUUGGGAGCAACAAAUGUAGAUAAGAUUUCAAUAGGAGAAUGGUCUUGGGAUUAUGUUUUCUUAGGGGAAAAUAGUGCGUGGGUUCAUGAUAAUCAAAUACAACUUCUAGUUAAUAACUAGAUGGGUAGGCUAGAUUAGGGGUUUUGAUGCUAGCUUUUCAACCAAACACAAAAGAUAUCACUUAUGGACCCUUUCGGAUACCUCAUGAAUGUGGUAAAAAAAUCUACCCAAUACCUCAAUUGGGAAUCCCUAUUUCGAGGAAGAUGCCCGAGACAUAACAAAUUCAUAAUCCACACUUAUUUCUAAGACAAUAAAAAUGAACAAGCUAAUAUCUAAUUUAUUGUUCACAAAUACUAUUCACUCACAUCCCUCUUACAAGGAUGAUGUGCAAUUUGGAGAAAUUGGGGCUUUCACCCAUAAAUCCCAAUUUAGCAAUCAAAUAUUUGUGAACUCCACCAUCAUCAACUAUGAAUUUACACUAAUAAUCAAAACCCACACACAUUUGUACCCUAUUCAAACAUAAUCCCAAGAUAGAAUAUUAGCUACUCAUGGAAAUAGGAAAAAGAGCAUUACCCAAAUUGACAUUCAUUUCCUCAAUUGAAAAUAAAGCAAAAGUAAUCCCAAAAUUCCAAGCUCCAAUUACAACUAAAAAUAUUUUUUUUGGAAGAUUAAAUCUAAUUGUUCUUCUCAUACUAAUUGGAAGUUUUCUCUCUAUUUUUCUUUCAAAGGUUGUUGGAAGAUAUUGCCAAAGUGAAAGGGUUUGCUCUUUUGAGAGAUUGGAACCAGCUGUGGAAAAUUAUCAAUCUGCCCCUGGGCUGAUUUACACCUCAUUACGAUCGUUGGUGCAUUGAUCACGAUCGCGGCUCCUGCAGCCGCGGAGAACCUAUUGCGAUCGCCAACUUUGACUGAUUUGGAUUGGCCGCGUUGCGAGCCUCAGACCGCGAUCGCAGUAACUGAGGGUCAAUUUCUGCUUCUGCUUUUCUAGAUUUUGCACUACUUCUUCCUUUUUUGAUAUGUUUUUAGGAUAUUUCACUUCUUUGCUUCUCAUCACCUGUAUGCCUACAAAACAUGGGAAUUAGCGCAUUCAAAUGACAAAUUUGUAUCAUUAACACCAGUAACUCAUAGCAGUAUGCAUGGAUUUGGGCAUCAAUGAGUGGUAAAUAAGCGAUCACGGUAACUGAGGGUCAGUUCCUACUCCUGUUUUUCCAUCUUUUGCACUACUUCUUCCCUUUUUGAUAUGUUUUUAGCUCAUUUUACUUCUUUGCUUCUCAUCACCUGUAUGCCUGAAAAACAUGGGAAUUAGCACUUCAAAUGAUAAAUUUGUAUCAUUAAUACCAUUAACUCAUAGUAAUGUGCACAAAUUUGGGCAUCAAUGAGUGGUAAAUUAACCACUCAUCAACACCCCCAGCUUAAAACUUUGCUUGUCCUCAAGUAACACUACUUCUUAUUCAAUGAGACUAUGCAAUUGUAAGCCCAUUUAUACAAUCAAAUGAUCACAGUGACUUUGAACUUGAUCAACACCAACAACUAGCUCUCAAACAUGGGUAAAGCUAUUCUCACAAUUCCCCUCAACAUGAAACACAACCUCAAAGAUGCAAAAGACUUUAAAUAACAAUAAUUCAACAAUUUCUAGCUCUAUAGAAGUGACUCUCUAUCGAUAGCAACUUCACUAUGCUCAUUUUGCCUUAUUUUUUGGAAGAUGAUAAUUUCACCCACCUCAAUUGGUCUACAUGCCUCCCAAUGAGAAGAAAAUCGUACACGCCAAAUUAUCUAUUAUACAACAAGAGAUUUUAGUGCAAAGCACUCUCUCACAAAAAUCUCUCAAUGCUAACAAGUGCCAUAUCAUAGGCUUUCUCUUAUUUUCAAUCGCCACUACUAUGAAUACACUUGGUUGGAGAUCUUAUAGGGCUUUUAAAGCUUGUAAUGUAGGUUCAGGAAGGGGUAUGAUAUCAUUUAGGAACAAAGUGACUAUACCCUCCUUGAACAUCUACAUCAAACUAUUCAACCCAACUUUUGACCAUGGAUAACUUCAUUUGUUUCCAAAAUUCACACAUGACUACUUUUGCUACCUUGAUUUACCUAUCUCAUUGAAAGCAUUCUCUUUUUAGCUAUUUCUUUUUGAUAUCUAUGCUAUUCCUUCUUUUGAUGAUUCCUUUAUUUUUAACUUUUUCCAUUUCUUUCUGUGCUUAGCAUCAUAUGCAUCCACUUAUAUUAUCAUGGACCAAGGUCAUCUCCUUUAAACUUACCACCCAACUUAGGUAUUUGGACUCAAGUUUCAUUUUUCAAGUUCAAGGAGGGUAAGGAUCAAAAGAGGGAUCAAUUUCAAAAUGAUCAAGACUUGUAAUGUGAUUUCCAAAGAAAGGAUUGAAGGUUCAAAAUGGGUAACUAAGGAUACUAUUCUAUGUACGGGUAGACUAUUUAGGCUAAAGUGGGUUCCUAUGUUCACAAAGAAGGCCCAAGAUCAUUUCACCAACCAAGCAUAAUAAAAAAUAGCCUUGAGAGACUAACGGGGCAAGUUCUAGAUGAUACAAGUAUGCAUGAGAGUCAUACAAUUACACUCACCGUACAUGGCAUGUAAACUUUUCAAGAAGGCUCAAUUGCAUUUCCUUCUAGAUAUAAAAAAGGGACUAUUUACCAAAUACACAAGAUAAAGACUUCGCAGUCACAAAAAGAGGUAAAGUAUUGUUACAAAAUUAUUCAUGUCCAUGCCCUUGGUUUUCAAAAUUUUUUUUUGGACGGAGGGGGGUGUUUGCUUCGCAUUUACACCACACCAAAUUUGCUAUUGGUGGCACCAAACUAAGCCACCGUCUUAUAUUUUUGAUCUCCUGAGGGCAAACCAUAUGACUACUCAGACUUCACCAUAUGUAUAAGGGCGAUCCAAAAACUCCAAUGCCAUCGGUACUUAGACUUCCCCUACAUAUAUGGAUCAAAACCCAAUCACGAUGAUUUUCCCUUAAGAAUGUCGCACUCAAUCCAUCAUCGGGAAGGGCUCAUCCAAAAUCAAUCAAAAGAGACACAAAAAUCCUUAUGCUUGUUGUGAGACUUUUAGAUUACGAUGCCCAGACAUCGACAUAACUCCAACACCCCCAACUUAAGGAGUUAAAGUUCCCUCACUACAACAUAUAAAAGAAUUACAAGGAUUAAAAAGGGAUCCCUUAAGCAACAACACACAUUUCUUUGGACUAUCGUGAUCGCGAUAGGAUGUACCACGAUCUCAAACCUCAGACCGUGAUCACAGUAACUGAUUGUCAUGACCUAAUUCAUGAGUCGUGAUGACACCUACUAAACCCACCAAUAGGUAAUCCAAUACCAUAAACCAGAGCUAAGGCAAUGGGUUACUCUAGUAGAAACUCCCAAUAAGGGCCAUACUAGAUUCACACAAUAAUAAAAAACAAUGUUUCACAAUAGACAAUCGACUAUGGAUACCAAUCCCAUGACUUUAUUGUCAUGACCUGAGAUGAGGCCCUGGCAGCGAAGAGUAUCCCAAACCCAAAGGCUCAAGAGACUCCUUAGCAUUCUACCAUAAGCAUAAUCUAUAGAUAAAUCAAAGUACGAAAGAUAUAAUGAAAAUUCAAUGAAAAUUUAUAAUACAAGAUGUGUCAACAAAAUAUGAUAAUACAAUACUUAACUUCCAUCUACAAGCCUCUAUUGAAUUACUAGUCACUCUAGACUGGGACAAGGCCCCCAAAAGGACCAUAAGACAACUAAACUAACAUAAUAAUAGAAUGCCUUUAGAAGCAAGGGAGGCUCACCAAUGCUGGAGUUUAGGAAGUAAUCUACUACUGAGUUAGACCCUGUAAAUCUGCCUCAGAACCUACAUUAUGAGACAAUGUAGCCGCCACAAAGGACGGUCAAUACCUGAAAUGUAUUGGUACACAGAACUAACCAAAAGCAACAUGUAUUCUAUAUAAAAUAGUUGAGAGCAUUUAGAAAACAAUUUAACAUAGUAUAUACAUAAAACACAUGGGCAUAAUUUGAUAAAUUUCAAAACAUUUUAUUGUAAUCAUGACUCAACUCUUUGCUUUACUUCUGAGCUAGAUGGUACACCCUAUAUUUCUACGAUCCCACAAAUUAUAUGGAAUUCACCCUUGACUCAGCAGCCAAGCCUCCAAUCCAAGUUUGCCACAAUAAUUGGAGUCCUAAAUACUAUUCUAGUACACCAGUGAUCAGAGGCAAGUAUACACUGGCCAUUCACAUAUUCGAAAUACCAAUCAUAUCUCCCAAGUCGGCAAAACUAGGUUUCCAGCAAUGAGCCCUUACACUUAAAUGCCUUCUUCGGGAAACCAUCUAAAUCUCUUUAAUCCCAAUUUUAGUCCUUUAAAAAUCAUUCUUCAUGCUAAAAAAACAUUCAGUGCUUAUUCUAUUAAGGGCAUAGCUGCACAGGGCAUCAUCAUACCCAGACUUGUAAGUCAUUCAUAUCAUAUCAAAUCUACAACCCUUCUAAUUCAAAAUAUAUAAAUGACCACCAAAAUAUUUAUCAAAUCACACGAGAGUUCUUAUUAUCAAAAACAUAUGAAACUUAUGCAAACACACUCUCUUUACAAGAGUUUAAUACUUGGUGGUCAAUUCUUUCUUUAAUCACAUGUAGUUUCUUCAUUAAAAACCAUAGUAUUUAGAAUAGAAAUCACCUCUUUGAAAAACAGUUAAAACAACCAUCCAUAACAAGUAAAGAAACAUUCAAACUCAAGAAUCAUCUUUAUUCAUAACACAACCUCAAUAUUUGUUAUACGUAAAUCUCAUGAUAAAAAACGGUCUUAUAAUUUCAUGCUUUUAAAGCCAAUUCACAAUUCAUAACAUGCUAAUGCCACGACCUGAACCAGGGUCUGACCGUGACGAGCAUUUCGAACCAUGGAGGCCCCAAACAUCCCUAUCUGUCUAGUAAUGAUGCACCUAAUUUAUAUGAUCAAAGUAAUGCAGAAGAAACACAAUAUAACAAAAACAUGGUCAAGAAUCAUAUAAAAAUGAAAAUGGGGAUUAGUGUCCCACAAUCUAAAUCAACAUUUCUAAAACCGUCUGCGAAAUCUCUACUACAUGACUGAAAUAAUGUCUAUCUGAAAACUAGGACAAGGCCCCAAACAGACCCCAAAACUAAAUAUAAGAUAAAAGGACUGCAGGACAUUAGACCUUCCGAAACAUAGAAGGCUCACAUUUGUCUCUGCAACUCUGUCUGAAUGAUCUACUGAUUCUCUUGACCCCUAGACUGGGCCUCUGAACCUGGGACAUUGGAGAGGGGAGGGGGUCAGAACAAAAGUACUGGCACGCAGAGAUAUCAAAACAAAAUAUAAUAUCUUUACAAAAUAUAGUUGAGAGCCAUUAUAAAGCAAUUUCAUGUCAAAUCAUUUGAAAACACAUGGGUAUAAUGCAAUAGUUUCUCAACAACAAUGAAAUGCAAUUGAGCUAGGUGGAAUACCCUACAUAAUUUACACUAACUGUCUAACCUCGGUUGCCACCGAGAUUAGAGUAUAAGUGAGGGAGAGACACACAAGAUCAUAUAACAUGGUGUCUCAACCCAAUGGUAGUGCCCAAGAUCACUUAGCCUAGGCUCCUACCUAUAGUCCCAAUUUGGGAAUGACAUAAAAUCAAGUACACAAGAUCACUUAGCCUGGUACCAAAUCUCCGUGUCGGCAAACACGUUUUCCAGUGAUGAGCCCUUACACUCAUACGCCUUCCUCAAACGCCUUCUUCGGGCAUCCACCUUUCUCAUGUAAAUCAAUGCAUUUAAAUUUCAUCUUAUUCAAUCAAAUAUCGUAUUCUGUAGGGUAUCAUCAUACCUGACUUUCAAGUCAUCAAUAUCACAUCCACAUAUGCAUAAUCAUGUAAAAACCAAGGUGCUUCAUCAUUUACAAGUGGUGAACAAUAUUUAUUUCAAAUUCAUGCUCUCUUUUGUUGGUCACAAUAUGAUAUGGGGUAUCGAGACAUUAUCAUGGGAAUUUGAAAGCAAUUUAUCAUUCAUAUUUAUCAAACUUCCAUGGAAAAUCUCAAAUCACAUAUGCAUGGUUUCAACCAUUGAAGUAUAUAGGCAAACAAUUCGCAUGACAUAAAGAAAGAUGACUUAGAAAUCAUAUUGAAAGCAAGUUAUUAGCAUUUGAUUGAAAACCCCCAUUUAAAAGCAUGCAUGUUCAUAAAAACUACACCCAUGAGAUUUUAGGAUAACCCCACGUACCUCUAUUUCCAAGGAUAAUAGAUGUUUCUUGAAGCUUGCGGAUUGGUGAUUCCAAAUAUGUAAUUAUCUUUGAAAACCUACGAUCGAAUCUUGAACUAUUUGGGUUUUUAUUUUAAAAUCCUAGAUAGAGCUCUUGAACAAUUUGGAUGAAUGAAGGUGUAUUUUGGGGUCUUUGGGAACUGAAUUUCGUGUUUAUGGCUAAAUAAGGGUGAAAAGGACCAUUUUAUCCCAAAAACGGAGUGUUUAAGUCACCUGAAAACUUUACAUAGACGGUGCCUAUGCUAUCACCUAUGUUUACAUAGGCGCCGCCUACUACUUUGAAAGGCCAUAACUUCUUGCUCGGGUGUUGGAUUUUAGCAAAAUUGAUAUUGUUGGAAAGCUAACUCAUAGACCUAUUAUUUGACACAUAGUAGGCCCUCUAAUUCGACAUAUACAGAGAGUUAUGGUUGAUGGAAGCUGACACAAAUUACAACGUCCACUAAAACUUAAUCGAUCGAAAUAGUUUCAACUCGUCCUUGAGUUGAAGGACCUCUAUGGUCUAAAUUCAAGCUUGAAUGGAUUCACAUGAUACGCAAAUAAUUAACAUGCCAUAUUGGCAUAGGAUUUAUGUCUUCAGAAUUAUCAACGCAUCAAAAUCAUGGUUUUUAUUCUAGCCCAAAAUAUGGGGUGUUACAUUAUCUCCCCCUUGGGAUCAUUCGUCCUCGAAUGAUGGGUAGGAACAUAUUAAAUCUUAGAGGUAUGGAAUAACGCGGACACGAAAUGUCCUCUAAUAAAGAAUACACUAAUCUGAAAAAUGACCAUAUGGCUGGAACUACUGAUGUUCUGAAUUCUUAUUCCGGACAUGCAUAUCUGAUGCAUGGAAUACACGACUGAAGCUACUCAUAAGCUAAAUUCUCAUAAUGAACAUGCAUACGUGAUGCAUGGAUUUGUUACUGAGUUGUUCUCAUGAACGCGGAACUGAAUACACUGAUAGGCUGAAGUUUUUCUAUUGAACAUGCAUUUCUAAUACAUGUAUAUCUGACUGAACUGACGUAUGAAUGUAUGACUGAAUACGCAAUGAUAACUGGUGCGAGGCUUGUAAUAAGAAUCUAUGCACGCAACUGAAUGGGGUAUCUCCCCUUUGGGAUCCUAUGUCCCUCUAUGAAUUGUCAAUUCACUAAGAUACUCGGAAAACUGAGGCGAUGCACAGGGCACCUACGAAUUGAAUCAUAACUGAACAUCUGGAAUCUGAAUUUAACACAUGAUGCAUGAACUGGGCUAUAUUCGUAACUACUGGUAUACUCUAUCUUGGAAUAGUAGCAUGUCUGAGAUUUUGAAUAGCAUGAAUAAGUUCAAAAACGAGAAAACAAGUCAUGCAAAUCUGACCGCUAAACUGACUUAUUGGCCAUACAAACUGAAUUAUACUACACCCUCAUACUUAUCUGGAGUAUCUCUUCAGUACAAUUCUCUAAGAAAUUCUAGCGGUAAUAGGGAGCCAUGAAUCUUGGGUAUGGAUUACACAAGACAUCCAACUGAGAAAAUCACAACAUUGACACUACUCUGCAGUCUGGAAUAUAGACAUAUAACUCCUAAAUUAGGAUAGAAUUUUCAGACCCUUUGGCAUUACAACUUCUUACUUUCAAGCUUAGCACACUUCUCGAAUAUCACUUAACUAUACUAUUCCCUAUAAAUAUCAUAUUCAUUCAACUCAGCUUAAAAUUCUCAUAUGAGCAUUGACAAAUCUUUCUAAUAAUGUCAGAAAUAACUUAAUCCCUUCGCCGUGAUCAAGCCUAACUCAUAGUCACCGGAAAAAAAAAUACAACAUGCCAGACCACGCUAUUAUUCUAAACCAUAUGAUGCAAUAUUCUAUAUCUCCUUUAAUGAUCACAUCCUAAGUAUAAUAUGCCUUACCACUUCAAUGACUACUCUGAACUCUUAAUAUGAAGUCGCUAUUCCAUAUUGCGACCUUCCACUAUAAUCCUAAAACGUCAUUCAAGCCUAUUUUAUAACCGCAUGUUGACUUCAAGGCAACCACCCAUAAAUACAUACUUCACAUAGUUUUUAAACUAUUGUCAAUAUAACUCCCACGUGCUACCUUAAGACAUACACACACAAACUUUUCCACUAACCAUCACAUGUAUCAAAGACUUGGCCCCAAAUCUUACUUCAUACUUAUGGCCAUAUCUAAACAAGAAUACUAUGAUCUUCCAUCAAUAAGAACAUUUACAUCAUCACCACUAUCAUUGCAUAGGGCAGGUCACAAAAAGGUUAAAACAUAAGACCCUGAAACAUGAAAUUUUUUUUAUACGGGACUGAGCACACUAUAAAGAGUGAGUACAUGCGUCAUGAGUUGCAUGACCUCAACUAGAGUUCAUAACAUAAGGAAUGUGAUUCCGACUACAUGAAUGAACUAGAACUCAUUAUCUUGGAACUGGAAGAGUACGUGACUCUCUAUCAUAUACNNNNNNNNNNNNNNNNNNNNNNNNNNNNNNNNNNNNNNNNNNNNNNNNNNNNNNNNNNNNNNNNNNNNNNNNNNNNNNNNNNNNUCAUCACCACUAUCAUUGCAUAGGAAGGGUCACUAAAAGGUUAAAACAUAAGACCCUCAAGCGUGAAAAGAUUUUUAUACGGGACUGAGCACACUAUAAAGAGUGAGUACAUGCGUCAUGAGUUGCAUGACCUCAACUAGAGUUCAUAACAUAAGGAAUGUGAUUCCGACUACAUGAAUGAACUAGAACUCAUUAUCUUGGAACUGGAAGAGUACGUGACUCUCUAUCAUAUACAGGAAUCAUGAACUACUAUUACAGAACUGGAUCGUAAAGCAUGAGUAAGCAUCUGAAUAACUGAAAAAAAAUACUGAGGUAGGAAUGGGUUGAGAUUCACCCUCACUUUCUGAUGUUGUCAAUCAUACUGCAUCACUACUAGAAUCUGAGAGCCUUACUUGGUCAUUCGUUCUAUUAUCUCCCCCUUAGCUUCAAGUCAUCAUCUAGAGUUUGGGAGAUCCCUUUCCAGAUUCUAACUGAACUACACUUACUGCACUCUAGGGUCUGAAAAGAAAAAAAAUGACAAUACAUGCAUAUCGUAGACUUAACCCGAAUGACUACCUUCUGGGAUACACUCUAUCUUUCCAUAGCCAUCAAUAGUCAUAGUAUAAUGCUUGCGCGCACUUAUUUCUAUCGAUUCAACCUUCAAAUCUCUAACUUAGAUUCUAACACUUAACAUGGCAAUUUAGAUCACCAUAUACCAUCUAACUAGUCUUUCUCCACUUAACAAUUCAAUGGUACCACUAGCCACACAAAUUAUGUAAUAGUCUUAGAAAAAUAUGCCGCAACCUCAUAUCACCUUGNNNNNNNNNNNNNNNNNNNNNNNNNNNNNNNNNNNNNNNNNNNNNNNNNNNNNNNNNNNNNNNNNNNNNNNNNNNNNNNNNNNNNNNNNNNNNNNNNNNNNNNNNNNNNNNNNNNNNNNNNNNNNNNNNNNNNNNNNNNNNNNNNNNNNNNNNNNNNNNNNNNNNNNNNNNNNNNNNNNNNNNAUGAUUUUACAACCAAACCUUACGCAUGAUUCUCACUUGGAAACCAUGAAAUAAACAUCAAGAAACACUAGUACACUAGAACUUCAUAACAACAAUAAUCGACCUUGACCUUACGGUCUUCCUUAUCAUAACUCAUUAGCACGUACUAUUUCAACACAUCAAGCCUACUAAUAUUUAUUCCCACAAACAUACAUCAUUAAUCUCAUGCCACUAUUCUUACAUCCAUAUACUACAUUAGAUUCAAUCCAAUGGUCUAGCAUCAAUCUUCUACAACCAAUGACAAGGGAAACAUAAUAUACUAAUCCAUCAAAUUGGAACAUUCUAUCCCAAAUACUUCAAAAUCUGCUACAUACCUUCUCAUAAGUAGUACUAGUUUACAACUACCAACAAAAGAAGGUCAAGGGGUAAGGUCACAUAAUAGACAUGAUAAACCUUAAUCUUAUAUUAUAAUCCCAUACAAUCUUUUCUACAUAUACAGAUUUCUCGCCUCAUACUUACUCACUCAAUCAUACAUUUAGACUGCCUUCAAAUUCCUCAAACAACCAUGAGUCUAUAAUCAUAACUUACUCGCUGAUAUAGCCAUUUUCACAUUCAAGCAACCAAUAAAUCACCCUAACUGACAACUCCUUCUCUACCUUAUACUAAACUAACUCACAAGGACGAAUUACCUCUUUACCAACUCAAUCUCAUGCAAACAGAUUCAGCCAUACAUAUAUUAAACCAACAAAAGAACAACAAGUUGGACAACAAGUUGCUAGUGAAUCGAAACAGGCCUCACACGGCUUCACUAGACUUUGGUUUUGUAUUUUGAACAAGAAAAUGAGAUGGAUGACAAGGCAACUAUGCUAGUGAAUCGAAAGAGCCCCACACGGCUUUGCUAGACUUUUUAGUUUCAUCAAUACAAUGAUAAAUAUUUUCAAGAGAUAGAAACUUGUCACACAAUAUUCCAUUAUCUGAGAGUACACAUCUUACUUUGUAUAGAUAAAAAUCUGAGUCAAAUACUUCCUCCAUAGACUACCAUACCAUCCACACAUGCUGCUAGCUACCAAAUUAGUUUAUCACUAUAAAGGGGUAAAUCAUCCUCACUCUGACUUCUAACUUUGUGACUUCAUAUCACCAACUUUUUGGUCUAAUUUCAUUACCAGUAGUUCAUGACAACAACACUUUAACAUAUAUUACUAUUCUGGUGGAAAUACAGUUCCAAUAUUCUGUUACACCUUAUUACCUCUGAAGCGUGACACUAGCAACAUAAGUUCUGAAAAGAAUUGAAUACACUUAAUACUGCAGGCUGAAAAGCACGAUUUCAUCAAAAUCAAGGUUCACACUAGAACCAAAACACUCUGAAGUACUAACAGACUCUUCUCAAGUCCUUGGAAAAAUAUUAUAUGAUUCGAUCAGAAUGAACCAUACCAUUUAGACUCUAAACUCCUGUACUUGAAUUGGCCCAAUAAUGAGACAUGUCUGAGAAUGUCCGAGUAAGGAAAGAAUUGGGAUGACUGUUACUUUCGUAUGGGUGACGCCAUAGCACAAAUUUGAGUAUGUAGGAGAAACAUUCUGACUCUGUUGCACGAAUUAGAACAUGAAGAAAGAGAGACAUUCCUAAAUACCUAGUAGCCUCCUGCUUAUAAGUGUGGCGCGCUACACACCCAAAAAUAAGACUCUACUCGAUGCAAUUUCGUAGAUACCUUGAGACCAUGAACCAUGCUUUGAUACCAAGUUUGUCAUGACCCGAACCAGGGCCUGGCCGUGAUGAGCAUUUUGAACCAUGGAGGCUCGAAGCACCCCUAUCUGUCUGGUAAUCAUGCACCUAAUUCAUAUGAUCAAAGUAACGCGGAAGAAACACAAUAUAAUGAAAACAUGGUCAAGAAUUAUAUGAAAACGAAAAUAGAGAAUAGUGUCCCACAAUCUAAAUCAACAUCUCUAAAACCGUCUAUGAAAUCUCUACUACAUGACUGAAAUAAUGUAUAUUUGAAAACUGGGACAAGGCCCCCAGUAGACCCCAAAACUAAAUAUAAGAUAAAAGGACUACAGGACAGAAGACUUUCCGAAACAUAGAAGGCUUACCACUUGUCUCUGCAACUCUGUCUGAAUGAUCUACUGAUUCUCUUGACCCCUAGACUGGGCCUCUGAACUUGGGAGGUUGGAGAGGAGGGGGGUCAGCACAAAAGUACUGGCACGCAGAGACAUCAAAACAAAACAUAAAAUCUUUAAAAAAUAUAGUUGAGAGCUAUUAUAAAGUAAUUUUAUGUCAAAUCAUUUGAAAAUACAUAGGUAUAAUGCAAUAGUUUCUCAACAACAAUGAAAUGCAACUGAGCUAGGUGGAAUAUCCUACAUAAUUUAAACCAACUGUCUAACAUCGGUUGCUGCCGAGAUUAGAAUAUAAGUGAAGGAGAGACACACAAGAUCACAUAGCAUGGUGUCUCGACCCAAUGGUAGUGCCCAAGAUCGCUUAGCUCGGGCUCCUACCUAUAGUCCCAAUUUGGGAAUGACAUGAAGUGAAGUACACAAGAUCACUUAGCCUGGUACCAAAUCUCCAUGUUGGCAAAUACGUUUUCCAGCGAUGAGCCCUUACACUCAUACGCUUUCUUCGGGCAUCCACCUAUCUCUUGUAAAAUCAAUGCAUUUAAAUUUUAUCUGAUUCAAUCACAUAUCAUAUUCUGUAGGGUAUCAUCAUACCCGACUUACAAGUCCUCAAUAUCACUUUCACAUAUGCAUAAUCAUGUAAAAACCAAGGUGCUUCAUCAUUUACAAGUAGUGAACAAUAUUUAAUUCAAAUUCAUGAUCUUUUUUGUUGAUCACAAUAUGAUAUGGGGUAUCAAGACAUUAUCACGAGAAUUUGAAAGCAAUUUAUCAUUCAUAUUUAUCAAACUUCCAUGGAAAAUCUCAAAUCACAUAUGCAUGGUUUCAACCAUUGAAGUAUAUAGGCAAACAAUUCCAACGACAUAAAGAAAAAUGACUUAGAAAUUAUAUUGAAAGUAAGUUAUUAGCAUUUGAUUGAAAACCCCCAUUUAAAAGCAUGCAUAUUCAUAGAAACUACACCCAUGAGAUUUUAGGAUAACCCCACGUACCUCUAUUUCCAAGGAUAAUAGAUGUUUCUUGAAGUUUGCGGAUUGGUGAUUCCAAAUGUGUAAUUAUCUUUGAAAACCUACGGUCGAAUCUUGAACUAUUUGGGUUUUUAUUUUGAAACCCUAGAUAGAGUUCUUGAACAAUUUGGAUGAAUGAAGGUGUAUUUUGGUGUCUUUGGGAACUGAAUUUCGUGUUUAUGGCUAAAUAAGGGUGAAAAAGGACCAUUUUAUCCCAAAAACGGAGUGUUUAAGUCACCUGGAACCAUUACAUAGGCGGUGCCUAUGCUAUCGCCUAUGUUUACAUAGGCGCCGCCUAUGCUAUUGCCUACUACUUUGAAAGGCCAUAACUUCUUGCUCGGGUGUCAAAUUUUAGAAAAAUUGGUAUCGUUGGAAAGCUAACUCAAAGACCUAUCAUUUGACACAUAGGCCCUCUAAUUCGACAUAUAUAGAGAGUUAUGAUCGAUGGAAGCUAAGACAAAUUACAACAUCCACUAAAACUUAAUCGAUCGAAAUAGUUUCAACUCGUUCUUAAGUUGAAGGACCUCUAGGGUCUAAAUUCAAGCUUGCAUGGAUUCACAUACUAUGAAAAUAAUUAACAUGCCAUAUUGUCCUAGGAUUUAUGGCUUCGGGAUUAUCAAUGCAUCGAAAUCAUGGUUUUUUAUUCUAGCCCAAAUUGUGGGGUGUUACAGCUAAGAUAAUGAAUUUCAACAUGGGGAAGGGAAUUUCACAAUCAUAUUCAUAAAUCACUUUUCAAACUCAAAUCAUGUAUGCACAAGUUUAUAAAUCAAGUUUAUAGAAAAAUCCUAUGACAAAUACAUACUUUCAUCAAAUUGGGUUCAUGAGGUAUGCUCUCGCCCCAAAUCUGGUACUCAGAAUGUUACACGGUGCUCAUAACCCCAAAGGACCACACCCAUGAACGAUAUCUGUAAUUGACCACUUAAUAAUAUACUGUUAAUAUACAGAAUAUAAGCUGUAAGGCGAUAAGAUUCAAAACUGAACUAAUACUGAAUAUAAAACAAUGUUUGUAAUUGGGUAUAACAAUACCCAAAACUGAAAUAGACUGCCUGAAAUAUGCUGUAGUCUGAAAGCCUCUAAACUAUUUGAAAACUGUAGAGUUGAUGGGACGUCCCCAACUAACUCUGAACUACUAAAAUAAUAAAGUAAUAUAAUAAUUAUGCUAUCCUCGAAUAAUGAGGACUCACUAUUAGUUUGGUUGCUGAAUGUCUAAUCUACUAAGGAUGCUCGAAAACUUAUGCUUUUAAACCUAUGGUAUAAUACAUCAUAGCGCAAAUGCGUCAGUAUGUUGAAUGUACUAGUAUGCAAGUGAGGUAGGCUAAAUGCAAUGGUUUAUAUGAAUGAACAAUACUAACUGACUAAAUAACAUGAAUGUGAGAAUUCAUGUAUGAAUAUGUAACUUUAACUAAGAUCAUGAUAACACUGACUCAUGAAUUCUGAUAACGUGGAUUUAUUGAUAUCUGAGUACUAAUACUGGGAUACUGAAUAACUGAGUCUAUUGAGUACUAAGGAAUUGAUGUCAUAUUAUUGAUAAAGGAAUGCAUGUUUCUGACAAUUCUAAUUAUGAAGAACUGGUCUGAUUGACUGUAUCUAACAGUCCUGAAACUAAAUACUAAUAACAUGAAUUUUGUAUAAUUAAUAUACUAAUAACUGGGUGACUGUGUCUAACAGUCCUAAUUCUGAUGGAACUAGCUGAGUUUCGUACUGUGCUGAGCGACUGUAUCUAACAGUCCUGAUUUCUAUAGAACUGGACUGAGUUCUAUUCUGAAGACUGAAUCUAAAACUGAAAUUGUGGGAAGUAGUCAUCUAACCGAGAUUCCCCUAGUAAUCUAUUAUAGAUAGUUGGGGUCCAAUCUGUAACCCCAAUUGGAAGGGUGUCAAUACUGCGCCAUUGGUAUGGACAAGCUACGGGUGAUCCCUCAUAUAGCAGGUACUCAAAGGAGAAUGGUAGGACCCUCAUCUAACAGUGUUUAUCCACCUCAUCAACCCCCAUCUAUCAGUGUUGAUUUCUUAAACUAUGCUGGCUAUAUAGUUCUGGAAUGCAAGGAUUGCUUCUAAGGAUUACACCCUAACUGUCAGUGUGUGUCCCUGUCCUUGGGUUCACUUGGUGCUAAAUCCUACUCCCAUCUGAAUAGACACUGAACAUGAUUAACUGAACUGAGUUCAUUAAGUUCCGUUGACUGACAGAAUACUAUUGAAAUCUAAUAACUGACUGAGAUUAUUGAGAUUACUUGAGAUUACUGAGUAAGACUGGACUGAUACUGAGUUUACUGAGUUUUUCUGAGUUAUGUGACUGACUGAAUUCUACUGAUCAUGGCUUGACUGAGAGUAUCUUAAAAACAAGACACUGGCUUUAGGCACACAACUAAAUUAUCGGGUAGAAGUACCCCCAAUACUCGAUAGCAUGAAACUGACAGGACAUGAAGCUUCUUGAACACAUGACCAAUAUCAACAAUUCAUAAUACAUCAAUUUGGGGAUUUCAUGAAACACAAGGUUAUCAUAGUCUUGUACAUGAAUGUAAUUACAUAUAAACCUGUCAUACUUUCAUCAACCUAUUCUCAUGGACAUUCACUCAACCAGUCAUAAUGCACACAAUAUCAUGGAAGUCAUUCUUGGUCAUAGUGUAAAGCAUAUAUUUAUCAAUUGGGUCACAAUUAAGCUAUAAUUCAUAAUUUUUAUUCUCUUAGGAAUUUUAUCAAACACCUAGGAUGCAUGACUCAGGGCAUAAGCAUGACCAUCAAAUUAAUACAACAAAACUCCAUAUUUCAACUCAAUUUCACAUGUUUCAAACCACAUACUAUCAUAGGUUCAUGAACAACACAUAAAGAUUCCUACUUGGGAAUCAUACAACCAUAAUCACAUGAACAUAAUCAACCCACAAUAAAAUAUUCAUAAUACAAGAUUUAAAACUUGAUUCUUGGGCUUCAUGGAUGAAAGAAAUCCAUGAAUGAACACUGUUCAUACCUUAGUUCUUGAUUCUACAAAGAUUGACGGAGAGAUUCUUGAAUUUGAGCUUGAUUUCUUGAGCUAGGGUUUCUUGGCUUGAGAGAGAAUAAUUUUGUUCUUGAGAUAAAGUGAGGAAAAGUGAUAUAAUAAGGUUUUUAGGGCAUAAUUUCGUGGUUAAAGGUUGGUAUGGGUCAUGGAAAAAGACCCAAUUGCCCUUAGAAGGUUUUUAUUUUUCAUCACUGAAAACCUAAUUUAGACACCUGGUGCAACGCAGUGCUAUCGCGUUGCCACUUUGUUUGCGACCUGGAAGUUUAGCGCGAUGCGGUGUAGUCGCGGAGUCUUACUGGAGAAAGGACAAUUCUGAAUUUGAGCCUUGGCGUGAUGUUCCAUAAUCAUGGAGGCCCACUGAAUGUUAACGAUUGCCAUUGUGGACUGCUCUGCGACAUGUUGAUGGCUUAAGUGGCACACUGUCUUACUAAAAUGGCUCUAACUCUUCACCCGGGUGUUGAAUUUGGGCGAAUUUUAUAUCGAUGAAAAGCUUAUUCAAUUUUCCACAUGAAAAUAUUGAAAAUACCACAUGUAUAAAAGUGGAUUUAUUUUUAAAACAAGUCUUUGACAUCUUUGAAAUGAAUUUAAGCUAGGUAGAAGUACCGGGUACUACAGCUCUUAAAACAAUUUCUGAAAACUCAUUGCAUAUACAUACAUAUAUAUAUAUAUAUAUACAUACAUAUAUAUAUAUAUAUAUAUAGCUUUAAAGCUUGUUAAAAUUGUAUAACCUAUGCCCAUGAUAUUUAGGGUAGUCCCACGUACCUUUUUGAUAAAAAUGAAUUUGAAUUAGUUUGAAAUCUAGCCUUAAAAGUAUGAGCCUUGGAGGAAACCCUAAUCUUUCUUUCUCUUGAGAGUGGAGAGCAUUAUGAGAUAUUUAAAACUAAUUAAAUAUCGGUAAUAAUGCUUAUUGUAUGAUUUAAGUUGUGGGAGGUUAGGGUUUGAGGUGAGGAAAAUGCCAAAAUACCCUUAAGGAACUGAAUAAAAUUGCUGGCAUUUCUUUAGUUGACGACAUGGUUGAUGGAUUGUCAACUAGUUGAUAGCUUGUCAACUUAGUUGUCAACUUCUCUUCAUGUUCUGGCUAUGGUUGACGACUUGGUUGAUGGAUUGUCAACUAGUUGAUAGAUUGUCAACCUAGUCUUCAACUUCUUCAGUGAUACUGGUUAAGGUUAAUUACUUGGUUGAUGGCUUGUCAACUAGUUGACACCUUGUCAACCUAAUCGUCACCUUGAUGAUUGAUGGACAUGUAGAGGUAAAAUGGGCAUAACUUUCUACUUUGAUAUCGGAUUAAGGUGAAACCAAUUGUAUUGGAAAUAAGACUCAAAGAUCUUUCAUUUGGUAUAUAAUGAGACAUAUAACUCAUUAUAUACUAGGAGUAAGGGUCGUUUGAAGUUGACCCAAUAUAUACUAGGAGUAAUUGUCGUUUGAAGUUGACCCAAGUUGAAAUAUUGACUAAAACAUAAUUGAUAGAAACGUUCUCAACUCAUCUUUGAGUUAGGAGAUUUUUGUGACCUAGCUUCAUAUUUAAAAGUUUUCCCACACUAUAAAAUUGAUUAUCACACAUAUAUUAAUAAGGAAUCAUUGGGUUAGGGUCUAUAUACGUAGGAAUGACUGUUUGAAUUUCAACCCAAAAAUGCGGGUUGUUACACUGGUAAUGUCAGUAUAAGAGCAUCUAAGUUUGACAAUACAACUCAAGUCUAAAUAUUCUUCUACAUUCUUCUUGAAUACAAAAGACUGAAUAAAGAUGGGACGAAAAUGGGUGACUUGAUGCUCCAAGAGCUCACCCUAUCUCCAAAGGAUCAACACUGCACGAUCUCAACUCAAUGAUAGUAACUAGUACUCGGGUCUGCACCAAAAAGGUACAGAAGUGUAGUAUGAGUACCAAAAUAAUAGGUACUCAGCAGGCAUUCUCAACUGACUGAGCUAAAUUAUGAUAUGAAGUAAGACAAUAUCUCGAAGUCAAAGUACAGAAUCAAAACUGAAUUGUCUUCAUCAUCACUGUAUAUAACCAAUAAUCAAACUAGAACAAUACUAUGCCAUAUCUCUUCAUCAUGCACCAAUACCAUUAUAUAUAAGAAGUAAAUUAUCCCAAACAUAAUGCAUCACUAAUACAAUCACAAUCGCAAUAAGACCAAGAUGAUAAACAACCAUCCAUUAAAGCAUAAGUAAAAAACACACCACGUCAUCCCAUACAAUCGGAGAGUACAUUAAAGAAUCAACCAUUACGGUAAUUAAGCACAUAAUCAACUUCUCGUUAUCCAUGUUUUACCACCUUUUGUGUAAACGAUCAUUAUCCAAGUUCAUGAUUAUCAUUCAUUACCACAGUCGAAAUAGACAUAUCAAGUACUUAUAAUUAUAGUCAUAUAGACAAUUAGACAUCUAAAUCAUAAAUAUAUUAACUAACCAACACUUAUUAUUAAACUAUAGUUUGCUAGUUAUCAUAAGGCCUCCAAUCAUUAGCCUAACCAAUUCCUUAUAUACUCCUUCUUUAUGAAAUAGCAAGUAGUUAUCACUAAAUAGCCAACAUCCAUAUCUAGUCAAGAUGUACAACUAAACCAUAAUCACCGUUUAACCAAAUCUCAUUCCUAGUUAUCUUAGGUGCACUAGUCAUCAUAUAGGAAGAGGUUACAUAUCAUCAAACACACUUAUCUAUCUAUUAACCAACACCUUUUAUUAGUUAGCGCCAUAACUCUUCAAGUCCUCAUUUAAGCAAACAUCGAUAUUACAUACUACGCAUUAAUAUCAUUAAUCAUCAACCAUGCUAAGUAUAUUAUCAUCAUUAGCCAUUUUACAAUCAUAAUUACUAGUUACCAUAGUUUAACCAAGCAAGGUUCACCAACUAACAUUCAAGGAUUCUAGCCAUCAAGUAAUAUAACCACUUUAUAUAGAUGACUUGUUGUCACAUAACCCAUUUUACUAGGUGAAAUUCCAUAAUUUAAUGAUUUAUUCAAGUCAAAUAUAUCCACCAGCUGAAUGCUUAGCUCUACACAUGAUACACUUGCCAAUUAGUCUUAACUCAAUAUUUGGCAUAUUCUACUUCUAUUCACUAAUUAGUACUAACAAAAUCCACACCACUUAACAAGUGAUUAAUGGUAGAGAAUUAUAAAUAAAUUUUUAAGGAAAACAUCAUAUCCCUAAUGCACAUACGAGUGUAGUCAUAAAAGGGAAAAAUCAUAAAUAUACAUAUAUAUUUAUAUAUGCUUACCAUACAUAGCAUCACCAUAACAUCAAUAUAUCCUACGGGUUUACUGGGCAUCAUUAUAACAUUAAUAUCUAUUUUGGAUUUUUUGGGCAUCAUCAUAGCAUCAAUAUAUCCUUGGCCUUGUCGGGUGUAAUACCACAUGUUUUGAAGUCACUGUGCAACAUGCGACUCAUGCCCUUGAGUCGUAUGCCUAUCAUAUGAGUCGUAUGUUCAACUUGUAUCCAUGAUAGUGUGUGAUGGGUGACUUUCUUUUAAGGUACAACUUAAACCUUGGAAGUUGUAAGAUGAUUAUAUGAAUCAUAUGUGGUAAGUCAUAACUAAGUCAGUGUGAGGUGAGAUGAGUUAUGUCCAGGUUAUGAUAGGAUGAGUACUAGGCGUAUGAAAUAUUAUGAGUUGUAAGGUAGGACUCGUAUGUUGAUCGGUGUAUGCCAUUUGGAUUCUUCCAAACUUAUGAGCCAAGAGGCCAGUCAUAUCAUCAUCAUACAAGCCGUAUGGUCAACUCAUAUAGACUAGCAAUGAAUUCUAUAAUGAUUCUAGUAUACAUUUAUGCUUGGUCUUCUAUUCUCAGUUUUACAUGUUUAUGCAUCCAUGUUCAGUUAUCUUAUGCAUUUCGGUUAGUCCUUACCUCACGUACCAGUACAUUCAAAGUACUAAUCGUAUACUCUUCUUUUGUGCUAUGUUAUCUUAUAACAUAGGUUCCAAUACUCAAUUUCUCAACCGUACUUAGGCAAUCCAACACUAUCCAGUAGCAGUAGUGAUAAGUCCUUUUCUAUCAAGGACAUGACAUAUUUUAUCAUUAUUUUAGUAUCUAUUUAUGUUCAGUUAGUCAGAGUUAAUUGGGAGUUUGUCCCAUCAACUUCUCAUGAUUUCUAAAGGUUUUUAGAUAGUUAGACAGUCAGAUAGUCAAUUAGUUUUCAAUUUUACCAGUUGUUUCAGACAAAUAGAUAUUCCUUCAAUGUUAAUCUAUUCGGUUGUUUCGGAUAUGUUGGGUUAUAUUUCAAUAUUUAUGAUUAUAGCAUCUUAUUAGUUUUAUCAUCUGCAUAUGUGGUUUUAGUAUUAUAUAUUUUAGUGCUCAUAGAAGGUACCAUAUUAUGGGUUAGCUUGUGGCCAUUUGUGGCCGUAAGCACCAUUGUCGCGACCAGAGAGUAGUCUCAGGUCAUGACAAAACUUGGUAUCAGAGCCUAAGGUUUUAAGGGUCCUAGGGUGUCUGAAAGCCACAUUGAGUAGUGUCUUAUACAUGGAUGUAAAACGUGCCACACUUAUGGACAAGAGGCUAUGAGAUAUUUUUUUGGAAAGUUUUCCUUUUUUCAGUAUUCAUGUCGUGAGAAAGAGUACUAGCUCUAUUGAAUUCCUUUUUCUUUCUUGUAUUUUACCUUGUUUACUGACAAUGCCUUCUAGAAGGAACAACGGAAGGAGGAACAGGGAUCAACCUGCACCACCACCUAUUUAGGAAGGUCUCCUGAACGAUCAUAUUUCUCACACCAAGUUUAGGGCCAUUUUCACAGCCUUAGACCAUUUUGUAGUCGCUCAAAAUAACGAUCAGGCUAUUUCCCCAACCAAUCUAGUGGCAAAUACAACUGUAGCUAAGAUUCGAGAUUUCACUCGGAUGAAUCCCCCUUCAUUUUCUGGGUCCAAGUCUGAAGAAGAUCUACAAGAUUUUUGGAUAUGGUACAGAAAGUGACAAACAUCAUAGGUAUCACUUUGAGUGAGAGUGUAGACUUAGCAGCGUAUCAAUUGCAAGGUGCAGCUCACACCUAGUUUAAGAAGCAAAAGAAAAACAGGGGUAUGGAGGCAAAGCCUAUAGAGUGGGAGGAGAUUUUCAUGGCUUUCUUAGACAGUUUCUUCCCACUAGAAUUAAGAGAGGAUAAGGUUUAGGAGUUCAUAAACUUUAAGUAGGGUAGUAUAAAUUUGAAGGAGUACUCUCUCAAGUUUACUCAGUUGGCGAGAUAUACUCCUACUAUGGUGGCUGACAAUAGGUCCAAGAUGAGUAAGUUCAUAUUUAGUAUGUCUGAUAGCGUGUUCAAUGAAUAUAGAACCACCAUGUUGAUUAAAGAUAUGGACUUGUCUAUACUUAUGGUUCAUGCUCAGCAGAUUAAGAAGGAGAAGCUUAAAGAGAAAGAGAGAGAGAGAAUAAGAGGGCCAAAAUAGGUAGUUUUAAUUUUUCUUAGCUAAGGUUGGAAGACGGUAACCAAUCCUAGUUCUGCCAAAAAUGUUUAGCCCUAGCUCUAUCUUCAACCAAUGCGCUAGUGCCUAAGUUCAGGUAGGAUAGUCAGGAUAGAGCACCAGGCUUUAAGUCCUGGCGUAAUUUGAAUAGUGGUAGAACCAAUCCGCUCUACAGGAAGUGUGGUAAGAAUCAUCAGAGUAAGUGUAGAGCUAGAUGUGAUAUGUAUUUUAGGUAUGGAAAACCAGGACACAAGAUCAGGGAUUGCCCCAUAGGUAUAUGGAAGGGCGGGAAUGAUCGCCAACAGGGUCAGAUAGACUCUUCAACAACACUAACAGGUCACUCAAUUCAGCAGGGUGCCACUUCUAGUGCCACUAGUGGGCAACACCAAAAUAAAUUGUAUUCCCUCCUAACCAGCCGAUUCAGGAAAGCUCUUUGGAUGUGGUUACGGGUUCAUUACAAGUUUUCCAUCUACAUAUUUAUGUCUUGUUAGACCCCAAAGCGUCACUCUCUUUUAUGACUCCUUAUAUAGCUAUAGACUUUGGUGUUAGUCCCAAAACAUUAGUAUAGACUUUAUCAAUGUCUAACCUAGUGGGUAAGUCUAUUCUAGCUAGAUGGGUAUACAAAAAUUGCCCAAUUACAGUGUCUCAAAAAGUUACUUUAGUUGAUCUUGUAGAGUUAGAAAUGACUGAUUUUGAUGUUAUUCUCGAUAUGGAUUGGCUCCACUCGUUUUAUGCCUCAAUCGACUUUAGAAAUAGAAUUGUUCAAUUCUAGUUUCCUAAUAAACUAAUUAUCAAAUAGAAGGGCAGUACUUCAGUGCUUGAUGGUCAGUUCGUUUCAUACCUCAAGGCCAGAAAGAUGAUAUCCAAGAGGUGUGUUUACCAUAUUGUUCGAGUUAAGGACUCAAAUUCUGAAGCUCUAAUUCUCGAUUUAGUUUUUGUAGUAUGAUAAUUUUUAGAUAUAUUCCUAGAAGAUCUUCUGGAGUUCCCACCAAACGGAAAUCAACUUUGGAAUAGAUCUCCUUCUAGAUACCUAGCUUAUCUCUAUUCCACCUUAUAAAAUGGAUCUAGUUUAGCUUAAAGAAUUAAAAGAAUAGUUAAAAGAUCUCUUUGAUAAGGGUUUCAUUAGGCCUAGCAUUCGCUAUGGGUUGCUCCAGUCCUUUUCAUGCAUCAGAAAGACGGUUCUCUUAAAAUAUUCAUCAACUACCGUCAGUUGAACAAAGUCACAGUCAAGAAUAAGUUUUCUCUCCCCAAAAUUGAUGACUUGUUCGACCAACUUUUGGGUGCAAGUUCUUUCUCUAAGAUAGAUCUCAAAUCUGGCUAUCAUUAGAUUAGAGUCAAAGAGUUUGACAUUUUGAAGACAAUCUUUAGGACUCGAUAUGGUCACUUUGAAUUCCUGAUUAUGUCAUUCAGACAAACAAAUGCCCCUGCAGCUUUCAUGGACUUGAUAAAUGGGGUGUUCAAGCAGUAUUUGGACAUGUUCGUCAUAGUCUUCAUUGAUGAUAUCCUUGUCUAUUCUUGUAGUGAGAGUGAUCACGCAGACCAUCUGAGAGUUAUUUUGCAGACCCUUAUAGAUCAUCAGUUAUUUGCUAAGUUCAGUAACUGUGAAUUUUGGUUGAGAUUAGUAGCUUUCCUUGGUCAUAUAGUUUCUGGUGAUGGCAUUCGAGUUGACCCUCAAAAAAUUUAAACUAGUGAGAAAUUGGCCUAGACCCAUCUCUCCUUUAGAUAUCAGGUGUUUCUUGGGUUUAGCUAGCUAUUAGAGAUGGUUUUUCAAAGGUUUUUAUUCUAUUGCUUCUCCCAUCUAUCGACUAACUCAAAAGAAAGUGAAAUUUUAGUGGUCAGAUUUUUAUGAGAAGAGUUUUUAGGAGUUGAAAAAUCGACUUACUUUUGCCCCAGUCUUGACUUUGUUAGAUGGUUGAGAUGGAUUUGUAGUGUAUUGUGAUUCUUCUAUAGUUGGUCUUGGCUAUGUGUUAAUUCAGAGAGGUAAGGUCAUAGCCUAUGUCAUUAGAAAACUUAAACCCCAUGAAAAUUAUUAUCCAGCUUAUUAUCUUGAGUUGGUAGUUGUUCACUUUGCCUUAAAGAUUUAGAGGCAUUACCUAUAUGGGGUUCAUGUUGAUAUGUACAUGGAUCACAAGAGUUUACAAUAUGUGUUCAUGUAGAAAGACCUAAAUCUUUACUAGAGAAGGUGGCUUAAAUUAUUGAAAGACUAUGUAUGAGUGUGUUGUACUAUUUGAGAAAGGCCAAUAUAGUGGUGGAUGCCCUUAGUAGAUUGUCUAUGGUUAGUGUUGCUCAUGUUGAGGAUGAUAAGAAGGAGUUAGUCCAUGGGGUUUAUCAUCUUGCUAGGUUAGGCGUUUGGUUAGUUGAUUAGCUAAAGGUAGUAUAUGGGUUCAGAAUGGUUCAAAAUCUUUAUUGGUUGCCGAAGUAAAAGAAAAGUAAGAUAGGGAUCCUAAUUUGGUUACGUUAAAGAAGGCAGUUAGAGGUCAAGAGGUAGAGUCUUUCUCCCAAGGGGUAGAUGGUGUGGUUUGUUGUCAAGGAAGACUAUGUGUAACGUGUGUUGAUGGUCUAAAAUAAUGAAUAUUAGUUAAGGCGCAUGGUUCGUGAUACUUUAUCCACCCAAGAGCUACUAAGAUGCUCCAUGACUUGCAGGAAAUCUAUUGGUGGAAUGGUAUGAAUAAGGAUAUUUCAAAGUUUAUGGCUAAGUGUUCAAAUUGUCAGUAGGUUAAAGUCGAGAACCAUAGGCCAGUGUUACACUGCAGGAGUUUAGCAUACCCACUUGGAAGUGGGAGGUGGUGAACAUAGAUUUUGUGACAGCAUUGCCUCGUAUGAGUCGUCAACAUGAUUUGAUAUGGGUCAUUGUAUAUAGAAUGACCAAGUCAGCUUAUUUCUUGCCAGUUCAUACUUUAUUUUCAGCUGAGGAUUAUGCUAGACUCUAUCUUAUGGAGUUGGUGAAGUUGUAUAGGGUUCUGUUGUUUCUCAUUUCAGAUAGAGCUACUCAGUUUACCUCUCACUUUUGGAAGGAUUUUUAGAAGGGUCUUGGUAACCAAGUUCACCUCAGUAUGACUUUUUAUCUUCAGAUAGAUGGUGAGGCAGAGAGGACCAUUCAGACCUUGGAAGACAUAUUGAGAGCCUGUUUUAUUAACUUUAGGGGUUGUUGGGAUAACUACUUACCUUUGAUUAAGUUUCCCUAUAACAAUAGUUAUCACUCCAGUAUUCAAAUGGCUCCGUUUAAGGAUCUCUAUGAACAGAGAUAUAGAUAUUCUCUCAGUUGGUUUGAAGUAGGUGAGUCUACUUUGAUAGGGCCAGAUUCAGUGUUUGAGGCAAUGGAGAAAGUUUUGUUAAUUUAAGAGAGGCUGAAAACAACUCAGAGUCGUCAGAAAUCUUAUGCAGAUGUGAGAAGAAGAGAUCUUGAGUUUGUUGUUAGUGACCUUAUGUAUAUGAAAAUUUCACCCAUGAAAAGAGUGAAGAGGUUUGGCAAUAAGGGGAAGCUUAGUCCCUUCUAUGUUGGCCCAUAUAAAAUUUUGAGUCAUUUUGGGAAGUUAGCUUAUGAAUUAAAAGUUGCCUUACAGAAUUGACAGUGAUUUAUCCGUUGUUUCAUGUCUCUUUGUUAAAGAAAUAUAUUGGCGACCCAGCUUUAAUUGUGCCCUUAUAGAGUUUGGAUGUGAGAGAUAGUCUCUCCUAUGAAGAGAUUUUAGUUGAGAUCCUUGUUCGUCUGAUUCAUAGGUUGAGGAAUAAAUAAGUCCCCUUAGUUAAAGUUCUAUGAUGGAAUCAGUCGAUUAACGGAGCUACUUCGGAAGCAAAAGUAGAUAUGCGAACCAAGUACCCUUAUCUUUUCUUCAUGAAUUCGAACUUAGCUUAAGGUAACAAUUUUUCUUAGAUUGACUUUUUCCCGAUCUCUGUUUUAGCUAUGUAAAUGUAACCAUUCUCAUGUCUUUGCAUGCUUUCAUAAAAUCAGUUCUGUUCAUGUAUCGUGUCUUAAACUCAGUUGUUUAGUCAUGUUUCAGUUCAUGAACAUUCAGUAUAUGAUCUCAAGUUACCUUGGUAUUCUCAGUCUAACCAGUCUUAUUUGAGGAUGAAUAUUCCCAAGGGGGAGAUAUUGUAAUACCCAUGUUUUAAAGUCACUGUGCAACGUACAACUCAUGCCCUUGAGUACUAUGCACAUCAUACGAGUCGUAUGUUCAACUCAUAUCUAUGAUAGUGUAUGAUGGGUGACUUUUUGUUAAAGGUAUGACUUUAACCUUGGAAGUCAUAAGAUGAUCAUACGAGUCGUAUGUGAUAAUUCAUAACCAAGUCAGUUAAGUUGAUAUGAGUUCUAUCCAGGUUACAAGAGGAUGAGUACUAGUCGUAUGAAAUAUUAUGAGUCAUAAGGUAGGACUCAUAUGUUGACCAGUGUAUGCCAUUCUAAUUCUUCCAAAAUUAUAGUUCCUGAGGCCCAGUCGUAUUAUCAUCAUACGAGUUGUAUGGUCCACUCGUGUAGACUAGCGACAAAUUUUGUGAUGAUUAGUUAAAGGGGAUUUUUGUUCUUUUUCCUUCUUAUAACUUCUACCCACGACUUAUAACCCUCAAAGAAGCCUAUUUUCUCUCAAAACUCAAAUACUUAACACAUUAAUAUCCUCUCCCAUACUCAAGAACAACAAUUAGGGUUUCUUAGAGGCAAGAAUAAUUACAAGGAUUCUUCCCUAAAGCUUCUACUACAGGUAUGUGGCAAAUUUAUCAAUGUUUUCUUUCAGACAUUAAGCCCCAAACCCUAUUUUAGUUUAAAAGUGUGAAUCUUAUCCUAUUUUAUGAAAUCAUCCAUGAAACUUAUGAAUUUAAUUCAUGAACUUCUUAGUAAAUCAAAUUCAAGCCAUGUCAACAUGUGUUUCUAUAUUUAAGUCACUUCAUGUUUGAAUUACAAUUUCCGUCAUCUUAAUUCCCUUGAUUUCAUGAUAAAUCCUCAAGUAAUGAAUUAAACCAUGUAAAUAUGUUGUUUUCUCAUGAUUAAUAUAUCCUCAUGUUCAAAUUCAUGUAUCUAUAUCAUUCACUAAAUUAUCGCUUGCUUUGGGUAUUUGAGUUAUGACUUCAUGUCACUGUUUUAAGUAAUGUUAUCGUAUUUUGUAAUUAUUCAGUGCUGGAGGGUUAUGAACACCUGAUAGCUAUUUGUUUUUACAUGAUUUUGUUUUAAUUAACAAGUCAGUCGGACCAUGAUUUUAUUAUCAUAUUUAGAACAUCAUGUGCAUCCUGAGCACUUACAAGUAGAGUACUAUGUCAUGUUAAAUAACUAAUAAAAUCGGUGUCAUUCCGUUGGGAAUAACACAGAGUAAAGCAGGGAUGAUGACUCCCCCGUCAGUAUAGGCAUGAGUAGUUUGUAGCAGUCCUUAAGUUCCAUAUCUGCAGUGGCACCGUAUGAAUGGUAGGCCAAUAAUAACUGUAUUGAAGAACUUUGGCGGCGGUUUGAAUCCCCCCAUGGUGACCACCGAAAUGUGAGGAGUGACAAUCUUCAAGGAUAUCCUUAAUUUUAACUUCCAUAAUACAACCGUUAAUCUCAGCAUCCACACAUUCCCAAAAUAGGAAGGGUUUAUCCAAAAAUAAAUUUUUUGCAUCAAACAGGAACCUCUUUCUUUGAUGAUAGCUAAGCUCCUCGGAGAAUACACCACUCACCACAUAAUUAGCAUAGUCGUCAUACACAGUGUAAUUCUCCCCGAGAUCGAUAUGACCAACUCAUUGGGAAAAUCAUCAUCAAUCUCAAUCUCACCAUGCUUUUCAUAAUUACUCUCAAGGCGCGAAAAAUGGUCGACCAUUUGGUUUAUUCAACCUUUUUAAUCCUUUACCUCUAAUCAAAUUCUUGUAAAAGAAAGAUCCAUCUAAUUAGGCAUGGUUUAGAUUUGUUUUUCGCCAUGAGGUAUUUAAGGGCGGCAUGAUCCAUGUGCACUACCACUUUCAUGCCUAACAAGUAGGCUUAAAAUUUCUCAAAAGCAUAUACCACCACCAAUAAUUCUUGCUCGGUAAUGGUAUAGUUACAUUGAGCAUCAUUCAAGGUUUUUCCAGAACAAUAGAUAGGAUGAAAAAGUUUUUCUUUGCAUUGACUCAACACCGCUCCUAAUGUGAUUCUACUUGCAUCACACAUCACUCAAACAGAGAUGACCAAUCUGGAGCCACAAUAAUGGGAGCCGAUAUAAGUAAUUCCUUGAAAUAAUUAAAGAACUUCAAGCAUGCAUCAUUAAAAUUGAGUUUUUCCUCCUUUUCAAGGAGUUUGCACAUUGGAUGAGCUAUUUUGGAGAAAUCUCUAAUAAAUCACCGAUAGAACCUGGCAUGUCCAAGGAAACACCUAAUACUUUUAACAGAAGUAGGAGGGGGUAACUUGGAAAUUACCUCUACCUUAGCUUGAUCAACUUGUAUCCCAAUCCCUGAGAUCUUGUCGCCCAAGACAAUACCCUCCUUGACUAUAAAAUGACAUUUCUCCCAAUUGAGUACAAAGUUGGUUUCCCGACAUCUCUUAAGAACCUUGCUUAGAUGCUCAAGGCAUGACUCAAAUGAGUUUCCCACCGCCAAGAAAUCAUCCAUGAAGACUUCCAUCGAAUCCUCAACCAUAUCUUCAAAGAUUGAUAACAUACACCAUUGGAAUAUUGCUAGUACAUUGCCUGAACCAAAAGACAUCCACUUGAAUGUGAAUGUACCAUAGAGGCAAGUGAAUGUCGUCUUCUUUUGGUCUUCCGGGUUAAUAAAAAUUUGGUUGUACCACUAAUAACCAUCAAGAAAGCAAUACCACCCCCACCCUGCUAACCUAUAUAGUAUUUGAGAAAUACUAAUUUGGUUGUACCUCUAAUAACCAUCAAGAAAGCAAUACCAUCCCCGCCCCACUAACCUAUAUAGCAUUUGACCCAUAAAGGGCAUAGAGAAGUGGUCCUUUUUGGUCCAAGAGUUCAACUUGCGGUAGUCCAUGCAUACCCUCCAUUCCAUGAUCGGUCAGAUAGGAACAAGGUUGUUCUUUUAAUUCACAACUACCGUAAUGCCAGCUUUCUUUAGAACACAUUACACCGGGCUUACCCAUGUGCUAUUGGAGAUUGGGUAGAUGACUCCCACGUCAAGCUAUUUUAUAAUUUCUUUCUUUACCACCUCCUGUAUAGGUUUAUUUAGCCUCCGUUGAUGUUCCACACUUGGUACAUGAUCAUGUUAUAGUUUGAUCUUAUGGUAAUAAUUUUUGGGAACUAAGCUAUGAUAUCCGCAAUUGUGUAUCCAAUGGCUCGAAUGAACUUUUUCACUACCAACUUCAAAGCUUCCAUUUGGUAGGGCUCAAGAUCACUUGCAAUGAUGAUAGUCAAGGUAUGUCAAUCCCCUAGGAAUGGAUGGCUUUGCGGGUGGACUCUCAUAGUUUUUAAGAUCAAGGUCCAACAUUACCGAAUUUUUAGUAUAAGAUCCAAUUCCUGUUAAAGAUGAAACCACUUGAUCAAAUGCUUCAACUUCAUAUCUUCCACAGUUCCAUGACUCCCACCAAUGGAUUAUCUACCAAACUCAUGUCAACAUAAUUUGUCACCUCACUAUCGAUGGUAUCGAUUACCGAAAUUACUUGCUAGCCUAUUGGUUGUUUCAUGGACUUUCAUACAUUAAAAGAAACGCCCUUAUAAUUUAGGCAAAACUUCAUCUCCCCUCACUCUGCAUCUACCAAUGCUCUCUUGGUGGCUAAAAAUGGCCUUCCAAGAAUAAUAGAAAUUUCAUUAUCUAAAACACAAUCAAGGAUGACGAAUUCCUCCAGGAAGAUGAACUGAUCGACUUUAACUAGCACAUCAUGAAGUAUUCCCAUUGGUUUUUUAAUGGUCCAAUCGGCCAUUAGCAAUCUCAUCGUGGUAGGUUGUGGUUUCCCUAAUCCUAGCUUGUGAAAUAUGGCAUAUGACAUUAUAUUUACACUCGCCCUGAGGUCACACAAGGCAUUUGCAAACUUGAAUAUUUCGAUGGUGCACGGGAUUGUAAAAGCACCGGUGUCUUUCUUGUUUUUUUCCAUGGUACUCAACAUAAUUGCACUAUAAUGAUGAGUUAUUUCUAUUUGUCUCAUCCUCUACAAAAUACUUUUUGUAGAUCAAUUCCUUCAUAAAAUUAUCAUACCUCGGCAUCUCUUACAAGGAUUUCAUCAAAGGAAUGUUGAUGGAAAGGUUGCUAAAUUUAUCAAGAAACUAUUUGAACUUUGCAUUUUCCCUUCUUUUCUUGAACCGUUGAGGAAAGGUGGAGGAAUUGUGAUUGGUGGCAUGGAGAAAAUUUUUCAUCUUUGAAUUUUCAAAGAUAACCUCAUUUGUCCUUAACUCGUCAUCAUUAGACCUCUUUCUGUCCAAACUUAUUUUCUCAUUAUUUUUUCUUUUGUUGGGAUCAUCAUCAAGCUCUAUGUCCUUGCCAAGAGUUUUUUUUCUUUAAGUGACAAUAGCAUUUGUUACCAUACCGAUCGAUAUCUCUUCAUUUUUUCUUUCCAUGAGGUGCACUAAUAUUUGAUUCAAUUUUUCCUUUAAUGGUCGGAUGGCGAUUAAAUAAGACUCAACCAUUUGAUGAAGCUUAUAGAAAUCAUUCCUCAUUUUUUCACUAUCAUAUCGAUCCCCUCAACUCCAAUCAAGAUUCAAGCCAAAAUAUCUCUAUUAAUACACCCCUCUUUUUGUAUUUAGACAUGCCUCAGUUCUCAUUGGACCUCAAUGCCACUUUCGACCAAGUAUUAUUUGGUUAAUUGAGAUGAAGUCUGUGUCGGAAGCCUCGAAUCGAAACCUUGGCAAACUUUUGAACCCAAAUUCACACAGAAAUCCUCCAAAGCUGAUUGGAAUCUAAAAUCUAUGGGAAAUUUGAGCAAAACCCAAACCAAUAAUGAUCAAAUCCAACCACAACUUCGAACGUUGAUCACAAUUUUUGAGUCUAUUUUCUCAACUAAAUUGGACAAGACGACGAGUAUCUUGUGGGUGUUGUUUUCCAGUGACUUUUAUCGCUGUUUUGGCAUCUUUGGUGGAUGUUUAUUGGAACAUUAACAAAUAAAAAUUAGGGUUUUCUUCGAUUGACAAUCCCAAUGAUGAUCCAUUUUCUCGAUUCUCUUCUCUCUUUCUCAGCUAUAUUUUGUAUGUUAUAAGUGUAGUAUGUAUUCGAGUGGGGUAUGUGUGUUUGUUACUGCAAAAUCAAUGGAGAAUUAUAGAUUAGAGGAGUGUGUGUGUGUGUGAGUUUGUUGGUGUGUGAAUCUUAUUCUCCCUCCAUAGCUGUGUGUGCGUGCAUUAUUCUGUGAGUGUGUCUUCUUUUCUAGUGAGGUAUCAAUAUGUGUAUAUGAAUAUCUGUGUAUGUGGAGUGCGCCAGUUUGUAUGUAUUGUAGCCCCUGUAUCUGUGUAUGAGUGCCUGUAUAUACGUGUGCAUUUUGGUGGGUAAAUUAUGAGAGAAUGUGUGUAUUGUGCCUCAAUAUCCUUGUGUGUGAGUUGUGUGUUUUCUGUUAUAACAAUUUUAGUGGGUCUCCUUUAUGUUAUGGUGAAGAUGAGUGAAAAAAUUUGAGUUUGUGAGAGCUGAGGUACGUGGUAGGGGUAGGGUAGGGGUGAGGGGGUUGGGCUGGGUAGGGUAGUGAGGUGGGUAGGAGUGUGUUUGUUAUUUUCUUAGGGUGAGGCAUCCAUUUUUAAAUGGUGAGGUUUUUAAUUUGUUAAUUUUAUGGAGAUAUAAUCACAUGAGGGUAAGGUACAUGGUUAGGUGGGGUAAAAAUGGUAAAAGGAUGAUUUUGGGGAAGGACAAAAUUAUGUGUCUGCAUCAUGCCCCUCUUUGGGUGUAAACAUAAAGUGUUUUCAAACAAAGAAGUAGACAACGAGAUAGAAUUUUGACUCGACCAUUAUUCGAAGGAAGAAAUAGAAGGAAGAAGGACAAUUGAGUUGGAGAGUCACGUGAGGUCCCUUCGAGGUUCCGGUCUGCGGCUUUUUCAUUACAUCAAAAAUGAAAAUUACAAAUUAAAAAUAUAAAUGAAAUUACAAAAGUCCUAUCUAUGUAGCUUUGCUUGACUCUUGACUUACUAUUUCAUCAUGCUAUUCUCCAGGCGGGCUCCUGACCUUCGAUUUCAUCACCCUGUUCUUUUGGUGGUCUCCUGACUUUCUAUUUCAUCACCUUAUUGCUUAGCUUUCAAUCUCAUCACCCUGUUCUCUAGGUGGGCUUCUGACUUACUAUUUCUUUAAUCUGUGGACUUUCAAUUUCUUCACCUUAUUUCUCGACUUUUUAUUUAUUUGCCCUGUUCUUCAGGUGGGCUCCUGGAAUCACAUCAAAAUAAGAAGAAAAUUAUUCCAAACAAAGAUUAUUAUAAAGAGAGAUUCCAUUUGCCAGAAAAGUAAAGUUUCAAACAACAGGAAUUAAUUUUUUUUCCCCGAUUUAUCGUCAGAGGACUUUUGUGAAAGUCAUAUCAUAACUACUUGAAAAACCCAAACAAGUAAAAUGCAUAUUCUAUCGGUUAAUUGGAAUAAUUCGACUAGAAAGUGCAUUUUCUAGGAGUCAAAUGGAAUGACUCAACUAGAAAGUACAUCUUCCAAGAGUCAUGGGGAAUGACUCAACUAGAAGGUAUAUCUUCUAGGAGUCGAGGGGAAUGACUACACUAGAAGGUAAAUCUUCUAGGAGUCAAGGGGCGUUACUCGACCAGAAGGUACAUCUUCUAGGAGCCAAAGAGAGUGGCUUGACCAUAAGGUACAUCUUCUAGGAGUCAAGGGGAGUGACUUGAUUAGAAGGUACAUCUUCUAGGAGUCAAAGGUAAUGGCUCAACUAGAAGGUACAUAUUCUAGGAGUCAAGGGGAAUGACUCGACUAGAAAGUACAUCUUCUAGGAAUCAAGGAGAAUGACUCGACUGGAAGGUACAUCUUCUAUGAGUUAAGGGGAAUGACUCGACUGGAAGGUACAUCUUCUAAGAGUCAAGGGGAAUGACUCAAUUGGAAGGUACAUCUUCAGAAGUCAAGGGGAUAAAUCGACUGGAAGGUAAAUUUUCUAGUAGUUAAAGGACUUCUAGGAGUCAAGGGAAUAACUCGACUAGAAGGUAUAUCUUCUAGGAGUCAAAGGGAAUAGCUCGACUAGAAGGUACAUCUUUUAGGAGUCCAGGGGAAUGAGUCGACUAGAAAGUACAUCUUUUAGGAAUCAAGGGGAAUGAAUUAACUAGGAUGUACAUCUUCUAGGAGUCAAGAGGAAUAACUCGACUAGGAAGUACAUCUUCUAGGAAUCAAAGGGAAUAACUCGACAAGAAGGUACAUCUUUUAGGAGUCAAGGGGAAUGACUCAACUGGAAGGUACAUCUUCUAGGAGUCAAGGGGUAUAACUUGACUGGAAGGUACAUCUUUUAGAAUUUAAGGGGAACAACUCAACUGGAAGGUACAUCUUUUAGGAGUCAAAGGGGAUGAAUCGAAUGAAAGGUACAUCUUCUAGGAGUCAAGGGGAAUGACUCGACUAGAAGGUACAUCUUCUAGGAGUCAAGGGGAAUGACUCGGCUAGAAAGUACAUCUUCUAGGAAUCAAGGGGAAUGAAUUAACUAGGAUGUACAUCUUCUAGGAGUCAAGGGGAAUAACUCUACUAGAAAGUACAACUUCUAGGAAUCAAGGGGAAUAACUCGACUAGAGGGUACAUCUUUUAGUAUUCAAGGGGAAUUACUCAACUGGAAGGUACAUCUUCUAGGAGUUAAGAAAAAUGACUCAACUUGAAGGUAUAUAUUCUAGGAUUCAAGGGGGAUGACUCAAAUGGAAGGUACAUCUUCUAGGAUUCAAGGGAAUGACUCGACUAGAAGGUACAUCUUCUAGAAGUCAAGGGGAAUGACUCAACUAAAAAGUAUAUUUUCUAGGAGUCAAGAGGAAUGACUCCACUAGAAAGUAUAUUUUGUAGGAGUCAAAGGGGAAUGACUCGACUAGAAAGUAUUUUCUAGAAAUGUUGGUUCAAUUUAAAAAAUGUAUCAUCUUGCAACUGAAAACUGAGAUACCUGAACAAGGAAGUGUGUUUUCGAGGGAUAUAGGAUGAUGAAUUUUUACCAUAAUUUGAUUAUCAAACCUGUACGGCAAAAUUGCUUCCUACAUUUAUAGAAGUGAGGCAUUGCAGCCCUUGAUAUCUAUGCUUUGAAGUCCUUGAUUUGAUGGUAACAUGUUUCCUAUUUCAUCAAAGAAUGCUUGUGAGUUUAAAAUAUUGUAACUGGUUUGUGGAUUUAGAUUUUACGGCAAUCGCUCUUGCCCUCGUCACAUUUAACCUUGCUUUCAACCAUUAGCAUAUGUCAUUGACAUACUGCAGCAAUGAUCUAAACACAGAUCAUUAAGAGGGACUCUGGCACAAAUAUAGUAUCACUGUUGUUGCUAUGUUUCUUGGACACAUCCUUUGGAACUUGGUAUUUCCAUGAAUCCCCAGACUUGUCUGUUGUAAAAACUUUCUGCAUGCCUUAUUCGGUUCAUAAUCAUGUGUCUUUCAUGUGCUGGUCUUUUUGUCUUUCUUUGUGUAAUUGAAGAAUUUGGUAGCCAGUUUUGAAAUCUUUUCUCACUUGUUUUGACACGGACUUGACACAAAAAAAAUAACACUAAUUUUUUUAUUUGGAUAGCUGACUCUAGAAAACAAAAAUAAAAAAUACACAGAGAAGAAAGAAAAGACAAUGAAUGUCCCUCUUUGAAACAAAGAAAUGAAAAAUUUAUCUAAAAAUGAUAGUCAACUCUAAUGAUUAUGCCAUGCCUUUUGGAUUAAGCUGUUUGAUCUUUCCAUCAAAACUUUUUACUAAUUGUUCUUGAGUUGAUGACCCUAAAAAUGAGUUAUUUCCUUGGUCCAAUCACAUUCAUAGACCUCAUUCAGCUAGUGACACCUUGAAGGGUUUUCACCGAGAAGCCUCUCUCAUUUUCUUUCUCUCAGCUCACCAUUGCCCUAUGGUGUCCAUGAGGAUUUUCACUAAUGAGACUCUCUUAUUUUUAUUUUUCUUAACUCACGGCCGUCUUAGGUGCCCGUGAGGGUUUUAACCAAUAAUACUCUCUUAUUUUUAUCUCUUUCAACUUACCAUCACCUUACGAUGUCUGUGAGGGUUUUCACCAAUAAGACUCUCUCAUUUUUAUUUCUCUCCUGAUUACUUAUGCUGAGGAAGACGAGUAGUUCCCAAAAUGUUUCAUCAUAUCCAUUGCAUGCUUAGCCUUAACAUUCUCAAAAAUUGAUCUAAAGUUCUUUCUUUGGUUGUAACUUGGCUUUUGGAUAAGGUUAGAAAGAAAGGAUGACAUGAGUCCCAAACGACACUUGAAAUGGAGUAGGACUUACAACUUUUGGAAUCGACUCAAACAAUGAGGAUUAACUCAUGCCCUAAUUUGUUUCGGCGGGGUAAUUCUAAAUUAUUUAUUUGGUUAGACCGAUCCCAUAGUAGGGCAUCCUUAGUAUCUCACUACCGAGAGAGGAGAAUCAGGUCACACAUAGUUUCGAUAACUUGUUCUUUUUCUUGAUUUUGAUUUCUUCUUUUUUCUCUUUUAUUGACUCUUUUUCUCUUUGAAACUUUUUCUAACUCUAUUUUUCUUGUCACUCCCCAUUUUUUUUUUGACAUAUUUUUGUUUUUUUUUCUUUUUUUGAAACUUUUUUGACUCGAUUGUUUUUGUCAAUACCUUUUCUUUUGAAUGUUGUUGACUCUAUCUUGAUUCCAAAAGAGGGAUAAGAAAGAAAAUAGAACUAAAGCUCAAAUGGGGUAAACAAAGGAUGAUACAAUGUUUGAAUAACAGAAUGGAAUGCCUUCGUCAUAUCAAUCCUUGAAAAUACAAGUACACAUCAUGCAAUAUGAAGUGAAAUAUGAAGAUCAUUUGUGACAUUUUUUUUACAGCACUAACUUUAACUGAGCCUGUACGUUGCUACUUCUUCUGCAAACUCCACCUUUGUUGUACAUUCCUCAAAUCAAUGACUCGUGAUUUUGUGGAUCAGAUUUUCUUUCUGCUCCUCUUGAUAUAGGAUCACACAUCUACUAUUUGCCCUAAUUGAGACAUGCCUUUCAAUUGAUGACCAAUUUAUUCUUAUGAUUCUUAAAAUAAUUGCCUUAAUUUUCAAAGAAGACUUCAACUUGGUCACCAAAUGUCCCAACACUCUACCUAUUUUCUUAGAUGCACUUUUUCUGAAUUUAGCCCUCUGAUUCAAUAUUUCAUGAUUAAAAUAGAUUUUAAAAUCUGACUAAAAAUUCUGCAUGAACGUCAUAUUAUUAGACAUAAAAAUGUACUGUGUAAAGAAAACAAAAAAAUACAUAUUUAAACACAAAGGAAAAAAAGAACACUCCAUUUAGUUGAAAUGAAAGAUAGAAGAGUUUGAACAUAAACAACAAAAGGAGAAAAUAAGAUAGAUCCUGAAUGACAACCCUAAAAUAAUUUGGAUAAUAGAAAAGAAAAAAAAAUCAACUACCAGACCUCUUUCUAGUAAGGAGAGGAGUAACUUCCUAAUUGCUGAGCCUGAUAUCUUAGCCACUAGUUUGCACAUCAGCACAACUAGAGCUUUUACUACUGUCAGACACAUUUCCUUCAACAAAUAAGUUCUGGAUCCCUAUAUUUAACUCAUUGCUUCCCACAUGUUUUACAUUAUCAUGGGUUGGUGAAGGAUUCCGUGUGACACUCGUAGUGUCAAUGUUUUGCACUAUAAUCAAUUUUUCUUGAAUCAUCCUUUCUAUUUCUCUUUUCAAAGCAUGAUAAUCCUCAAUACUGUGACCCUGAACAUCAGAAUGAUAUGCACAUCUUGCAUGAGGAUCAAAAUUUCUUGAAUGCGAGUCAAGAGUAUACCCAAGUAAAGGAGUGGUCAUUCCCAAACAUCUCAAUUUUUGAAAUAAACUGGCAUAUGAUUCUCCAAUUAGUUUAAAAUUAUCCAUUGACUUCCAUAUCUUUGCAAACUAUGGCCUCAAUUAAAAUUUGGAUAUAGAUGUUUUUGGUAAAUUUGUAGGGGUCGAGGAUAAUGUUGAGAAAUCAGUGCAUGCCAUUUUGGAUAAGAAAACGGAUGGGCAUACAAUUAUGCAUUGUUCAAAGGAUACUAAGGAAGUGGAAUGAAACAUCUUGGAUUUUGAAAAGAGGAACCUUGUUGUGGAUGAAUAGGUGGAUUUGAUAUGUAACCUCGGGAUUGAGACUGAUAAUAUUGUUGAGUGAGACCUUUCGAGCUCUGCUUUGUCCCUGGAAUGACAAUAGGUGUAUUUUCAUUAUUCUUCCCUUCUGUUUUUUCAUAAUUGAUUGUAUAUCAUCCCAAAUGUUGAACGACAUCUUUAUGUCCAUCAUUGUAAUACCCUAUACUUUUCCUAUCUUGAAAAGUUUCCCAAGGAUGUUAGAAGCUUUCUUUGAAAGAUGAAUCCACUUUUGUACAUGUGGUAUUUUCAGGAUUUUCACUUUUUAUCAUGUGGGGAAUCGAAUAAGCCUUCCAUUGAUACCAAAUUCUCUCAAAUUUAACACCCGGGUGAAGAGUUAGAGCCUUUUUAGUGAGACAAUGUAUCACCUAAGCCUUCAGCGCAUCGCAGAGAUAGCUCAGAUGACAAUUAUCAAUUUUCAGUGUUGCUCCGCGAUAGUGGCACGUCACACCAAACUUUCAGGUCGUAGGCAAGGUGGAAACGCGAUAGGUCCAUAUUGCGCCACUGUGCAAUUUCCCAUUUUUCACUUUUCAGUGACUUGGCGCGAUAGUGGCGCGUCGCGCCAAGGAUGAAAAUUGGGAAAUUUUCUCAAAAAUUAAAGACUUGUCUAGGGUUUAAAGGGUCAAUUUACCACCCCUAUAUAUACCCUAUAAUACGAGAUUUAGUCAUUCCUCACCCAAAAUAUACUAGUUUCUCUCAAGAACAAGCUAGGGUUUCUAUUAGGGAUUCAAAUUCAAGAAGGUUUCGCCAUCAAUCCUCAAGAAAUCACAUCCUUGGUAUGCAUAGUGUUCAUUCAUGGGCUCCUUUCAUCCAUGAAGCCUAAGAAUCUAUUUUCUAACUUCAAGUUUAUGGAUUUCUUUAUGAAUUUCAUGUUGGGUUUGUUUUGUUUAUGCUGAGAAUGAUCAAUUAAAUUCAAAUCCAUGUUGGGUGAUCAGUGUUAGGUGGAAUUGAUUUGUAUAGAUGUAUAUACAUGUGAACCUAUGAUUAAACCCUAGGAUGAUGAAAUUAGAUGUUGAAACAUGAUGUUUAAUUGUUGUGUAAUGUUGUCUACAUAUAUUAUGCCUACCAUGUGUUUGAUUAAGUGCCUACAUGAAGAAAAAGUGCCCAGCUAGCAUGAUAUUAUGAAAGCCCCAUUUACAUACAAGUUUAUGCAUAUCAAAUGUUUGAUGAAGUUCUUUAAUAUAUGAACUAUGAAUUGUGUUGUUGGUCAUGUGUUCAAGUAAGCUAUGCUAUGUCAGUUUUUUCCAUCGAGUCCUGGGGGUACUUAUACCCGACAAUUUAGUUGCGUGCCUAGAGCUAUGUCAAGUUUUCACGAUAAUCUCAGUCAAGCCAUGAUCAGUAGAAUUUAGUCUGUCUCAUGACUCAGAAAAUCUCAGUAAAUUCAGUAUCCAUCAGAUCAGUCCUACUCAGUAAUCUUAGUAACCACAGUAUUCCUAGUAAUCUCAGUAACUUCAGUACUCUUAGUCAGUCCUCAAAACUCAGUAUAUUCCGUCAGUCAAUGGAACUCAGUAAACUCAAUUUAGCUCCGUUAAACAAUACCAUUAGUAUCAUCUUAGUUCAGAUAAUCACUUCAGUUCAGUUAAUCAGUUCAGUGUCUUUUAGAUGGGAGUAGGAUUCAGUACCGAGCGAGCCUAGGGAUGGGGACUCACCUGCUAGAUAGGACUGAGAUCCCUAGAAGAAAUCCCUAAGUUCUAGAACUACAUAACCAGCAUAGGUAUGAUAUGUCACCCAUUAGAUAGGACUAACAUACUCAAGGAUCACCCAUUAGCAUAUUUAAAUAUAUAGGACUGAUCCCAAGGGUCACCCGCUAGAUUAGGACUGACUCCACAGUAGUUGUUUCUAUCAGUGGCGCAGUAUUGACACCCUUCCAACUAGGGUUAUAGGUUGGACCCCAGUUAGCUUAGUAUGGAGCAUGUCGGUUAGAUGAUUACAUCCCAUAAUUUCAGUUACUCAGAUACAGUACGAAACUCAGCUAGUUUCAUCAGAUUCAGGACUAUCAAAUACAGUCACUCAUGUUAUUAGUUAUAUUAGUUAUCAGAACUUAUGUUAUUAUCAUUCAGUUUCAGGACUGUCAGAUACAGUCAACCAUACCAGUUCUUCAUAAUCAAAACUGUCAGACACAGUUAUCCAUGUAUUAGUAAUGUAGUAUCAAUCCCUCAGUAUUUAGUAAUAUAGUAUCAGUUUCUCACUCAUCAGUGACUCAGAUGUCAAUGUCAGUAGAAUCAGUAGUCAGAACUCAAUAUUCAGUCCUAUCAUGAUCUCAGUUACAGUUACGUAUGCAUGCAUGUAUUCUCAUGUUCAUAUUAGUCAAUCAGUUAGUAUUGUUCAUGCAUAUGAACCUAUUCCAUUCAGCCUACCUCACUUGCAUAUCAGUAUAUUCAAAGUAUUGACGCAUUUGUGCUAUGGUGCUUAUACCAUAGGUUUAGAAGCAUGAGCUCCAGAGAACCAGUAGUAUCCCAGUUCAGCGAUCAGAGUUAGCAAUGAGCUCUUAUCCUUCGAGGACAUGAUGAUCACAUUACUAUUUUAGUUUUCAAUUUAUUUCACUAGUUGGAGUUAGUUGGGGACAUGUCCCAUCAACUCCUUAUUCAAACAGUUUAGAGGCUUUCAGACUACAGUAUGUUCAGACAAUUAUCUCAGCUGUUUUGGUAUUGUUAUACCAUAUUUUUUAGUUAUGUACUAGUAUUAAACCUUAUGGCCUUUCAGUUCAUGUUUCCACAUUUACGAUAUUAUUACUAUUAUUCAGUGCUUAGUUUACAGAUAUCAGUCAUAGGUUAGCUUGUGAUCCUUUGGGGUUAUGGGCACCGUGUAGCAUUCCAGGUACCAGAUUUGGGGCGUUACAAACUUGGUAUUAGAGCCUAAGGUUCAAUAGUAUCCUAGGAAGUCUGAAAAGCCGCAUCUAGUAGAGUCUUUUACAUGCAUUUGUUGUGCACCACACUUUUGUGCAGGAGGCUAUGAGGUGUUUUAGGAACAGUUUCCCUUCUUUCAGUAUUCAUGUCAUGCCAGUGAGCAUAGGCUCAAAGUUAAACUAUCAGUCAUGAAUCAGUCCGUGGAUGCCCUAUGCAUCGCCCCAGUAUCUCAGUAGGGUGAGCAUUCUUAGAGGGACAUAGUGUCCCAAGGAGGAGAUACCCUAUUAUUUCCUCAACGUUCACAUGCCUUAAAUAAAGUUUCUCUUCGAAUAAUGAAUCUAUUUUAGAGUAGAGGGUAUUCAUAAGUUGAUCCUCAAAGUCCUAACCUCAGCUUUGGGCCAAGUAUUCAGAGGCUCAGUUCCGUUCAUAAUGUUCAGUUCGUAUGCCACGUAUCAGACUAAACUCAGUUAGGUUCUCAUAUUUUCGCUCAUGCAUGUUUAGUAAGAUGAUAUCGAAUUCAUUAGCAUUUCCAGUUAAGAUAACAGUUCUCCUUAGUCUUACUCAGUUUCAUGUUCAGUGUUUAUCACAAACUUGGUACUAUGUACCCUUUCAUAUUUAGCCAUGCAUUCAUAUAUCAGUUCAGGUAUGCAAUUAUGCAUCAUACAUGCAUUAUCACUGUGAGAAAUUCAGUUCAUCAAAAUAUUCAGUAAUGUACUCAUAAGUCAAUUUCAGUCAUGCAUCAGAUAUGCGUGAAUUCAGCUUAUUAGUCAUGCAUCAGAUAUGCAUGUUCAGUAUGAUAUAUUAAGCCAUCAGUCAUGUUAGUCAUGAAAUCAUGUUCCAGCCAGUCAUGUUCAGUAUGUACGUUAGUUUGUAUUCUUUCCCUCUCACUCAGUCUCAUUCAAGGACGAACGUUCUCAAGGGGGAGAUGUUGUAAUAACCCGUAUUUUUCUGAGCUUAAAAAGUUUUCUAAGGAUGUUAGAAGCUUUCUUUGAAAGAUGAAUCCACUUUUGUACAUGUGGUAUUUUCAAUAUUUUCACUUUUUAUCAUGUGGAAAAUCGAAUAAGCUUUCCAUCGAUACCAAAUUUACCUAAAUCCGACACCUGAGUGAAGAGUUAAAGCCUUUUUAGUGAGACAAUGUAUCACCUGAACCUUCAACGCGUCGCAGAGAUAGCUCAAAUGGAAAUUGUCAAUUUCCAGUGUUGCUUCAUGAUAUUGGUGCAUCGUGCCAAACUUCUAUGUCGCAGACAAGGUGGCAAUGUGAUAGCUCCGCAUCGCACCACCGUGCAAUUUCCUAUUUGUCACUUUCUAGUGACUUGGCGCGAUAGUGGCGCGUCGUGCCCAGGAUAAAAAUCGGAAAAUUUUCUCAUAAAUUAAAGACGCGUUCAGGGUUAAAAGGGUUAAUUUCCCACCACUAUAUAUACACAAUAACAAGUGAUUUAGUCAUUCUUCACCCAAAAUAUACUAGUUUCUCUCAAGUUUCUCUCAAGAAUAAGCUAGGGUUUCUAUUGGGGAUUCAAAUUCAAGAAGGUUACACCAUCAAUCCUCAAGAAAUCACAUCCCUGGUAUGCAUAGUGUUCAUUCAUGGACUCCUUUCAUCCAUGAAGACUAAGAAUCUAUUUUCUAAGUUCAAGUUUAUGGAUUUCUUUAUGAAUUUCAUGUUGGGUUUGUUUUGUUUAUGCUGAGAAUGAACAAUUGAAUUCAAAUACAUGUUGGGUGAUCAAUGUUAGGUGGAAUUGAUUUGUAUAGAUGUAUAUUAAUAUGAACCUAUGAUUAAACCUUAGGAUGAUGAAAUUAGAUGUUGAAUCAUGAUGUUUAAUUGCUGUAUAAUGUUGUCUACAUAUAUUAUGCCUACCAUGUGUUUGAUUAAGUGCCUAUAUGAAGGAAAAGUGCCCAACUAGGAUGAUAUUAUAAAAGCCCCAUUUAUGUACAAGUUUAUGCAUAUCAAAUGUUUGAUGAAGUGCUUUAAUAUAUGAAUUAUGAAUUGUGUUAUUGGUCAUGUGUUCAAGUAAUCAUUUUUUUCCAUCGAGUCCUGGGGGUACUUGUACCCGACAAUUUAGCUGUGUGCCUAGAGCCAUGUCAGGUUUUCACGAUAAUCUUACUCAAGCCAUGAUCAAUAGAAUUUAGUCAGUAUCAUGACUCAGGAAAUCUCAGUAAAUUCAGUAUCCAUCAGAUCAGUCCCACUCAGUAGUCUCAAUAACCGUAGUAUUCCUAGUAAUCUCAGUAACUUCAGUACUCUUAGUCAGUCCUCAGAACUCAGUACAUUCCAUCAGUCAAUGGAACUCAGUAAACUCAGUUUAUCUCCACUAAAUAAUACCAUUAGUAUCAGCUCAGUUCAGAUAAUUACUUCAGUUCAGUUAAUCAGUUCAGUGUCUUUCAGAUAGGAGUAGGAUUCAGCACCGAACGAGCCUAGGGAUGGGGACUCACCCGCUAGAUAGGACUGAGAUCCCUAGAAGAAAUACCUAAGUUCCAAAACUACAUAGCCAGUGUAUGUACAAGAUGUCACCCGUUAGAUAGGACUGACAUACUUAGGGAUCAUUUGUUAGCACAUUUAAAUGUAUAGGACUUAUCCCAGGGGUCACCCGAUAGAUUAGGACUGGCUCCACAGCAGUUGUCUUUAUCAGUGGCGCGGUACUGAUACCCUUCCAACUAGGGUUACAGGUUGGACCCUAGUUAGCUUAGUAUGGGGCAUGUUGGUUAGAUGAUUAUAUCCCAUAAUUUCAGUUACUCAGAUAUAGUACGGAACUCAGCUAAUUCCAUCAGAUUCAGGACUAUCAGAUACAGUCACUCAUGUCAUUAGUUAUAUUAGUUAUCAGAACUUAUGUUAUUAUCAUUCAGCUUCAAGACUGUCAGAUACAGUCAACCAGACCAGUUCUUCAUAAUAAAAACUGUCACACAGUUAUCCAUGUAUUAGUAACGUAGUAUCAAUCCCUCAGUAUUCAGUAAUAUAGCAUCAGUUUCUCACUCAUCAGUGACUCAGAUGUCAAUAUCAGUAGAAUCAGUAGUCAGAACUCAAUAUUCAGUCCUAUCAUGAUCUCAGUUACAGUUACGUAUGCAUGCAUGUAUUCUCAUGUUCAUAUUAGUCAAUCAGUUAGUAUUGUUCAUGCAUAUGAACCUAUUCCAUUCAGCCUACCUCACUUGCAUAUCAGUAUAUUCAAAGUAUUGACGCAUUUGUGCUAUGGUGCUUAUACCAUAGGUUUAGAAGCACGAGCUCCAGAGAACCAGUAGUAUCCCAGUUCAGCGAUCAGAGUUAGCAAUGAGCUCUUAUCCUUCGAGGACAUGAUGAUCACAUUACUAUUUUAGUUUUCAAUUUAUUUCACUAGUUGGAUUUAGUUGGGGACAUGUCCCAUCAACUCCUUAUUCAAACAGUUUAGAGGCUUUCAGACUACAGUAUGUUCAGACAAUUAUCUCAGCUGUUUUGGUAUUGUUAUACCAUAUUUUUUAGUUAUGUACUAGUAUUAAACCUUAUGGCCUUUUAAUUCAUGUUUCUGCAUUUAUGAUAUUAUUACUAUUAUUCAGUGCUCAGUUUAUAAAUAUCAGUCAUGGGUUAGCUUGUGAUCCUUCAGGGUCAUGGGCACCGUGUAGUAUUUCGGGUACCAGAUUCGAGGCGUUACAAUCAUUCUCCUCAAAUUUUGAUAUUUCAUAGCUUGGAGGAUGGUUGACACUUGAAUACAUGCCCCAGUCUUUAUAUGAAACAUAUUCAUAACCUGUAAGUCCCAGGAAACUUUUCAUAGCAUUUUCUGCAUUCUCCAUUUUUCCAACCAUUUUCUCUGGCUCUUCUAGCAUGCUAGGCUUCUUGGUAAGAAAUUUUGGUAGUCUAAUUAACUUAAAAUUUAGGUUCAAAAGUAUAACAAUGAUCAUCAAUAGUCUUGAAUGUGGAUUCACUAGUGGACUGGGGAAAUACAAUCGUUAGGCGGACAACUAAUGUGGAAACCUCAGUAGAGGGUUGAGCAACAAAAUCACAAACGAUAUAUGGUGUUGUGAAUGUAGUUGGCUUAUGUUAAGGAGCUAGAGAAAGAGUGGUGGAAGUAUUGGGAUGUAGUUGAGGAACAAAUUUUGAGACAUACUAAGGUGCAUCAACAACAGUAGGAAGCUGACAUAGUGAUUUUGGUGGAAAACUCAAGGUAUUUAUAGGAUCAAAAGUAGGGAAUAGAGAAGGAGGCAACCCACUGGCCCAAGUUCGGUGAAUUACCAUCAUUUGUUUCCUUGAUCUCAAAAUCUCUUGCUUUAAACUCUCCUUUUCCCGACUCUUUGUUUGGUCUAUGAUGUCACUCUCUAUAUCCAUGUUGGACACAAUUAACCCUUCCUUGAAUUUGGUGUAAUGUGAAGGACCAGCCAGAAUGCCACAAACCAACCACUUUAAACUAACUGAAUAAGAAAUAACAGAGAUGUUAGAAUGAAAUACUUUUCAAAACUCUUUUUCUUCUUUUUUUCUUUUGAAAAGAUCACCAAACCCAAGAAGGGCGCCUACGUAUCUCACUCCCAAGAGAAGAAUCAGGUGUACAUAGUUCUUGAAGUUUUGGCACCAUAUGGCCGAUCAAACUUUUUUUUUCUUCUUCUUUCUCUUGAAAUCUUAAGAAGCAAAGAAAACAACAAAUUGUCAAAAGAAUUGAUGAAAAUCUUUUUGAAUUUUCAUCUUUAAAAUCCCAUACAAAAUGAAACAUAUGAUUACCAAAGAAAAUCUUUUUGGAUUUCAUACGAAAGUGAAACUUGAACCUAUUAAAGUAAUUUUUUUUUUAUAGUUUUCUUUUAAAGAUGUAUACGAAAAACCUACUAUAAAUAAAGAGUGAAGAAAAUCUUUUUGAAUUUUUUAAACAAGAUCACCAAACCCACGAAGGGCUGCCUACGUAUCUCACUCCCAAAAGAGGACAAUUAAGGAUUAAAUAACCAAUUGACCCUAACUUAAGAGACACAACCAAAGACAGACAAUGAAUAACAUUAAUUUUUUGGGGCUUUUUUAAUUAGACACUUCACAUAAAAAUGACACCAACAAACUAUGAAAGAAAAAUCUUUUUUGGCAUUUUCGUUAUAUGAAUGUACAAAACUUCUACCUUUUUUUUUGAAUUUUUCUUUUAUAAAAAACUCCUAUUGAAAUUUUUUUUAAAAAUUUUUUGAAUUAUGAAUGCUUACUAAAGAAACAAAAGAAAAAUCUUUUUGAUAUUUUUGUUUAUGGACAAAUGAGUUUUGGACUCACUUUUUUUCCUUUUCUCUUUUUUUUUUUUCAAAUUUUCCUUUGCUUACACAUGCUUUCCCUUUAAUUCUAGCAUAUGGUUUCCCCCAAAUCAUUCCGUCAAAUGAUCCUGUUACCCUCAAAGAUGAAACAAUUAGCACGUAGGGAUGCUUUAGGAGUGAGUCUCCUACAAAGGACAAAGUGGGUCUUGCUAGAUCUCAAUAUGAUCCAGAUAAGCAUGACCUAAAGGCUGACCUAGGCUGGGGUCCACUAACAAGGCUGUCCAGGGAAGCGUAUGGUCUAUAGUGGUUGGGAUAGCUUUUCACCUACUCCAUACUAGCCGAUAGCUCCCCCUCCUAAAAUAAGGGUGACUCAACUAGAGAUCGUGUAUACAACAUAUACUAUGGGAAACUUUGCGAAAGACAUGACUCGGGCAAUGCAAAUGAUGACAGGUAUAACUGUAACACAUAAGGAAAAACUAUAAACGCGUAGCACAUAAGUACAUAAUAAUGAUAAUACAAUACAAACGAUAACACAAAUAACAUAUGUACACUCAUAGUAUCAAACUAAUCCGAUACAACUAAAAAAAUAAGCUCGAAUUCUAAAAAAUCCCCAGCAGAGUUGUCAGAGCUAUCACACCCCCUUUUUUUUAUCCAAAAAGAUUGAAUUUUAAAUUUGAAAGGGUUUUUAUUACUAAGUGACAAAGAACGAAAAUUUAUUUCAAAAAGAAUUCUUUUACAUUUAAACUUAGAGUCGCCACUUGGCAUAAAUUUAGAGUGCCAAGUCACCAUUGGAAAUCCUUUUUCAAAAUGGUUUGAUUCUUUAAAAACUGGUCCACGAACAGAAAUUCCGGUUAAGAAAAUUUGUUAAUCAAGGGGUAGGUGUUAGGCACCCCUCGAUCCCGUGGUUCGACCAUGGUUACUUCAUGGAGUAUAUCUGCUAGUACGACACUAUGAAUGUAUAAACCACAUACAACACCUAAAACAAUCAAUCACACAAACAAAACAAAAUAAGUCCAAAAAUAUAGCGUCCAGUCCAAUUAUUACAGUUCGAAAUAAAUAAAUUGAAAUAAAAUACUAACCUAUAGUAGUCAUAGGCUAUGCUUUACCCGAUGCCUCGGGCCUUGAUCACGAAUGUCCUCCGAGUAUAAGAUACUUCGGGGCAUUCCUCGGUGAAUAAAUACAAACAACCUCGGAGCAUUCCCCGGCUAAAUAAAUACAUUUUCAAUGUGAGAAAACCAAAAUCAUUCAAUAAUAUUUCAAAUAUUCAACAAUUCAUAAUCACUAAAUUUGCCUACCUCCUAUCAUUUACCUAUCAAUUUGACGGCCUAAUCAUGAUACUAUCGAGUCCGAGAAAAUUAAUAUCCAUUUCAAAUUAACUCAAUCAAUGAACCAAUCUGAGUCAAUAUUCAUUCUUUAUCACUUUUCAAAUCCCCCAAUUUAUUCUCGAUCACUCAAUUGAUUAAUUAUUUAAUAACCAAUCAUGAAUAACAAACAUUGAUCAAACCAACACUCAAACGUCACCAACAAUCCACAUUAACAAAUAAAAUAGUGAUAUUGAAUCACGUUCACAAUCAAAUAAGAAUUAAAAUAAAGAAAAGAAAUAAUUGGACCUCAAUACCGCUUUGACCAAGUAUUAUUUGAUUAAACGAGAUGGAGUCCGCGCUAGAAACCUCAAAUCAAAACCUCAGCAAACUUUUGAACCCAAAUUCACACAAAAAUCCUCCAAAGUCGAUUGUAAUAUGAAACCUAUGAGAAAUUUAAGAAAAACCUAGACUACCAACGAUCAAAUCCGACCACAACUCCGAACGCCGAUCAAGAUUUUUGAGUCCAUUUUCUCACCUGAGAUGGCUAAGACAAUGAGUAGCUUGUGGGUGGUAUUUUUUGGUGGCUUUGGUCGCUGUUUUGGCAUCUCUGGUGGUUUUUUGUUAGAACAUUAAUAAAUAAAAAUUAGGGUGUUCUCUGAUUGUCAAUUCCAGCGAUGAUUCAUUUUCUCGAUUCUCUUAUCUUAUUACAUGUAUUUUCUGUGUAUUGUGAGUGUGGUGUGUAUUCGAUUGGUAUGUGUGUUUUUGUUAUUGUGAAAUCAAUGAAGUAUUAUAGAUUGGAGGAGUAUGUGUGUGAGUUUGUUAGUGUAUGAAUCUCAUUCUCCCUCCAUAGCUCUGUGUGCAUGCAUUAUUAUGUAUGUCCCCUUUUUCGAUAAGGUAUCUGUGUGUGUAUAUGAAUAUCUAUGUAUAUGGAGUGCGCCUAUGUGUAUGUAUUAUAGUGUGUGUGUUCUCUGUGAGUGGGAUCCCCUGUAUCUAUGUAUGAGUAUCUAUAUAUAUGUGUGAGUUUUGGUGGGUAAAUUGUAAGAGAGUGUGUGUAUUGUGCCUCAAUAUCCCUGUGUGUGAGCUGUGUGUUGCAAUUUAUGUGGGUCCCCUUUCUGUUAUGAAAAAUAUAAGUAAAAAAAUAUGAGUUUAUAAAGGGUGGGGUAUGCGGGUAGGGGUAGGGUAGGGGUGGAGGGUUGUGGAUAGGGGUGGAGGGUUGUGGGUAGGUAGGGUAGUGAGGUGGGUAGGAGUGUGUUUGUUAUUUUGUUAGGGUAAGGUGUCCAUUUUUAAAUAAAGAGGUUGUUAAUUUGUUAAAAAUUUGUUAUUUUUGUAUCAUUUUGGAGGGAUAAUCACAUGGGGGUAAGGUACAUGGUAAGGAGGGGUAAAAAUGGAAAAAAGAUGAUUUUGGGGAGUUGCAAAUUACGUGUUUACAGAAUUGACAAAAAUUUAUGAUUUCAUCCUACAAUUGUAACAUUUUUGAGGGUGGGAAGUAUUGAUCCAAGAAAUCCUCCAUAAGUUUGACCCACGAGGUAAUGGACUCGACGGGUAGAGAUCUUAGUCACAACACUGCCUCACCUGUUAGAUAAAAUAGGAAGAGCCGCAACCAUACGGAUUCUUAUGAUAUGUGAGAAAUGUCAAAAUAAGUACAUACUUCCACAAAAUUCUUCAAGUGCAAGUUUGGGUCAUCAUGUACUUGGACCCCAAACAAACCCUUCAUAUGAAGCAAUGGAGCAUCAUACUUGUGACAUGAAAUACUCCGUUUCCCUUGGUGGGGGAAUACAGAUAACAUUAGCAUGUUCUUCGUCGUCAAGAUAAUCCAUAGUUUCAACAUGUUCAUAUGAUAGGUUGUUGAUGACUCCUUCUUGACUUAUGGUUAUUUUCAAGAAAUAAAGAUUACCUACAGAAGAAACAAAAACAACAACUAAACUAAGUAAACACCACUACAGGUAGACUCAAAGCUACAAUCAACACCGUAAAAGUGAACACUAAGUUUUACUCCCCGACAACGGCGCCAUUUUGAUUACGCUCAACUUACUCCAUAAUUUAUGGGCAAGGCGAUCGUUGUCAAAUAUAAUAAUCCAACAUGAGUUAGGGUCGAAUCCUCAAGAAGUGAAUCUAGUAUUCAAAUCCUAUGGGUAUUGAAAGUGUCUAAGUAUAUACCCGUAGUUUAAACGAAAUGAAAUACAUGAAUUAAAAUUUGGGGGGUGUAUGGUUUCGAAAAAUUAUUUUAACAAAAACUACUCAAAUUAACAAUUGGGAGAAACAAAUGUAGAUAAGAUUCCAAUGGGAGAAUGGUCUUGGGAUUGUGAUUUCCUAGGGGCAAAUAGUGUAUGGGUUCAUGAUAAUCAAAUGCAACUUUUGGUUAAUAACUAUAUGGGUAGGCUGGGUUAUGGUCUUUGAUGCUAGCUUUUCAACCAAACACGAAGAUAUCACUCAUGGACCCUUUUGAAUACCUAAUGAGUGUGGCAAACAAAUCCACCCAACACCUUAAUUGGGCAUCCCUAUUUCUAUAAAGAUGCGCAAGACAUAGAAAAUUCACAAUCCACACUUAUUUCUAAGACAAUGAAAAGGAACAAGCUAAUAUCUAAUCUAUUAUUCACAAAUACUAUUCAUUCACAUCCCUCUUUAAAGUAUGGUGUGCAAUUUGGGAAAAUUGAGGCUUUCACCCACAAAUCCCAAUUUAGCAAUCAAAUAUUUGUGAAACCCACCAUCAUCAACUAAGAAUUUACACUAAUAAUCAAAACCCACACACAUUUGCACCAUAUUUAAACAUAAUCCUAAGAUAGAAUAUUUAGCUAAUUAUUUCCACAUUCAUCUCUCCAAUUGAAAAUAAAGCAAAAUUAAUCCCAAAAUUCCAAGCUCCAAUUACAACUAAAAAUAUCUUUUUGGAAGAUUAAAUACAGUUGAUCUUCUCACACUAAUUGGAAAUUUUCUCUCUAUUUCUCUUUCAAAGGUAGUUGGAAGAUGUUGCCAAAGUGAAAAGGUUUGCCCUUUUGAGAGAUUGGAACCAGUUGUGGAAAAUUAUCAAUCUACCCCUAGAAUGAUUUCCAUCUCAUCAUGAUAGCCGAUAUAAUAAUCGCGAUUACAGAGAACCUAUCAUGAUCGCCAGCUUUUAUUGAUUUGGACUAGCCAUGAUCACGACCCUCAGACCGCGAUCACGGUAACUGGAGGUCAGUUCUUGCUCCUGCUUUUUCAGCUUUUGAACUACUUCUUCACUUUUUGAUCUGUUUUAGCUUAUUUCAUUUCUUUGCUUCUUAUCACCUGUAUGCCUACAAAACAUCAUUCAAAUGAAAUUUUUUAAUCAUUAAAACCAUUAACUCAUAGUAGUGUGCACGGAUUUGGGCAACAAUGAGCGAUAAAUUUACCACUCAUCAAUCAGCCUUUGCAUGAUGUUACUUUCUAUCAGAAACUUGUUGAGAAGUUGUUGUAAGCUACCAUUACAAGACCAGACAUCUCUUAUGAAAUAAAUACUCUCAGUGUAACACCCUUAAAAUAUCAUCUAUUUCAUUUUUUUACCUUUCCGUGUUUGAAACAUUGAUUUUUGACCUGAGAUGUGCUUAAGGAUGUUAAAAGGGUAAUCCGGGUGAGUUUUAAAAUUUUUGAAGGAGGUUCGAGGUCAUUUUAGAGUUAUGAGGCAGUGAGCCUCCGUGAUAAUAUCAUGUCACGAAGGAUAAUCUUUGGAAUAAGCAGCGUGUCAUGGAGGAUAAUCUCUGUAGUAAGCAGCAUAGCAUGGAGGUUAGCCUCUGUGAUAAGCAGUGUGUCACGCUGCUUUGUAAAAUUUGGGUAGUCACUUUAGGGUGAAGGGUUUUUGGUUCUUUCUCCCCUUUUAAAACCCUCCCCUAUGACUUAAAUCAUCUAAUAAGAGUUAUUACCCAUUGUUAAUUAGUUUUAAAUACUCAUUAUUCUCUGCUCUCUCAAGAAAAAGAGAAUUAGGGUUUCUUUCAAUGCUGAUGCUUUUAAGACUAGAUUCAAGCUGUUUUGAAUUCUUAAUCAUCAAAAAGGUACGUAGAACUAUCCUAACAAUGAUGGGCCAAAAAUUUAUGUUUCCUUCAUGGACUUGAAAAUAUGUGGUAUAUGUGUAUGUAUGAUUUUUUAGAAUCAACUUAAGAGCAUGAUUAUGAUAUUACCUCUCUCAUGAUGAAAUUUACUUUUCUUAAUAUGUUAUAGGUUGUUCAAAUGUAUGAUUAAAAGAUUAAGUAAUAUGUUUUAUUAUCAAUGGCGAAUUGAUAUGGUUUUGAAUUCAAGAGAGGGUACUUUCCUUACUUUCGAUAUGCUCAUUCAUGUUAAAUGGAAAAAUUUCAUGUGAUCUAUGAGAUUUCCUUACUUUCCAGUUGAAAAGGGAAUGUUUUUGCAUGAAUUUUUCAUAUGCUAUUUUGAAUUAAGAACUCCCAUGUUAUGUUUAACUCUUUUGGUGGUAAUUAAUAAAUUUUGAAUAAAAAAGGCUAAGAAUAUGACAUGACAUGAUAUGGCUUGCAUGUCUAGGUAUGCUGAUACCUAUCACAACAUGUCCUUAACAUGAAAGAAAAGAAUGAUAUAAGCAUGAAGCAUGGUUUUAAGAGGUUAAAAUUAGGCUCAAAGAGAUUUAAAUGGUUACCUGAAGAAGGCAUAAGUUCAGAUAACUCAUCGCUAGAAACCGUAUUUUGGCGAUGCGGGUUUUAUGAAAUCUUAUUGGUUAAGUGGGAUAAUGUGAUGUAUCAUCAAGAAGGCAUACUUUUCAUAAAAUGGUAUGUCAUCAAUAAGGCAUACAUUUUCAUGACACUCCAAAUCCUUACGACAAACUCAGAAUGGGGGCUUGACUGUUGAGUUACUGGUGGAUUUCAUAUAACCCAUGGAAUUUAAGAAAUGUAAGGUGUACCAUCUAGCUCAGAAGUAAAAUAAAGAGUGUUGUCUACAUUUGUCCAAUAAUAAUUUGAAGCUAAAUUUAUUAUGUCCAUAUGUUUUGAUCUCUACUAUGUUGAAUUGAUUUUGGUAAGUUUUGAUUCUUUUAUAUGAAAUAUAUAUAUAUAUAUAUAUUGGUUUUUUGGAUUGUUCUACGUACAAAUAUAUUCAAAGUAUUGACCAUCCUUAUGGAGAUUGUAUUGUCUCAUAAUGUAGGAUCUAAGGCACAGUCCCACGGUCCAAUUCAACAGUAGUAGAUUGUUCCAAAAGUUUAGAGUCGGUGAGCCUCCCUUAUUUUGGAAGUCAUUUUUUUCAUAUGAUAGUUUCAUUCAUUUUUUUGGUCCUACCAGUGGACUUGACCCCGCUUAGAUAGAUAAGUAUUUCAGUAGAGACUUUGUAGGCUGCUUUAGAUUGGAUUUGGAUGUUUUGGAUGUAUUUAAAUUUGAUUACAAGCCUUUCCAUAUUUCAAUUUUAUUUUUUGUACCUUAUUCUUAUGAAUUAUGUUCAUGAUGGCAUGUUAUGGGGUAUCUCGGGACUUCAUGGUUCAAGAUGUCCGUUGUUUCCAGGGCCUCAGCUCAAGCCAUAGCAAGCUUAGUAUCAAAGCACGGUUUAGGGUUCUAGAUUGUCUACUAAGCCAUGUCGAGUAGAGUCAUUAUUAUAGGUGUGUAGCAUGCUACACUUAUAUGGGGGAAGAUAUAAGACAUUUAGAAAUGUUUCCCUUUUUUUUAUGAUUCUAGUUCGUGCUAUAGGGUCUGAAUAUUUCCUAACUCAUGACUUUCUAUGUUUUAGAUCAUACCUCCCCAUAGAUCUAAUGAGCAGAACAAUGUGUCUAUUGGGACAAAUGCAGAAGAUGUCUGCCCUACCAUGGGAUAUAGACCUGUUAUAGAGUAUGUACUCCAGAAUUUACUAUUCCUUCGACUGUCCCACCAGUUUAGACUAGCACUUCUUAGUCUUCUCUAUCCAGUAUCAACAACACUCAGUCCCCACACAGAGAGGUCUCAAAUGCUAAGUUUCAUUAGUCUAUCCAUAUGAUUUCUCAGCUUAUGGCUUCAGUCUAAUCGGUCUGGGGAUGUGAGUUCUUUCAUUGGUUCUUCUGAGGUAACUUGGGUUGGUUAGUUCAUGAGGUUGAACCCAUCCAUCUUCACGAGUACUAAAACUGAGGAGGACCCUCAAGGGUUUGUGGAUGAUAUGGAGAAGAUAUUUAGAUUCAUGUAUACCGGCGGUACUAGGGGUAGAGUUUGCAGCCUAUCAUCUAAAAGAUUAUAACGCCCUGAAUCUAGCACCUAAAAUGUUACAUGGUGCUCAUGACCCCGAAGGACCACAAGCUAACCCAUGACUGAUAUCUAUAACUGAGCACUAAAUAAUAUAUUGUAAAUAUGUGGAAUAUAAGCUGUAAGGCCAUAAGGCUCAAAACUGAACUAAUACUGAAUAUAAAACAAUGUCUGUAAUAGGGUAUAACAAUACCCAAAAAUUAAAAUAAACUAUCUGAAACAUAUUGUUGUCUGAAAGCCUCUACACUAUCUAAAAUAUGUGGAGUUGAUAGGACAUAUCGUGCUUCUAAACCUAUGGUACAAAACACCAUAGUGCAAAUGUGCCAGUACAAUUGAAUGAACUGGUAUACAAGUGAGGUAGGCUGAAUGCAAGGGUUCAUAUGUAUGAACAAUAAUAACUGACUGAUGACAUAAACAUGAACGUGUGAAAAAUACAUGUAUGAAUACAUAAACUGGGGCUGGGGUCAUGAUAAUACUAAAUACUGAUGUACUAAUAUCUGAGUUUACUAAUACUAGGAUACUGAAUAACUGAGUCUAUUAAUGAUAGGAAUUACGGAGUUUACAGGUAACCGAUAUCUGAGGUUACUGGUACUAUAUAACUGAUAACUGAUAACUGUGUAUACUGAUACUGAAAAACUAUUUGAGUUUUUUACUGGACUGGGUGAUUGUAUCUGACAGUCCUAAAUCUGAAGAACUAUUUAAGUUCUAGAUUGAGCUGGAUGACUGUAUUUGACAGUCCUAAUUCUGAUAGAACCAGUUGAGUUCCAUACUGAACUGAGCUACUGUAUCUGACAAUCCUAAUAUCUGUAGAACAGAACUGAGUUCUAUUACUGAGACUAAAUCUAAAACUAAGACUGUGGGAGGUAAUCAUCUAACCGAUAUGCCUCAAAUCUGAACUGGUGGGGUCCAACCUAUAACCCCAGUUGGAAGGGUGCUAGUACCGUACCAUAGGUAAAGACAAGCUGUAGGUAAACACUCUUUGAUAAGGAGCUCUUCUAUCAACCCCUCCUAUAAGGAAAAACUCAAAGUAGAUGUAUAGUCCCUAGACUCGUAGGGGUACAUCUCGAACUAAACUGGCUAUAUAGUUUUGGAAUGCAAGGAUUACUUAUAAGGGUCACACCCUCUACUGACUGAUAGGUGAGCCCUCCUCCUUGGGUUCACUGGUGCUGAAUCCUACUCCCAACUGAAAAGACACUGAACUAAUUUAAUUGAACUGAACUGUUACUGAUCAUAUUGUAUAACUAAUUUGAACUGGAUUCACUAAAUUCUAUUGACUGACAGAAUACUACUAAGAUCUGAUAACUAACUGGGAUUGCUGAGAUUAUGAAGAUUACAGAGAUUACUGAUAUUAUUUAGAUUACUGAGGUUAUUGAGAUUACUGAGGUUAUUGAGUAGGACUAGACUGAUACUGAAUUCAUUGAAUUUUCCUGAGUCAUGAGACUGACUAAAUUCUAAUGAUUAUGGCUUGACUGAGAGUAUUAUGAAAACUAACACUGGCUCUAGGCACAUAGCUAAAUUGUUGUGUACAAGAACCCCCAGGACUCAGUAGCAUAAAAAUGACAAGUCUUGACACUCUUGAACACAUGACCAAUAUCAACAAUUUAUCAUACAAUAAGUUGGGGAUUUCAUGAAGCACAUGGUUAUCAUAAUUUUGUACGUGGAUAGGAAUGCAUAUAAUCAUGUCAUAAUUUCAUACUCUAACAUCAUGAGCAUUCCAACAAACAUCUACAAUGCACAUCAAUAACAUAGUAGUCAUUUGAACAUAAGGGUAAAACAUGUAUUUAUCGUUUGGGUCACAAUUAAGAUAUAAUGCAUAAUUUCUAUUCUCUUAGGCAUUUUAUCAAACACCUUACAUGCACCACUUAGGGUAUAAUCAUAAUCAUCAAAUUAACACCCCAUAACCAACUAAGUUCAUAGUUUUCGACAUGCAUGCUAACAUAGUUUGAUAAAACAAAUGAAGAUUCCAACUUAGGAAUCAUACAACAACAACCACAUGAACAUAAUCAAUCCAUAACAUGAAUAUCAGAAUUCAUAGUUUAAAACUUGAUUCUUGGGAUUCAUGGACUAAAGAAAUCCAUUAAUGAACACUAUGCAUACCUUAGUUCUUGAUUAUACGAAGAUUGACAGAGAGAUUCUUGAAUUUGGGUAUUGAAUUUGAAUCCUUAAUUAAAAACCUUAACUUGUUCUUGAGAGAAACUUGAGAGAGACUAUAUUUUGGUUGAAUUGGGGCUAAAUCCCAUGUUUUAGACUUAUAUAGAGGUGGGAAAUUGACCCUUUUGACUUUAAAAAUAUGGACAUUUAAUGACUGAAAUUGGGCAUCGAUGCUAUUAUCAAGCGAUAGUCGACGUGUCACGCCAUCAUCACAUCGAGUCUCAGUACUUUGACCCUGGUAACCUGCAAUAAUAUCAACCAACGCGAUUGGUAAUGCGGCACGCCAAAAUCGUAUUGGUCCACUAUUUUGAGCUUCCGAACGUUGUCUAAAUGAGUUCCGAAAAUUUCAAAACUUGAUCGAAAACACUUAUUGACCUUCCUGGUCAUGAAUUAGCAAGAAUACAGACUAUUAAAGGACAUUAAAGUCACGAAAUGAGACUGCAAACUUUCAAAGGCUAAAAUAAAUUAAGUCUAGAAACUUAGCUAGAACCUUCUAAGUAUGGGACCCCCCUAACAAGCAUAAAUGGACUGAAUUAAGCUUAGAAUUUUGUGGGGUCUUACAAAAAUAUGACUUAUCAGUGGUAUGAUGAGUGGAAAGAGCUAAGGGGUGAGGAUGUUGAACUUGCAGUAUAGGAAGAGUUUUUGUGUACUUUUAUGGAUCACUUCUUUCCUUAGGAAUUGGGGAAGGCUAAGGCUGAGGAAUUUAUGAACCUGAAGCAGUGGAAGAUGAGAGUCAAAAAAUAUAUAUUGAAAUUCACACAGUUAUCCUGUUAUGCUCUAGAGCUCAUAUGCAAGAUGAGGUCCCGUAUGAGGAAGUGCGCAUUUGGUCUUUCAAAUAAUUUAGUGUUAGAAUGUAAGGAAGCAAUGCUGAAUAAUGAUAUGGAUAUCUCCAAGUUAGUAGUGUAUAUGCAAAAAGUAGAGGAGCAAAAGAAGAGGCAAAUAAAGACAAAGGAGAUACAAGUUAAGAAAGCUAAGUCUACAGAUCAGGAUACCAGCCAGCAGCAGGGUGGAAUAUGGGGUAAAAUACAGUCUAAGAAAAAAAUUUAGAGCAAUUUUCAAUCUUAAGUUGGUGCCCCUACACCCAGACCAAUAGGCGACCAACGUCUGUAGUCUUAUGGUGGACAAAGGGUGCAAGGCAUCCAAUCCCAGGAAAGUGUGACUUGGGCCAUUAGAUCGCACCCCUAUUGUAAUUCAUAUGGAAAGAAUCACCCGAUGAGGUGUUAUUUUAGGAGUAAUGUGUGCUAUAAUUAUGUCUAUAGAGUCCAUGUCCAGAGAGAUUAUCCCUUGACUAGAGGAAACCUCAAAGGUCCAAACUACUUCAGCAACCCUUUCAUCUAAGGGUACUACUUUUGCUACUAGAGGUGGUCGUAAUAUCUUAUAUGCCCUAUCUACACACUAGGACUCAGAGUUUUCACUAGAUAUUGUUACGGAUAUGUUACAAAUCAUAUCUCAAGAUCUUUUUAUGUUGCUUGAUCCUGGUUCUACCCUAUCUUAUAUGACUCCUUAUAUGGCAGUAAGUUUUAGUUUUGAGCCCAAAAGUAUUUCUGAACCCUUAUCUGUGUCCACCCCUGUUGGUGACUCUUUUAUUACUAGACGAGUUUAUACAAAUUAUGUAGUGUCUAUUUUCUAUUGGGAUACUGUGGUAGACCUUGUAGAGCUAUUUAGUAGAUUUCGAUGCUAUUCUAGGGAUGGAUUGGAUCCAUUCAUGUUAUCUUAGGUUGUAGAACCAGAAGGGUCACCUUCUAUUUCCCUAAUGAGCCAAUUAUUGAAUGGGAAGGGUGUUCUCUUUCACCUAGAGGAAAGUUCAUAUCUUAUCUUAGAGACUGUAAGAUCAUAUCUAAGGGUUGCUUGAAUCAUUUUGUUUGGGUCAAAGACUCUAGUACUGGAAGUUAGUCUCUUCAAUCAAUUUCAAUAGUUAAUGGAUUCUAAAGAGUUUUUCCUGAUGAUCUCUCUUAAAUACCCCUAGAUAGGGAGAUAGAUUUUGGUAUUGACCUAUUUCCAGAUUCUCUGCCUAUUUCAAUUCUGCUAAAUAGAAUGGCUCAUGUGGAAAUGAAAGAAUUAAAAGAGUAGUUAAAAAAUCUUCUUGAUAAAGGCUCUAUUCGUCCUAGUGUCUCUCCAUGGGGUACUCCUAUACUAUUUGUGCAUACGAAAGAUGGCUUCCUCUCUCUCUCUCUAUAUAUAAUACUGCCAUUUAGAUAAAAUCACUAUCAAUAAUAAGUACCCUCUCCCCAAAAUUGAUGAUCUUUCUGACCUACUUUAGGGUGAUAAAUAUUUCUCUAAUAUUAACCUCUUUUUGGUUUAUCAUUAGUUGAACGUUAGAGGGGAUGACAUUUCCAAAAUAGCUUUCCAAACUCGGUACAGUCACUAUGAAUUCCUGGUCAUGUCCUUCGGAUUGACUGAUGCCCCUAUAGUAUUUAUGAACCUCAUGAAUAGGGUGAUUUUUAGUUUUUUUUUACCUAGUUAUUAUAGUUUUCAUUAAUGAUACUUUGAUUUACUCUAAGAGUGAGGAAGAUCAUGCUAAUCACCUCUAAAUCUUCCUUCAAACCCUUAAGGAUCACGAGUUGUAUGUCAAAUUCUUUAAGUAUGAGUUCUGGAUCAGUGUCAUAGCUUUUCUAGGGCAUAUUAUUUCUAGUGAGGGAAUUAAGGUUGGUCCCCAAACCCAUGACUCCAACUUAUAUUUGGAGCUUCUUGGGUUUGGUAGGAUAUUAUAGAAAAUUUGUAGAGAUUUUCUCAUCCAUAGCAGCUCUACUUACCAGGUUGACGCAGAAGAAGGUCAAGUUUCUGUAGUCUAAUGCUUAUAAGAAUAGUUUUGAGAGAUUGAAACAAGCUGACUACUGUUCCUAUUUUGACCCUUCUUGAGGAUUCAAAGGGUUUUGUAGUUUAUUGUGAUGCAUUACAGGUGGGACUUGGGUGUGUGUUGAUGCAGCAUGGGAAGGUGGUGGCAUAUGCAUCCAGGCAGUUAAAAGUCCAUGAGAAAAACUAUCCCACCCAUGAUUUAGAGUUGGUGGAGGUGGUUUUGCGCUCAAAAUUUGGUGUCAUUAUCUUUAUGGUGUGCAUGUUGACAUCUUUACUGAUCAUAAAAGUUUACGGUAUGUAUUCUCCUAGAAGGAGUUGAAUCUCAGGCAGAAGCGGUGGUUGGAACUGUUGAAGGAUUAUGACAUGAGCUGACACUAUCAUCUAGAUAAAUCUAAUAUGGUUGCUGAUGCUCUUAGCGGGUUGUUCAAGGGAAGUCUUUCUCAUGUUAAGGGAGGAAAGAGGGAUUUGGUCACAUAUAUUCAUCAGCUUGCUAAUUUAGGAGUUCAAAUCUUAGAAUCCGAGGAUGGAGAGUUAUCCAUUCAAGAGGUAGCUAAAUCAUCCCUAUGUGCUUAAGUUAAGGAAAAGUAGACCUAAGAUCCGACCAAAGAUCCCUUAUUGAUGAAGAUCAAGGAGGAUCUUGGUUAGCAAAAGGUUAUGGCAUUUGAAAUUGGAGGAGAUGGUAUUUGAGAUACCAAGGUAGGUUAUGUGUGCUGAAUAUGGAUAGGUUGCAAUAAAGGAUUCUUAAUGAAGAUCAUACUUCCAGUACGUGGUUCAUCUUGGCUCCACCAAGAUGUAUCAUGACGUAAAGGAGAUUUAUUGGUGGAAUAAUAUGAAAAGAGAUUUUCUAACUUUGUGGCUAAGUGUUUGCAUUGCCAACAAGUUAAGGUGGAACACUUGAGGCUAGGUGGUAUAUCCCAGGACAUAGCAUUGACUUUAUGGAAAUGGGAGAUGAUCAACAUGGACUUUGUUACUAGACUUCCGCGAUCCCGAAACCAGUACGAUUCAAUUUGGGUUAUUGUUGAUAGAUUGACCAAGUUUUCCUACUUUUUUCCUGUGAGGACCAAUUAUUCGAGAGAUGAUUAUGUAAAGCUGUACAUUUAGAAAAUAGUUCAAUUGCAUGGAGCUUCGGUAUUUAUUAUAUCCAACCAAGGUACGAAAUUCUCUUCUUAGUUUUGACGAUAUUUUUAGAAAGGUUUGGGUACCUAGGUGAACCUUAGCACUAAUUUCUAGCCUCAGACAGAUGGGCAAGCGGGAGCGUACCAUUAGACUUUAGAGGAUAUGUUAAGGGCUUGCGUGAUUGACUUUAAAGGUAGUUGGGUAGAUCACUUUCCUUUAAUAGAAUUCUCUUAUAAUAAUAGUUAUCAUUCUAGCAUCUAGAUGGCUCCUUUUGAGGUUCUCUAUAGUAGGAGGUGUUGGUCACCAAUUGGUUGGUAUGAGGUAGGUAAAACUUGGAGGUUUGGACUUGAUCUUGUUCAUCAGGUAAUGGAAAAGGUAAAGGUCAUUAGAGAAAAACUUAAGACCGCCCAAAGUGACCAAAAGUCCAACGCCAAUAUAAGAAGAAGGGAGUUAGAGUUUGAGGUUGAUGAUUGGGUGUUUCUAAAAGCCUCCCCUAUGAAGGUGGUCAUGAGAUUCGGGAAAAAAAGUAAAGCUUAGUCCUCGUUUAUAGGUCCUUAUCAGAUUAUAAGGAAGAUUGAUAGAGUUACAUAUGAAUUAGAUUUGCCUGCAAGCUUAGCUUCAAUUCACCCGGUCUUUCAUGUGUCAUUACUUAAGAAAUGUAUUAGAGAUCAUUCACUUGCGUUUCCUAUUAAGGAGACUGGUGUGAGAGAUUCCUUAUUAUACGAAGAAGUACCUACAACAAUAGUGGAUCGCCAAGUUUGAAAUUUGAGGAGCAAGGAGAAUGCUUCGAUUAAAGAGUUAUGGAGGAACCGAAAGAUAGAGGAAGAUACUUGGGAAUCCAAGGAAGACAUGAAAGCUAAAUAUCCUUCCUUAUUUUCAUCAUUAGAUGAGGUGGUUUGAGGUAUGAACCCUAUGCUUAUCCUUAAUCUACUUGAUUUCGUGUUUGAGUUCCUUUUAUGUUCAUCAUUGUAUCAUGAUAAGAAUGUCCAAAGUCUUCAUUUGGGGACGAAUGAUCCCAAGAGGGGGAUAAGUAACACCCUUAAAAUUUUGAUAUUUUAUUUUUGAUCUUACCAUGUAUGAAACAUCAAUUUUUCACCUGAUAUGUGCUUAGGGAUGUUAAAAGGGUAAUUCGGGUGAGUUUUGGAAUUUUCCAAAGAGGUUCAGGGUCAUUUUGGAGUUCCGAGGUAGUGAACCUCCAUGAUAACGCUGUGUUAUAGAGGAUAAUCUUUGCGAUAAGAAGCGUGUCACGGAGGAUAAUCUUCAUGAUAAGUAGUAUGGAAUGGAGGUUAGCCUCCGCAAUAAGCAGCAUACAACGCUGCUUUGUAAAAUUUGGGCAGUCACUUUAGGGUGUAGGGGUUUGGGUCUUUCUCCACUUUUAAACUCCUCCCCCAUGACUUUAAAUCACCUAAUAAGAGUUAUUACUCAUUGUUAAUCAGUUUUAAAUGCUCAAAACUCUCUCUCUUCUCAAGAAAAAGAGAAUUAGGGGUUCUUCCAAGGCUCAUACUUUCAAGACUAGAUUCGAAUUGUUUCGAAUUCUUGCUCAUAAGAAAGGUAUGUUAGAACUAUCCUAACAAUCAUGGGCUAAAAUUUAUGUUUCCUUCAUGAACUUCAAAGUAUGUGGUAUAUGCGUAUGUAUGAUUUUUUAGAAUUAACUUAAGAGCAUGAUUAUGGUAUUCCCUCUCAUGAUGAAAUUUACUUGUCUUAAUAUGUUAUGGGUUGUUCAAAUAUAUGAUUAAAAGCUUGAGUAAUAUGAUUUAUUAUCAAUGACGAAUUGAUAUGGUUUUGAAUUCAAGAGGGUGUUUUUCUUACUUUCUAUAUGCUCAUUCAUGUUAAACGGAAAGAUUUCAUAUAAUCUAUGCACAAGAUGGCCACCAGUUGUUAGAGUCUUGAAAAGGGAAUGUAUUUCAUGAAUUUUUCAUAUGCUAUUUUGAAUUAAGAACUCCAUGUGAUGUUUAACUCUUUUGGUGGUCAUUAAUAUAUUUUGAAUAAAAAGGCUAAGAAUAUGACAUGAUAUGGCUUGCAAGUCUAGGUAUGCUGAUACCUAUCAUGAAAUGCCCUUAACAUGAAGGAAAAGAAUGAUAUAAGCAUGAAUCAUGGUUUUAAGAGGUUAAAAUUGGGCUCAAAGAGAUCUAAAUGGUUACCCGAAGAAGACACGAGUUCAGAUAACUCAUCGCAGGAAACUAUAUUUUGCCAAUGCGAGUUUUAUGAAAUGUUAUUUGCCAAGUGAGAUAAUGCAGUAUGUCAGCAAAGAGGCAUACUUUUCAUAACAUGGUGUGUCAGCAAGGAGGCAUACUUUUUCAUGAUACUCCAAAUCCUUGCGGCAAACUUGGAUUGGGAGCUUGACGGCCGAGUUAAGGGCGGAUUUCAUAUAACCCGUAGAAUUUAAGAAAUGUAGGGUGUACCAUCUAGUGUAGAAGUAAAAUAAAGAGUGUUGUCUACAUUUGUACAAGAGUAAUUUGAAGCUACAUUAAUUAUGCCUAUGUGUUUUGAUCUCUACUAUAUUGAAUUGAUUUUCGUAAGCUCUUGAUUCUUUUAUAUGAAAUAUAUAUAUAUUGUUUUUUCUAAUUGUUCUACGUACAAAUACAUUCCAAGUCCUCAUGGCGGAUGCAUUGUCUCAUAAUAUAGGAUUUGAGGCACAGUCCCUCGGGUCCAGUUCAGCAACAAUAUAUUGUUCCAGAAGUUUAGAGUCGAUGAGCCUCCCUUACUUCGAAAGACAUUUUCUCUAUAUGAUAAUUUUAGUCAAUUUUAUAAUCCAACCAAGGACCUUGUACCGGCUUAUCCAGACAAGUAUUUCAAUAGAGGCUUCGUAGGUUGGUUUAGAUUGGAUUUGAAUGUAUUUAAAUUUGAUUUUAAGCCUUUCCACAUUUCAGUUUUAUAUUCCGCACCUUGUUCUUAUGAAUUAUUUUCAUGACAGUACGUUAUGGGGUCUCUCAGGCCUUCGUGGAUCGGGAUUCCCGUCAUGGCUAGGGCCUCAGAUCGUGACACUUAGUCAAUUUAUGCAGGCUCCUAAGAAUCCUCAUUGGGAAGUAGCUACCAGAGUGGUUAGGUAUUUGAAGAGUAUAAUUGGUCAAGGCAUCUAGCUACAGGCUACACCUACAUCUAUCUUGACUUGUUGGUGUGACUCUAACUGGGGCUGCUUGUCUAACAUCAGGAGGUCUAUCACAGGCUAUGUGAUUAAGUUUGGAGAAUUUCUAUUUUUUUUUAAAUCCAAGAAACAACACACAGUCUCUAGAAGUUCAGUUGAAGCUGAAUAUAGAAGCAUGGCUUCUGCUGCAGCAGAAAUCACUUGGCUUCUUGGUUUGUUCAUUGAGUUAGGAGUACCAAAUCAACUACCUAUUUCUCUCAUGAGUGAUAGUAAAUCACCCAUUCAGCUGGCAGCCAACCUUGUUUUUCAAGAGGGAAAUAAACAUAUAGAGAUAGAUUACCAUUUUAUAAGGCACAAAAUUAAGGUUGGAAUGCUUGAAGCUAAGUAUGUGCACACUUAACUCCAGGUUGCUGAUCUACUGACCAAAGGAUUGAGUCAAGCUCAAUAUUUGCAUCUGUUAGGAAAACUUGGUGUGCUUAAUAUCCUUUACCCUGCAACUUAAGGGGGCGUGUUGUUGAGGACUAUAUUUCAUUAUGUCAUUUUACUUCUCCAUUCAUUCAUUUUUUUUAUUAAUCCACUGCAACACUACUAAGCUGACUAGCCAGAUAAGUUUGUUUCUCAGUUAGUUAGAUGAGAUGGUUGAUUGAUAGUUAGUCUUUUAUUAGUGAAGUUUGAGUGUAUAGUGAGAUGGCACACAAAAAUUUUCUUGAACAAGUUAGUUAUUCCUACAAUUCAGUCUAUAAAAUGCCGAAUAUGCUCCUCAUUGUAAAGUCUGGAAGCAGUUAUAAAAUUCUCUCUUUUUCUUCCUCUUCUUUCUUCUAAGCUCCAUUAAUGGAGUCCUAGCUGAUUGAGAUAGUUUUCAUUAAAAACACAAUUUACAUAAUACAUUUAUAAAAUUAGUUUUUUCUUUAAUAUCUUGCCAAUACUCUAUUUAUUAGUAACUUAUUGAAUUCCAUAUUCAUUGAUUUUUAAAUCCCAUGAACCAUCGAGUUUUUGAAUGCAUGUUGCACCCGAAGCUAUUAGGCUAAGGGCAUGUCUGCCUGGGCUUCACACAUUGCGUAAAACAAAAAGAAGAUAAAUUGCAAAGACAAAUUCAACAUACUAGAAUAACAACAUACCCAGUAUAUUCCAAUAACAUGGGGUCUGAAAAAGGUAAAGUGUAUGCAGUCCGAAUCACUACCUCAGAGGUGAGAUAAAGAGGUUGUUUUUGAAAGACUACCUAUUCAAGACAAAAAUAUUUUAGAGAAAUACCGAAUAAAGGAACAAAAAAUAGUAGGUAGAAACAAACAACAUUUAACUGAUACGAAUAAAAUAUAACUUAUACUAAGGUGUUCUGAUAUGUGUCUGAUUUGUGCUUAUUAUUAACAAGAAGAAUUAAUCUUCAAAAACACACAUGAACUAUCGAUGUUUUGCAAGUUCCACAUCGCGUAACAAUCAGUUGUCCCCUUUUCCUAUCCGAGCUAUCACCAUCAGGCAGGAAAAGGGAACAACUUGUAGUUGAGGUGUGUUUUUGUUGAAAAUAUGUCUGAGAAAUAAAGUAGGAAUAAAUAUUUUUUAGUAGUUUUUAAUUAUUAGAGUCCUAUGUGACUUAGGAAUUAGUUUUCACUUUAUUAUUUGAAUAGGAAUUAGUUAUCCCAAUUUAAAUUAGAGUGUAGUUAGAAAUUUAUCUAUAAAUAUAUGUUUUGAGUUAUUAACAAAAUAAUUUCCUUUGACAAUACUAUUGCCGUAUUUUAUUUUUCUCCAACUCUUUCUCUGUUAUUUCUCCUAUUUCAAGGAUAAAAACAAUAAUUGGUAUCAGAGCCAAUUUUUUGAGGGAUCUGUGAGAAUUACCAACUUUGGGUAGUAAGAAUGGAGACUUAUCUUGAGGUUUUAGAUCUUUGGGAAGCCAUGGAGGAAGAUUAUGAUGUUGUUCCGCUGCCCGAUAAUUCCAUGGUGGCCCAGAUCAAAAGCCAAAAGGAAAAGAAAAUCAGAAAAUCAAAAGCAAAAACAACUUUGUUUGCUAGUGUUUCUCCAACAAUUUUCAAGAGAAUUAUGGCCUUUACAUCAGUAAAAGAAAUUUGGGAUUAUCUGAAGGAAGAAUAUACAGGAGAUGAAAGAAUACGAGGCAUGAAGGUCUUGAAUCUAAUAAUGGAAUUAGAAUUGCAAAUGAUGAAGGAAUCUGAGAGCAUCAAAGAGUACUCAGACCGUCUUCUUGGCAUUGUUAACAAGGUAAGAUUGCUUGGCACAAAAUUUAAAGAUUCAAGAAUUGUUGAAAAAAUUCUUGUUACAGUGCUUGAAAGAUACGAAGUAUCAAUAACUACCUUGGAAAACACAAAAGACCUGUCCAAGAUUACCUUGGCAGAAUUGUUAAUACGUUGCAGGCAUAAGAGCAAAGGAGGCUUAUGAGGCAGGAUGGUAUGGUUGAAGGAGCUUUGGAAACCAACCACAAGACUCAAAGCAAGGGUAAUACUUCAAGAAAAAAUUACUCACCUUGCCAGUACUGUGGUAAAAUAGGUCAUCUUCUGUUUAAAUGUUGGAAGAGACCACAUGCACAAUGCAAGAUUUGCAAUCAACUUGGCCAUGAAACUGUGAUUUACAAAAACAAAUCUAAAAAAUAUGAAGCAUAAUCCCAAGUCACUAGAGAAAAAGAAGAAGACCACUUAUUUGUAGCAGCAUAUUGUUCAACCAAGAAAUCUGAUUUUUGGAUGAUUGACAGUAGUUGUACAAACCACAUGACAUAUGACAAAACUCUUUUUAAAGAGUUUUUGCCUUUGAAAAAAUAGAAAAUCAGAAUUCGUCUUCUCAGCUGCCACAUGUUAGAAAUCGGACAUAAUAAGCAAACCACAAGCAAAAGUAAAAACAAGAACACACAGAUUUAAAUGAAAAUCCUUGCAGAAAAACCACGGGCAGAGGCAGAAGAAUUCACUAUAAUGGAGAGAGAGUACAAUGGUAGAGACGAUAGUCUCAAUUUCAUGUGUAUAAGAAUGAUCCAAAACAACCCACUAAAUCACACUUAUAUAAUACAUCGGUCCGAUCCCUAUGCUACCACCACGGACCCCAUUGAAAAUCACAAAACCGCAAAACUUUCAGGGCCAGAUCAACAAAAUUUGGGUCACAAGUCUAACACCACCAUUAUGUCUUGACCAUAUUCUUCAACUUUUUCCUACAAUGAUAUAUAAAAAGAAAGAAGAAAAAUCAACUUAGAUAGCCACACAUCGAACCUCUUAUACUAAAUAUAGCUUGCGGAUGUAUAAUAUGUGCAUAAUCGAUAUUUAACAUGUGUAUAACCAUGUAUAAUUUGUGUAUAUAGGCAAGGAACGAUAAACGGUGAAUCCAGCCAACUAUUUAUGUAAAGAUCCCUAAAAAGAAUGAAAACAGAUAUACACCGAUUCUACUUCUAGUGACAUACAUAGUUCAGCUAAUUUCAAUUAACAAGUGAAAGCUAUUAAUUCUGCAAUAAUGUACUGCAAUAUGAACAUAUUGCUAACAAAUUAUUUAUAAACAAAGUAGUAUUAGAAUGACUGGCCCGAAUGACAUAGAAUGGUUACAGAUUUGUCUAACUGAUCUCAACUUAAUUGUCUUAUAUCGAGGUGGUUAAUUGAUAGACUAAUACUUACCGAAGCUGAAAUCUUAUUGAAGGCUAUAAUAUCUGCCAAGGAUCGGACUCGAGUGUAGACUAACUUUUUAAGAUAUGCAUUUAGGUUCAUCUUGAAUUCAGCAGAAAGUGCUAUGCCUUGAGCAACAACAAGAGCAUCUCGGACCAAGUCGAUGUUAGGUAUUUCCAGGUUGUAAACUAAUACUGCUCCUUUUUGCCUUCAAAUAUUUCCAAGAAAAAAAUAUCCAUAUCUUGUAGUAUUAACAUAAUAAAAUCAAAAUCAAACAUGAUAGGUUCUGUGUUAGGAUUGAGAAUUCUGAAUAAUACAGAAUCAAUCAAAGUAAUCAAUUAAAGACAAUAACAUAGACGAUAAUAACGAUAAGUUGAGAAAAUAAACGAGGCACAAAUUUAAUGUGGUUCGGUCAACUUGACCUACGUCCACAACCAAAAGGAGGAGCAACUUUACUAAACACCAACGGAACAAAAGAGAGUGCAAAAGUACAAAAGAGAGUACAAAAUUAGAGUAAUUAAAUACUCUAAUAUCCCAAAUACCCAAAAGAAUAACCUUACAAAUAUCACUCCAAAAAAGAAAGAGGCUCUCUCAAAGUAUUUUCCAACACAACUCUCUCACAAAUACUCUCUACAAAGAAAAAAACAAACACAACUAAAUACUUCUCAAAUGUUGGUGUUCUUCUCUAUUGAUGUGUUCACCAAAAUGAAAGAACUUUCCUCUAUUUAUAGAGAUGAAAAUAGGCUUGCUAAUGUCAUCCAUGAUGUUAAUGGAUGAUGUAAAUUUCAACAUUUGCAUGUGAAUGGGAGAAAUUUACAACAAAAUCUUUGGUAGCAACUUUGUUUGACAAAUCCAAAAAUAAUCUUUCAAAAAAAGUCAUUGGUAGCAACUUUGUUUGACUAAUCCAAAAAUAAUCUUCCAAUAAUCUUUGGUAGCAACUUUCUUUGACAAAGCAAGUGUGAAUCAAAGAAUAAACAAAGGCCACAUUACAAAUCUCCACCUUGGCCUGAGUUUGGUUAAUAUAGUAAAUUUGCUUCACCUUCUUCACAAAGCCUCAAAGGGCUUUCAAAAUUCCAUGAUGUCAGAAUCAGAUGAGUCUCCAUCUGAAAUUGAAAUGGUAGCAACACCUGUAAUAGUAGAUCCCGACAGUGCAUACAACGUCCCAGACUUGCAUGCCUUCAUAACCACAAGACCACCUCGAGAGACUUCAAGAACUCCACCUUCACAUGUGUAUUUGCAUCCAUGAGAUUCUAGAGUGCCCAAAGAGAUGAGAUUUUUCUUCAACUUAGGAACACAUCUAACAUUUCUGAGAGUUCUUACAAUACCAUCAUGCAUUUUAAUUCGGACACAUUUUUCAAUAAUUUGGCAAGCAACACUGUUUCCUACCAAGAUAACUCCACUUUUAACAGGAUCAUAUAUAGAAAACAAGUCUUUGUUAGGACACAUAUGAAAUGAACAAGCUGAAUCUAAAAUCUACUCAUUGUUAGAACAAGAAAUAUUUUCGGUUACUAAAAAUAUUUCUCCUUCAAUCUCAUCAGGAGCAACACUUGCUUCAGCGGUGUCAGAAUCCUUGUGCUCAUUUUUCUUUAAUUUUCCCUUGUUUUGCAACUUAGGACAAUCAAACCUGAUGUGACCUUUUUUAUGACAAUAAUAACACAUUGAAUUGCUAAAAUUUGGACUUUGCAUUAGAUCUACUCCUGACAAAUAAAUCGGAUGCUUGCUUUUCACUACCUUUCCCGAUAAUAUCUCUAUCUAUCUGAUCUUUAGAUUUCAACAUAGAUUUGAUUUUUCUAUAAGAGAUAGUUUCUUUUUCAUAAAGUAUAGCAUCUCUAAAAUACUUAAAGGAAUGGGGUAGGGAACAUAUUAGUAGAACAACUUGAGCUUAUUCCUCAAUCUUGACAUCUAUAUUACUUAAAUGCAUAAGAAUGGAAUCAAAGACAUCAAGAUGUGAGAGUAUGGAAGUAUUUUCAUCCAUACAAAAUGUAUAAAGUUUUUUCUUCAAGUAAGUCUAUUCUCUACCGUUCUUUUCAUAUACAGACUUUUCAACUUUUCCCAUAUACCUUUGGUAGUGGUUUUUGAAGCUACUUCAUGUAAUACAUCAUCAGAGAGAUUUAGUAUAAAACUAGAUCUCGCCUUUUUAUCAAGGCUAUCAAACUCCUCGUCUGUCAUUUUUUCUGAAAUUUUCUCCUUUUCUUGCAGUGUGAUAUCUGAACAAUCCUAAACUAGGAUAACUUUCAUUUUCAACUGCCACAUACCAAAGUUUAAACUUCGGUCAAAUUUCUCAACAUAAAUCUUUGUAAUUGUCAUGGUGACUACUAGGACAAAAUCGAGAUUAACCUCAUUCUGAUACCAAUUUGUUAGGAUCGAGAAUCCUAAAUAGUGCAGAAUCAAUCAAAGUAAUCAAUUAAAGACAAUAACAAAGAUGAUAAUAAUGAUAAGUUGAGAAAAUAAAGGAGGCACAAAUCUAACGUGGUUCAAUCAACUUGACCUACGUCCACAACCAAAAGGUGGAGCAACUUUACUAAACACCAACGGAACAAAAGAGAGUGCGAAAGUACAAAAGAGAGUGUGAAAGUACAAAAGAGAGUACAAAAUUAGAGUAAUUAAAUACUCUAAUAUCCCAAAUACCCAAGAGAAUAAACUCACAAAUAUCACUCAAAAAAAGAGGUUCUCUCAAAGUAUUUUGCAUCACAACUCUCUCACAAAAAUACUCUCCACAAAUAAGAAAACAAACACAACUAAAUUGUUCUCAAAUGUUGGUGUUCUUCUCAAGUGGUGUGUUCAUCAAAAUGAAAAAACUCUCCCCUAUUUAUAGAGAUGAAAAUGGGCUUGUUGAUGUCAUCCACGAUGUUAAUGGAAGAUGUAAAUUUCAACAUUUGCAUGUGAAUGGGAGAAAUUUACAACAAAAUCUUUGGUAGCAACUUUGUUUGACAACUCUAAAAAUAAUCUUUCAAAAAAGUCAUUGUUAGCAACUUUGUUUGACUAAUCCAAAAAUAAUCUUCCAAUAAUAUUUGAUAGCAACUUUAUUUGAAAAAGCAAGUGUGAAUCAAAGAAUAAACAAAGGCCACAUUACAUACUGUUUGAGCCAAUUGCUGCGUCAAUGAGAUUGCAACAACACACAAAAGGUUAUGAAUAACUCUGACAAUGUGUCUGUAUAAGGCAUAAUACAUAGGUGGCAUGCACUCAAACUUGGCCUC
Molecule: long non-coding RNA, 97621 nt
Filed under: Capsicum annuum
Lineage: Eukaryota; Viridiplantae; Streptophyta; Magnoliopsida; Solanales; Solanaceae
Description: long non-coding RNA (CANN_LNC016856)
Source: RNAcentral